RNAcentral lists this long non-coding RNA (145250 nucleotides) under Triticum aestivum (bread wheat). RNAcentral describes it as "long non-coding RNA (TAES_LNC012677)". Lineage: Eukaryota; Viridiplantae; Streptophyta; Magnoliopsida; Poales; Poaceae. The record is from RNAcentral.
GACGAGUUCGGAUGGGGACGCGGCGCCGCCGAGGCGGUGAAUGGCAGUGGGGACGCCAAGGUCGACGGCGCACCGGAGCGCCAUAGGCGUGAGGUAGCAGAGGGUGUGGCGCCACAGGUCCGACUGCGCCUGGAGCAGCUCCGUGUCGGUGGGGACAAACACCUUCUCUGCCUGGCCUGCCAUUGCCGUUGAUCUCUAUCUCUCAGUGCUGUACGUGUUGUGCACUUCGAUCUGGUAGAUAUAUAGGGGACGGAGGACACUCUCAUAUAAUAUAGCAAUGUUUGCUGUCAUUUCUCGUGGAACACGAGGGUGAUGACCACGACACUAUAUCGCUAUCGACGGGCCAGGGUAGCGUAUCGAUACAGCGCAGAAAGAAGACUCAAGACUGCUCGCUGUGGCUGGAAAUGGAAAGGAGGCACGUGCGGCUUUGAGAUAGACAGACCGACUGUACACACAUUACUUUCGUGGAUUCGAAUCGAAUCGAUAAACCUAAAUACUUCAUGGUGCACGCACACGAUUUUGCUGAACCGAGCGGCCGUGCUUGGACCGCUCAUUGCGAACGCAUCGUUUGGCCCACGACCGGUUAGCUUAUGCGCUAUCCGGCCGUGUUUCCUGGUCGGGGCGAGACGUGGUUAGCUUAUGCGCUAUCCGACAAAGCCGGUGUGACACCCUUACUUUCUCUCCUGAAAAAACAAAAGCUUAUCCUUAUCAUCUUUUCAUCGUCUUUAACGUAUCCGGCCAAUAAGCAGUGUGCCCCGGCUGGAGGCCAAGCCAAGGCGGCCAACCGGAGAAACCUGGAGAGCAGGUCAGCCAAGGAGCCGGAAAAGCAGUGCCGCAACCUCCUCCCGGCGAGGCAUGAAACCAGACAAAAUUCUCCCAAACGGGUCGGACCGCAGCGGCGCGGUCGUGUUUGCCUUGGACGCCCCCCCAUGGUGUUGCUGCCGCUGCUGGUGGAGCUGUGCAAGUCCAUUGGUGUGCACACGCUGCUGCUCAUGGAGUCAUGGUGCCCGGCAUCAUUGGAGCUCAGCUCUUGUACCUACUGCCCGCCGAAUCGCCAGGCAACGUCGUCCUAUUCAGAGCUUACCGACAUGGUGCUCACCUAAGUGCUAAUAAAAAAUUCUAGUUCCUGCAUGGCUGCACAACCUUUAGUCUUGGUUGAUUAUCACGAGUGCUUUUUUGCAUGAGUAGAUUAUUCGAUAGUUAUAGUUGCACAUAUAAUAGUCUGUAGUAGUAUAUAUAAUUUAGAAAGUUGCACAACACGAUGAUACUAAGUUGGCUAGAUGAUGUUUUUGCUUAAAUUGAUCUAUUCUUGUCCGUCGUAUUUUUAGUUGGCAUCCAUGACACGAUAAUAUAAUAUAGCAAUGUGUUUGCUGUCAUUUCUCGUGGAACGCGAGGGUGACGACCUUGACACUAUAUCGCUAUCGACGGGCCGGGGUAGCGUAUCGAUAGAGCGCAUAAAGAAGACUCAAGACUGCUCGCUGUGGCUGCAAACGGAAAGGAGGCACGCGCGUCUUCGAGACAGACUGACCGACUGUACACACGUUCCAUUCGUGGAUCCGAAUCAAAUCGAUAAACCUAAAUACUUUAUGGUGCACGCGCACGAUUUUGCUUAACCGAGCGGCCGCGCUUGGACCGCUCAUUGCGAGCGCAUCGUGGGGCCCACGACGGCCAGGUGUUUCCUGGUCGGGGCGAGACGUGGUUGGCUCGAGCGCUAUCCGACAAACCCGGUAUGACACCCUUACUUUCUCUCCUGAAAAAACAAAGGCUUAUCCGUAUCAUCUUUUCAUCGUCUCCCUCGAAUCUGGCGAGGAAGCAGUGUGCCCCAGUCGAAGGCCAUGCCGAGGCGGCCAACCAGAGAAACCUGGAGAGCAGGUUAGCCAAGGAGCCAGACCAGCAGUGCUGCCACCUCCUCCGCCCUCUUUUUAUGAGUUGGAGCCGGAGCCGCCAUGGAACUCACGCGAGAGGGCCACCCUACGCCCCGCUACUCCUUCCUCCCAUGGUGUUGCUGCCGCUGCUGGUGGAGCUGUGCAAGUCCAUUGGUGUGCACGCGCUGCUGCUCAUGGUGUCAUGGUGCCCGGCAUCAUUGGCGCUCAGCUCUUGUACCUACUGCCCGCCGAAUUGCCAUGCAAUGUCGUCCUGUUCAGAGCUUACGGACAUGGUGCUCACCUGAAUACUAAUAAAAAAAUUUAGUUCCUGCACGGCUGCACAACCUUCAGUCUUGCUUGAUUAUCACGAGUGCUUUUUUGCCUGAGUAGAUUAUCCAAUAGUUGUAGUUGCACAUAUAAUAGUUUGUAGUUGUAUAUAUGAUUUAGAAAGUUGCACAACAUGAUGAUACUAAGUUGGCUAGAUGAUGUUUUUGCAUAAAUUGAUCUAUUUUUGUCGGUCAUAUUUUUAGUUGGCAUCCAUGACAUUACAAUAUAAUAUAGCAACGUGUUUGCUGUCAUUUCUCGUGGAACGCGAGGGUAACGACCAUUACACUAUAUCGCUAUCGACGGGCCGGGGUAGCUUAUCGAUAGAGCGCAUAAAGAAGACUCAAGACUGCUCGAUGUUGCUGGAAACAGAAAGGAGGCACGUGCGGCUUCAAGAUAGACCGACCGACUGUACACGGAUUCCAUUCGUGGAUCCGAAUCGAAUCGAUAAACAUAAAUACUUCUUGAUGCACGCGCAUGAUUUUGCUGAACCGAUCGGCCACGCUUGGACCACUCAUUUCGAGCGCAUCGUGCGGCCCACGGCCACCAUGUGUUUCCUGGUCGGGGCGAGACGUGGUUGGCUCAUGCGCUAUCCGACAAAGCCGAUGUGAACCAAUCGCUCCCUUACUUCCUCUCCUAAAAAACAAAGGCUUAUCCUUAUCAUCUUUUCAUCGCCUCCAUCGAAUCCGUGCGAGGAAGCAGUGUGUCUCUGCCGGAGGCCAAGCCGAGGCGGCCAACCGGAGAAACCUGGAGAACAGGUCAGGCAAGGAGCCGGACCAGCAGUGCCGCCACCUCCUCCGCCCUCCUUCUAUGAGCUGGAGCCGGAGCCGCCAUGGAACUCACGCCUGAGGGCCACCCUACGCCCCGCUACUCGUCCCGGCGAGGCAUGAAGCCAGACAAAAUUCUCGUAAACCGGUCGGACCGCUGCGGCGCGGUCGUGUUUGCCUUGGAUGCACCCCAUGGUGUUCCUGCCGCUGCUGGUGGAGUUGUGCAAGUUCAUUGGUGUGCACACGCUGCUGCUCAUGGAAUCAUGGUACCCGGCAACAUUGGUGCUCAACUCUUGUACCUACUGCACGUCAAAUCGCCAGGCAACAUCGUCUUGUUCAGAGCUGACGGACAAGGUGCUCACCUGAAUGCUAAUAAAUUUUUUAGUUCCUGCACAGCUGCAAAACCUUCAAUCUUGGUUGAUUAUCACGAGUGCUUAUUUGCCUGAGUAGAUUAUCCAAUAGUUGUAGUUGCACAUAUAAUAGUCUGUUGUUGUAUAUAUGAUUUAGAAAGUUGCACAACACGAUGAUACUAAGUUGGCUAGAUGAUGUUUUUGCUUAAAUUGAUCUAUUCUUGUUAGUCGUAUUUUCAGUUGGCAUCCAUGACACGAUAAUAUAAUAUAGCAAUGUGUUUGCUGUCAUUUCUCGUGGAACGCGAGGGUGACGACCUUGACACUAUAUCGCUAUCGACGGGCCGGGGUAGCGUAUCGAUAGAGCGCAUAAAGAAGACUCAAGACUGCUCGCUGUGGCUGCAAACGGAAAGGAGGCACGCGCGUCUUCGAGACAGACUGACCGACUGUACACACGUUCCAUUCGUGGAUCCGAAUCAAAUCGAUAAACCUAAAUACUUCAUGGUGCACGCGNNNNNNNNNNNNNNNNNNNNNNNNNNNNNNNNNNNNNNNNNNNNNNNNNNNNNNNNNNNNNNNNNNNNNNNNNNNNNNNNNNNNNNNNNNNNNNNNNNNNNNNNNNNNNNNNNNNNNNNNNNNNNNNNNNNNNNNNNNNNNNNNNNNNNNNNNNNNNNNNNNNNNNNNNNNNNNNNNNNNNNNNNNNNNNNNNNNNNNNNNNNNNNNNNNNNNNNNNNNNNNNNNNNNNNNNNNNNNNNNNNNNNNNNNNNNNNNNNNNNNNNNNNNNNNNNNNNNNNNNNNNNNNNNNNNNNNNNNNNNNNNNNNNNNNNNNNNNNNNNNNNNNNNNNNNNNNNNNNNNNNNNNNNNNNNNNNNNNNNNNNNNNNNNNNNNNNNNNNNNNNNNNNNNNNNNNNNNNNNNNNNNNNNNNNNNNNNNNNNNNNNNNNNNNNNNNNNNNNNNNNNNNNNNNNNNNNNNNNNNNNNNNNNNNNNNNNNNNNNNNNNNNNNNNNNNNNNNNNNNNNNNNNNNNNNNNNNNNNNNNNNNNNNNNNNNNNNNNNNNNNNNNNNNNNNNNNNNNNNNNNNNNNNNNNNNNNNNNNNNNNNNNNNNNNNNNNNNNNNNNNNNNNNNNNNNNNNNNNNNNNNNNNNNNNNNNNNNNNNNNNNNNNNNNNNNNNNNNNNNNNNNNNNNNNNNNNNNNNNNNNNNNNNNNNNNNNNNNNNNNNNNNNNNNNNNNNNNNNNNNNNNNNNNNNNNNNNNNNNNNNNNNNNNNNNNNNNNNNNNNNNNNNNNNNNNNNNNNNNNNNNNNNNNNNNNNNNNNNNNNNNNNNNNNNNNNNNNNNNNUGGAGCCGGAGCCGCCAUGGAACUCACGCGAGAGGGCCACCCUACGCCCCGCUACUCCUUCCUCCCAUGGUGUUGCUGCCGCUGCUGGUGGAGCUGUGCAAGUCCAUUGGUGUGCACGCGCUGCUGCUCAUGGUGUCAUGGUGCCCGGCAUCAUUGGCGCUCAGCUCUUGUACCUACUGCCCGCCGAAUCGCCAUGCAAUGUCGUCCUGUUCAGAGCUUACGGACAUGGUGCUCACCUGAAUACUAAUAAAAAAAUUUAGUUCCUGCACGGCUGCACAACCUUCAGUCUUGGUUGAUUAUCACGAGUGCUUUUUUGCCUGAGUAGAUUAUCCAAUAGUUGUAGUUGCACAUAUAAUAGUUUGUAGUUGUAUAUAUGAUUUAGAAAGUUGCACAACAUGAUGAUACUAAGUUGGCUAGAUGAUGUUUUUGCAUAAAUUGAUCUAUUUUUGUCGGUCAUAUUUUUAGUUGGCAUCCAUGACAUUACAAUAUAAUAUAGCAAUGUGUUUGCUGUCAUUUCUCGUGGAACGCGAGGGUAACGACCAUUACACUAUAUCGCUAUCGACGGGCCGGGGUAGCUUAUCGAUAGAGCGCAUAAAGAAGACUCAAGACUGCUCGAUGUUGCUGGAAACAGAAAGGAGGCACGUGCGGCUUCAAGAUAGACCGACCGACUGUACACGGAUUCCAUUCGUGGAUCCGAAUCGAAUCGAUAAACAUAAAUACUUCUUGAUGCACGCGCAUGAUUUUGCUGAACCGAUCGGCCACGCUUGGACCACUCAUUUCGAGCGCAUCGUGCGGCCCACGGCCACCAUGUGUUUCCUGGUCGGGGCGAGACGUGGUUGGCUCAUGCGCUAUCCGACAAAGCCGAUGUGAACCAAUCGCUCCCUUACUUCCUCUCCUAAAAAACAAAGGCUUAUCCUUAUCAUCUUUUCAUCGCCUCCAUCGAAUCCGUGCGAGGAAGCAGUGUGUCUCUGCCGGAGGCCAAGCCGAGGCGGCCAACCGGAGAAACCUGGAGAACAGGUCAGGCAAGGAGCCGGACCAGCAGUGCCGCCACCUCCUCCGCCCUCCUUCUAUGAGCUGGAGCCGGAGCCGCCAUGGAACUCACGCCUGAGGGCCACCCUACGCCCCGCUACUCGUCCCGGCGAGGCAUGAAGCCAGACAAAAUUCUCGUAAACCGGUCGGACCGCUGCGGCGCGGUCGUGUUUGCCUUGGAUGCACCCCAUGGUGUUCCUGCCGCUGCUGGUGGAGUUGUGCAAGUUCAUUGGUGUGCACACGCUGCUGCUCAUGGAAUCAUGGUACCCGGCAACAUUGGUGCUCAACUCUUGUACCUACUGCACGUCAAAUCGCCAGGCAACAUCGUCUUGUUCAGAGCUGACGGACAAGGUGCUCACCUGAAUGCUAAUAAAUUUUUUAGUUCCUGCACAGCUGCAAAACCUUCAAUCUUGGUUGAUUAUCACGAGUGCUUAUUUGCCUGAGUAGAUUAUCCAAUAGUUGUAGUUGCACAUAUAAUAGUCUGUUGUUGUAUAUAUGAUUUAGAAAGUUGCACAACACGAUGAUACUAAGUUGGCUAGAUGAUGUUUUUGCUUAAAUUGAUCUAUUCUUGUUAGUCGUAUUUUCAGUUGGCAUCCAUGACACGAUAAUAUAAUAUAGCAAUGUGUUUGCUGUCAUUUCUCGUGGAACGCGAGGGUGACGACCUUGACACUAUAUCGCUAUCGACGGGCCGGGGUAGCGUAUCGAUAGAGCGCAUAAAGAAGACUCAAGACUGCUCGCUGUGGCUGCAAACGGAAAGGAGGCACGCGCGUCUUCGAGACAGACUGACCGACUGUACACACGUUCCAUUCGUGGAUCCGAAUCAAAUCGAUAAACCUAAAUACUUCAUGGUGCACGCGAACGAUUUUGCUUAACCGAGCGGCCGCGCUUGGACCGCUCAUUGCGAGCGCAUCGUGGGGCCCACGACGGCCAGGUGUUUCCUGGUCGGGGCGAGACGUGGUUGGCUCGAGCGCUAUCCGACAAACCCGGUAUGACACCCUUACUUUCUCUCCUGAAAAAAACAAAGGCUUAUCUGUAUCAUCUUUUCAUCGUCUCCCUCGAAUCUGGCGAGGAAGCAGUGUGCCCCAGUCGAAGGCCAUGCCGAGGCGGCUAACCAGAGAAACCUGGAGAGCAGGUUAGCCAAGGAGCCAGACCAGCAGUGCUGCCACCUCCUCCGCCCUCUUUUUAUGAGCUGGAGCCGGAGCCACCAUGGAACUCACGCGAGAGGGCCACCCUACGCCCCGCUACUCCUUCCUCCCAUGGUGUUGCUGCCGCUGCUGGUGGAGCUGUGCAAGUCCAUUGGUGUGCACGCACUGCUGCUCAUGGUGUCAUGGUGCCCGGCAUCAUUGGCGCUCAGCUAUUGUACCUACUGCCCGCCGAAUCGCCAUGCAAUGUCGUCCUGUUCAGAGCUUACGGACAUGGUGCUCACCUGAAUACUAAUAAAAAAAUUUAGUUCCUGCACGGCUGCACAACCUUCAGACUUGGUUGAUUAUCACGAGUGCUUUUUUGCCUGAGUAGAUUAUCCAAUAGUUGUAGUUGCACAUAUAAUAGUCUGUAGUUGUAUAUAUGAUUUAGAAAGUUGCACAACAUGAUGAUACUAAGUUGGCUAGAUGAUGUUUUUGCAUAAAUUGAUCUAUUUUUGUCGGUCAUAUUUUUAGUUGGCAUCCAUGACAUUAUAAUAUAAUAUAACAUUGUGUUUGCUUUCAUUUCUCGUGGAACGCGAGGGUAACGACCAUUACACUAUAUCGCUAUCGACGGGCCGGGGUAGCUUAUCGAUAGAGCGCAUAAAGAAGACUCAAGACUGCUCGAUGUUGCUGGAAACAGAAAGGAGGCACGUGCAGCUUCAAGAUAGACCGACCGACUGUACACGGAUUCCAUUCGUGGAUCCGAAUCGAAUCGAUAAACCUAAAUACUUCUUGAUGCACGCGCAUGAUUUUGCUGAACCAAUCGGCCACGCUUGGACCACUCAUUUCGAGCGCAUCGUGCGGCCCACGGCCACCAGGUGUUUCCUGGUCGGGGCGAGACAUGGUUGGCUCAUGCGCUAUCCGACAAAGCCGAUGUGAACCAAUCGCUCCCUUACUUCCUCUCCUAAAAAACAAAGGCUUAUCCUUAUCAUCUUUUCAUCGCCUCCAUCGAAUCCGUGCGAGGAAGCAGUGUGUCUCUGCCGGAGGCCAAGCCGAGGCGGCCAACCGGAGAAACCUGGAGAACAGGUCAGGCAAGGAGCCGGACCAGCAGUGCCGCCACCUCCUCCGCCGUCCUUCUAUGAGCUUGAGCCGGAGCCGCCAUGGAACUCACGCCUGAGGGCCACCCUACGCCCCGCUACUCGUCCCGGCGAGGCAUGAAGCCAGACAAAAUUCUCGUAAACCAGUCGGACCGCAGCGGCGCGGUCGUGUUUGCCUUGGAUGCACCCCAUGGUGUUCCUGCCGUUGCUGGUGGAGUUGUGCAAGGUCAUUGGUGUGCACACGCUGCUGCUCAUGGAAUCAUGGUACCCGGCAACAUUGGUGCUCAACUCUUGUACCUACUGCACGUCGAAUCGCCAGGCAACAUCGUCUUGUUCAGAGCUGACGGACAAGGUGCUCACCUGAAUGCUAAUAAAUUUUUUAGUUCCUGCACAGCUGCAAAACCUUCAAUCUUGGUUGAUUAUCACGAGUGCUUAUUUGCCUGAGUAGAUUAUCCAAUAGUUGUAGUUGCACAUAUAAUAGUCUGUUGUUGUAUAUAUGAUUUAGAAAGUUGCACAACACGAUGAUACUAAGUUGGCUAGAUGAUGUUUUUGCUUAAAUUGAUCUAUUCUUGUUAGUCGUAUUUUCAGUUGGCAUCCAUGACACGAUAAUAUAAUAUAGCAAUGUGUUUGCUGUCAUUUCUCGUGGAACGCGAGGGUGACGACCUUGACACUAUAUCGCUAUCGACGGGCCGGGGUAGCGUAUCGAUAGAGCGCAUAAAGAAGACUCAAGACUGCUCGCUGUGGCUGCAAACGGAAAGGAGGCACGCGCGUCUUCGAGACAGACUGACCGACUGUACACACGUUCCAUUCGUGGAUCCGAAUCAAAUCGAUAAACCUAAAUACUUCAUGGUGCACGCGCACGAUUUUGCUUAACCGAGCGGCCGCGCUUGGACCGCUCAUUGCGAGCGCAUCGUGGGGCCCACGACGGCCAGGUGUUUCCUGGUCGGGGUGAGACGUGGUUGGCUCGAGCGCUAUCCGACAAACCCGGUAUGACACCCUUACUUUCUCUCCUGAAAAAACAAAGGCUUAUCCGUAUCAUCUUUUCAUCGUCUCCCUCGAAUUUGGCGAGGAAGCAGUGUGCCCCAGGCGAAGUCCAUGCCGAGGCGGCCAACCAGAGAAACCUGGAGAGCAGGUUAGCCAAUGAGCCAGACCAGCAGUGCUGCCACCUCCUCCGCCCUCUUUUUAUGAGCUGGAGCCGGAGCCGCCAUGGAACUCACGCGAGAGGGCCACCCUACGCCCCGCUACUCCUUCCUCCCAUGGUGUUGCUGCCGCUGCUGGUGGAGCUGUGCAAGUCCAUUGGUGUGCACGCGCUGCUGCUCAUGGUGUCAUGGUGCCCGGCAUCAUUGGCGCUCAGCUCUUGUACCUACUGCCCGCCGAAUCGCCAUGCAAUGUCGUCCUGUUCAGAGCUUACGGACAUGGUGCUCACCUGAAUACUAAUAAAAAAAUUUAGUUCCUGCACGGCUGCACAACCUUCAGUCUUGGUUGAUUAUCACGAGUGCUUUUUUGCCUGAGUAGAUUAUCCGAUAGUUGUAGUUGCACAUAUAAUAGUCUGUAGUUGUAUAUAUGAUUUAGAAAGUUGCACAACAUGAUGAUACUAAGUUGGCUAGAUGAUGUUUUUGCAUAAAUUGAUCUAUUUUUGUCGGUCAUAUUUUUAGUUGGCAUCCAUGACAUUGUAAUAUAAUAUAGCAAUGUGUUUGCUGUCAUUUCUCGUGGAACGCGAGGGUAACGACCAUUACACUAUAUUGCUAUCGACGGACCGGGGUAGCUUAUCGAUUGAGCGCAUAAAGAAGACUCAAGACUGCUCGAUGUUGCUGGAAACAGAAAGGAGGCAUGUGCGGCUUCAAGAUAGACCGACCGACUGUACACGGAUUCCAUUCGUGGAUCCGAAUCGAAUCGAUAAACCUAAAUACUUCUUGAUGCACGCGCAUGAUUUUGCUGAACCGAUCGGCCACGCUUGGACCACUCAUUUCGAGCGCAUCGUGCGGCCCACGGUCACCAGGUGUUUCCUGGUCGGGGCGAGACAUGGUUGGCUCAUGCGCUAUCCGACAAAGCCGAUGUGAACCAAUCGCUCCCUUACUUCCUCUCCUAAAAAACAAAGGCUUAUACAUAUCAUCUUUUCAUCGCCUCCAUCGAAUCCGUGCGAGGAAGCAGUGUGUCUCUGCCGGAGGCCAAGCCGAGGCGGCCAACGGGAGAAACCUGGAGAACAGGUCAGGCAAGGAGCCGGACCAGCAGUGCCGCCACCUCCUCCGCCCUCCUUCUAUGAGCUGGAGCCGGAGCCGCCAUGGAACUCACGCCUGAGGUCCACCCUACGCCCCGCUACUCGUCCCGGCGAGGCAUGAAGCCAGACAAAAUUCUCGUAAACCGGUCGGACCGCAGCGGCGCGGUCGUGUUUGCCUUGGAUGCACCCCAUGGUGUUCCUGCCGUUGCUGGUGGAGUUGUGCAAGGUCAUUGGUGUGCACACGCUGCUGCUCAUGGAAUCAUGGUACCCGGCAACAUUGGUGCUCAACUCUUGUACCUACUGCACGUCGAAUCGCCAGGCAACAUCGUCUUGUUCAGAGCUGACGGACAAGGUGCUCACCUGAAUGCUAAUAAGUUUUUUAGUUCCUGCACAGCUGCAAAACCUUCAAUCUUGGUUGAUUAUCACGAGUGCUUAUUUGCCUGAGUAGAUUAUCCAAUAGUUGUAGUUGCACAUAUAAUAGUCUGUUGUUGUAUAUAUGAUUUAGAAAGUUGCACAACACGAUGAUACUAAGUUGGCUAGAUGAUGUUUUUGCUUAAAUUGAUCUAUUCUUGUCAGUCGUAUUUUUAGUUGGCAUCCAUGACACGAUAAUAUAAUAUAGCAAUCUGUUUGCUGUCAUUUCUCGUGGAACGCGAGGGUGACGACCUUGACACUAUAUCGCUAUCGACGGGCCGGGGUAGCGUAUCGAUAGAGCGCAUAAAGAAGACUCAAGACUGCUCGCUGUGGCUGCAAACGGAAAGGAGGCACGCGCGUCUUCGAGACAGACUGACCGACUGUACACACGUUCCAUUGUGGAUCCGAAUCAAAUCGAUAAACCUAAAUACUUCAUGGUGCACGCGCACGAUUUUGCUUAACCGAGCGGCCGCGCUUGGACCGCUCAUUGCGAGCGCAUCGUGGGGCCCACGACGGCCAGGUGUUUCCUGGUCGGGGCGAGACGUGGUUGGCUCGAGCGCUAUCCGACAAACCCGGUAUGACACCCUUACUUUCUCUCCUGAAAAAACAAAGGCUUAUCCGUAUCAUCUUUUCAUCGUCUCCCUCGAAUCUGGCGAGGAAGCAGUGUGCCCCAGUCGAAGUCCAUGCCGAGGCGGCCAACCAGAGAAACCUGGAGAGCAGGUUAGCCAAGGAGCCAGACCAGCAAUGCUGCCACCUCCUCCGCCCUCUUUUUAUGAGCUGGAGCCGGAGCCGCCAUGGAACUCACGCGAGAGGGCCACCCUACGCCCCGCUACUCCUUCCUCCCAUGGUGUUGCUGCCGCUGCUGGUGGAGCUGUGCAAGUCCAUUGGUGUGCACGCGCUGCUGCUCAUGGUGUCAUGGUGCCCGGCAUCAUUGGCGCUCAGCUAUUGUACCUACUGCCCGCCGAAUCGCCAUGCAAUGUCGUCCUGUUCAGAGCUUACGGACAUGGUGCUCACCUGAAUACUAAUAAAAAAAUUUAGUUCCUGCACGGCUGCACAACCUUCAGUCUUGGUUGAUUAUCACGAGUGCUUUUUUGCCUGAGUAGAUUAUCCAAUAGUUGUAGUUGCACAUAUAAUAGUCUGUAGUUGUAUAUAUGAUUUAGAAAGUUGCGUAACACGAUGAUACUAAGUUGGCUAGAUGAUGUUUUUGCAUAAAUUGAUCUAUUUUUGUCGGUCAUAUUUUUAGUUGGCAUCCAUGACAUUAUAAUAUAAUAUUGCAAUGUGUUUGCUGUCAUUUCUCGUGGAACGCGAGGGUAACGACCAUUACACUAUAUCGCUAUCGACGGGCCGGGGUAGCUUAUCGAUAGAGCGCAUAAAGAAGACUCAAGACUGCUCGAUGUUGCUGGAAACAGAAAGGAGGCAUGUGCGGCUUCAAGAUAGACCGACCGACUGACUGUACACGGAUUCCAUUCGUGGAUCCGAAUCGAAUCGAUAAACCUAAAUACUUCUUGAUGCACGCGCAUGAUUUUGCUGAACCGAUCGGCCACGUUUGGACCACUCAUUUCGAGCGCAUCGUGCGGCCCACGGCCACCAGGUGUUUCCUGGUCGGGGCGAGACGUGGUUGGCUCAUGCGCUAUCCGAACGGUGUGAACCAAUCGCUCCCUUAAUUUCUGACCUGAAAAAACAAAGGCUUGUCCUUAUCAUCUUUUCAUCGUCUCCAUCGAAUCCGGCGAGGAAGCAUGUUAGGAAUAAGCCACGCAUGAGUAUGUGCUCGUGUGUGUGAUCUAUGUGCAUGGGUGUGACCGUGUACAUGCAAGAUUCUGUUAGUGCAUGCCCUGAUUAGUUAGCUUGUUUGUUGGCUUGGCCAGGUCGCCGGACGAGCGUGUAUGUGAGCGUACGUUUCGGUGAAAGAGUUACCUAGCUAGGUAGGCGAUCCGUUGGGUUCGGCCGUGGCGUGCGUGUCGUGGGAGCGCACGGCCGGGCAUGCACAUCCUGCGGGCGAGGUGGGCUGUGCGUCGUGCGCCAGCCCGGGUAUAAAUUCUAUAGACGCGGGAUAGUUGUAAUGCACUGAGUUGAGCACCAUGUAGACAUUGCAAAAGGAAGAAAGAUUCGCGCGUUCGUGCACCGGUCCGAGAAACUUGUGUCCACUGCGUUCAUCUCCUUCCUUCUUUCUUGUUCAAGCGAGUGAGUUGAGAGGGAGAGGUAGUUCGGGGUUUGUCCCAACAUUUGAUAUCAUGAGCUGGUUCAUCUUGGGCGUCGUUCUUCUUGCCAGAGGUGUGCCGGCGGUGGCGGAGUUCGCCGCGGUUGCGUGAUGCUCCAGGCCGUGGGUCGGCCUAUGGAGGAGUGCGGCGCGGCGAGGAGGCCACGGUGACUGCGGCGGCAUGGUGAGGAGGCCGCGGAGGACCUGCGUGGUGGCGGCUUCAACGACAACGACGGCGCGGCGAGUGCGUUGCGGCGGCUCGGCGCGACAACGGUGGAGGCGCGUGGCACGGAGCCGCAGCGCUCGUGUCGGAGGCGUCAGGCGCGUGUAUGGGCGCGCGCCGGGCGUGUCAGGCGCGGCGGGACCGUGGUGUAGGGUGGCCGUUGGCGAGCGGGGGUGUGCGCAUCACGGGCUCGCCGCGACUAGAUGUGUGCGUGCAUGUCGGAGGGGGCGCGGGCAGAGCGGACGGAACGGGCGCUCGACGUAGGCUGGGACGUGGGUGCGUGCCCGGCGCGUCCCUGCAUAUAAAACCCCACCCGUGUACAUUGUAAUAGCAGCGCCCGGAGUCGAGUUCGAGCUCGAGGGAAUCAAGGUCGUUGGUGUACCAGGAAGAGAAGCUGUGGCGUGUGUCACCGGAGAUGAAGAAGGCGUUCUCUAUGGCAGUCGACGAGAGGCCGGAGUCCUGUCAGGAUGGGCGGCGAGGUCGUGGCUUAGAUGGGAGAAUGUUAGGAAUAAGUCAGGCAUGAGUAUGUGCUCGCGUGUGUGAUCUAUGUGCAUGGGUGUGACCGUGUGCAUGCAAGAUUCUGUUAGCGCAUGCUCUGAUUAGUUAGCUAGUUUGUUGGCUUGGACGGGUCGCCGGAGGAGCGUGUAUGGGAGCGUACGUUUCGGUGAAAGAGUUAGCUAGCUAGGUAGGCGAUCCGUUGGGAUCGGCCGGGGCGUGCGGGUCGUGGGAGCGCACGGCCGGGCAUGCGGAUCCUGCGGGCGUGACGUGAAGUUUGUGCUCGGCAUAUUUCCUCGGAAUACCCGGCAUGUUUUUGGGGGUCCGUGCGAAGAUAUCCCGAUUCUGACGGAGGAAGUCGACGAGCUCGCCUUCCUAUUUGCUGUCGAGGCGGGCGCCUACCAGUGGCGGUGCCAGGAUCGAAACCUUGUGUUGUCAAGCUUUAUACAAAUGAAACAUUUUGUAGGUAAAUUAAACAAGAACACAAGAAGACCAUACUUCAUUUGAUACAUAUUUGUUGUACAAGCUUUUUCUAUUAUAUAUAUUUCAUCUUAAACAUGUCUUUUGAUAUAAAGAUCUUAAACAUUUUUAUGGUAACAACGCUUUGACAAAUGUAUCCAUGUACCAUUGCCAAACUUAAGACCUAACAAAUGACAAAACAAGGUUUUGCUAAAAGAAACAAUAUCUGAAUUUCAUGUGAGAAUAUAAAAUUUCAAGAGAAAGAAGACAGAAACUUAAAAACAGAAAAGGAAGGGCCUCGUCCUAUACACUCGCCGAGUCGCUGAAGGUGCAGUACUACGGAGAUCGGAGAUCUACUAGAGCAGCGGAGGAGGCCGUGCUCAUUGUGGUGAUUCCAGGCAACGGCGACCUCGGCGGUCGGUGAGCAGCAUGGGUAUCCAUGCAUGAUGUGCUUCACUGCUCCUCCCCACGGCGUAGUGCAUGAUUGGCCAUUAGAGAUUAUACACAGGAAGGUGAAAAAGGAGAGAGUUCGAAGGAAUAUCACGGGAUUUCAGGAGACGGUCACGAAGUUGUUUUGGAGGACGAUUAGGGAAGUUAAUAAUGACGUCGGGAGCUUCCUUUUUCUAUAUGGGCCAGCCAAAUCUCACGAAAAACUGAUACCAACUGGGCAUGUUUUAGUUAGAGGACCUCUUUUAGUUAAUUUCCAGAACCUGUUUAUUUGGAAGUGGGGUACGAUGUCACGGACUCACGGUAGUGUUUGAGUACCAAAUUCCUGUGUAGUCGCUUGACAACAUAGUCAUAGUGUGGCUUCGCCACUGGCGCCUACGACAACGUACUUGCUGCAGCUGGGGUCUUCCGGGUUGAGCUUCACUCUCUUGGUCUCCUUGGAGGGCUUGAAGGCUGCCUCGUCGACCGGGUCCAGGGUCGGGAUCGACGCAGCGGAGGCCUCACCGGCCAGGGCGACGAUCCAGUCGAGUUGGCGCCGCUCCUCGGCAAUGACCAGCGACUCAGCCAACUUGGCGCUGUCUCGGGCGCACUCCAAGGACUUGCGGUAAUCGCCGGUGAUGGUGAUGAGACCCUUGGGACCCGGCAUUCUUCAUCUUCAGAUAUGCGUAGUGGGUAACCGCCAUGAACUUGGCGAGCGCGGGCCGGCCCAGCAACGCGUGAUACGCGCUGGACAGGUCCACCAACUCGAACCAGACCGGUUCGCGUCGGAAGUGGCUAUUGUCGCCGAACAGGACAUUGAGCCAGAACCGGCCAAUGGGCGAGCAGGAGAGGCCGGGUACGAUGCCGUGGAAGAUCGCCCGGCUCGGUUCCAGGUCCUCGGCCUUGAGGCAGAGCUUGGUCAUCGUGUCGCGGUAGAGGAUGUUGAUGCUGCUGCCGCCGUCGAUGAGGACUCGGGAGAACUUGCAUGUACGCCGUGCGACGAUGGUGGGGUUGAGGACGAGGGCGUAGCCACACAGGCUUGGCAUGACUACCGGGUGAUCCUCCCGGGUCCAGGUGAUCGGGCGAUCCGACCAAUGCAUAAACUCCAGCUUGGCUGGGACGACGGUGUUCACCUCCUGCCGAAGGAGGCGCUCGCUGCGCUUGUCAUUGCCGAGGCUGGUGAAGACGACAUAGGCCGCGUUCUGGUCCGGGUAGGCGUCUUCCGCAUCGCGCGGCCAGCGGGAGGCGGUGGUGGAGGCGGAGGCGGCUGUCCCGCGCCUGGAGCCGCAAGCGGAGGAGGCGGGACGUCGCCCCUCAUGAUGCGCUUGGUGAUGGUGCACUGUCGAAGCGUGUGCGUGGAAGGUCUUGCGCCGCUGUGGUGCUUGCAGGGGGCGUCGAGCAUCUCUUCGAAACUCAUGGCGGGUUGCCAUGCCAUCUUGCCGCUUUGCCGGCGCUUCGCCGCCGGGUCCGCCGCGGGCUCGGCCGCCGCGACGAGCAGGUUAUCGUGACGCUGCGCCGGCUGGUCGGCCAUGCGCUUGUUGUUCUGGUGAUGCUGCUGCCGGCUGCUUUCACCGGCCGGCUUCGGAGGGAGAACCGGCUUCGCCUUGCCGGCCUCAUCUAGCGCCACCUGGAUCUUCAUGGCGGAGUCUGAUGACCCACAAGUGUACGGGAUCUAUCGUAGUCCUUUCGAUAAGUAAGAGCGUCGAGCCCAACGAGGAGCAGAAGGAAAUGAUAAGCGGUUUUUAGUAAGGUUUUCUGCAAGCACUGAAAUUGUAGGUGAUAAAUAGUUUUGUGAUAAGAUAAAUAGUAACGAGUAAGAAGUAAACAAAGUAAAUAAAGUGUAGCAAGGUGGCCCAAUCCUUUGGCAAAGGAUAAGCCUGGACAAUUUCUAAUAAUGAGAAAGGAGCUCCCGAGGGCACAUGGGAAUUAUCGUCAAGCUAGUUUUCAUCAAGCUCAUAUGAUUCGCGUUCGGUACUUUGAUAAUUUGAUAUGUGGGUGGACCGGUGCUUGGGUACUGCCCUUACUUGGACAAGCAUCGCACUUAUGAUUAACCCCUAUUGCAAGCAUCCGCAAGUACAACAAAAGUAUUAAGGUAAACCUAACCAUAGCAUGAAACAUAUGGAUCCAAAUCAGCCCCUAACAAAGCAACGCAUAAACUAGGGUUUAAGCUUCUGUCACUCUAGCAACCCAUCAUCUACUUAUUACUUCCCUAUGCCCUCCUCUAGGCGCAAUAAUGGUGAAGUGUCAUGUAGUCGACGUUCACAUGACACCACUAGAGGAGAAGAGAACAUACAUCUCAUCAAAAUAUCGAUCGAAUACCAAAUUCACAUGACUACUAAUAGCAAGACUUCACCCAUGUCCUCAGGAACAAACGUAACUACUCACAAAGCAUAUUCAUGUUCAUGAUCAGAGAUGUAGUAAUAUGCAUUAAGGAUAUGAACAUAUGAUCUUUCACCAAGUAAACCAAUAAGUAUCAACUAGAAGGAGUAAUCAACACUGCUAGCAACCCACAGGUACCAAUUUGUGGUUUUGGAUACAAGAUUGGAUACAAGAGAUGAACUAGGGUUUGAGAGGAGAUGGUGCUGGUGAAGAUGUUGAUGGAGAUUGACCCCCUCCCGAUGAGAGCAUCGUUGGUGAUGACGUUGGUGAUGAUUUCCCCCUCCCAGAGGGAAGUGUCCCCGGAAAAACAGCUCUGCCAGAGCCCUAGAUUGGUUCCGCCAAGGUUCCGCCUCGUGGCGGCGGAGUUUCGUCCCGUAAGCUUGCCCACGAUUUUUUCCAGGGUAAAAGCGAUGAUAUAGCAGAAGAUGGACACCGGAGGUCCACCAGGGGGCCCAGGAAAUAGGGGGCGCACCCUAUAGGGGGGGCGCCCUAUAGGGGGGUGCCCCCUGUCUCCUGGACAGGGUGUGGGCCCCCUGGUUUAUUUCUUUCGCUCAAAAAUUCUUAUUAAUUCCGAAAGUUGUUUCGUGGAGUUUCAGGACUCUUGGAGUUGUGCAGAAUAGGUUUCCAACGUUUGUUCCUUUUUCUAGCCAGAAUUCCAGUUGCCGGCAUUCCCCCUCUUCAUGGUAAACCUUGUAAAAUAAGAGAGAAUAGCCAUAAGUACUGAGAUAUAUUGUGUAAUAACAGCCCAUAAUGCAAUAAAUAUUGAUAUAAAAGCAUGAUGCAAAAUGGACGUAUCGGAGUCGGCGUUGGCGUACUUGUCCGCCGUCACCAUGAGCGCGGCCAUGGUGGCCGGCUCGGAGCGUAGGAGCUUGUGUUUGAGGAGGGUUCCAUCUCGGCACCCGCUGACGAAGUACUGUAUCGCCUGGACUUCAAGGACGCCUCGCAGCUAUUCCGGAGCUCGGUCCAGCGUGCGAGGUACUCACGGCCGGUCUCCUCGGCCCCUCCACGCACAUGGCGAGCUGGCUGGGGCGAACGGGUCGCUUGUAGGUCCCCGUAAAGUUGUGGACAAAGGCUUCCACGAAGUCGACCCACGCGUUGAUGCUUCCCAUCGGCAGGCUGUUCAACCAUGUGCGGGCCGACCCCUGGACCAUGAGCGGUGCGUAGCACACGGCGAGACAAUGAUUGGCACCGGUGAUGCCAAUGGCCGUGGUGUAGUCGGUGAGCCAGUCUUCUGGCUUCACCGUCCCGUUGUACUUGGGGGUGUCGCGGGGGAGCAUGAACCAUUUGGGAAUGGGCUCCUCCCGGAUGGGUGGUCCGAAGCACGCCGGCCCGAUAGCGCCGCUCUCCCCCAAAUCCAGGGAGCGAGCGAGCUGAUCGAGGCGGUGGCACGCGUCGGCGUCGUUGAUGGCGCGCGGGCCGAGUCGACUGGUGGUCAGGCCCCGAGGGGCCGGGUCGGUUGGAGCCGGACGUCGGCCAUGCUGGCCGGGUCCGUGCUGGGUCUCCCAGGCGGGCUCAUUGCCCGGGACGUCGGCGGCCAUGGUGGCCGGGUUGCGCCAAGUCCGGGUUCGGUCGGAGUGCACUUCGCCGGGUGGCGAGGAAGUCGUGUGCAGGAGUUCGCCGGGUCCGCCAAGGCGGGCGGAGCCGGACCCCGCCGGCUUGGCAAGCUGGUUGAGGCGAUCCUGCUAGGUGUUGGCGGCGUGGAGGAGCUCGCGCAUCCGCCCGAUGCGCUCUUUGAGCUCCUCGCCCGCGAGUUGGUCGAGGCCGACCGCGGCAGCCUCCGCAGCGUGCAUGUUCUUCACUGGGGUCUCGUAGAAGGCCUGGACGGCGCCGAAGGCCCGGCCGAUCGCUCCUCCCCAGGUGCGAGCAUCGGCGACCCGGCUUGGCUCGGCCGCGGCGGGUGUGAAUCCGUGGGCGGCGUCAGGCUCCAACUGAGCGGCCUCCAGGCGACGCCUGGUGGCGGUUCUCGGACAGGUCCAGCAUCUGAUUGCGUCUAUCCUCGAGCUGGGUUCGGGCUUUGACAACGUUGGUGGCGUCGACGUUGGUGCCGAUGGGGAUGCGGAGGCUUUGCAUCGCGGCGCGCAGCGGGUCGGACGGCACGGUCCGUGCCGCAGCGGCCCCGGCUUCUGCGACCCUCCUCGCCUUGCUCGACGAGGAAGAGGCGCGAUCGCCGGUGACGAAAACCUCCACAUGGACGUCCAUCGCCCCGGCGGCGAUACCGCUGCCAAGGGAGAGUGGAGAGUCGGAGUGCUGAGCACCUCGCUGGGGUACUCGUCGACCGCGAACACAUCGGAGAUGCACAGCGCGGUGAACGAUGCGGCGAGCGCACCGGUGACGUCGUCUGCCAGAGCGACGGACUCGUCGGAGUAGGAGAAGGGCCCCGUCUGAAGCAUGCUCGCGGCUAGCUCCUCGAGCUACCCCAUGGUGAGCGCCAACUGUCGUGGUGGGCGCACGGCAGAUGCCAAGGGAUGGCUAAAGAGAGGAGGAGGCUCGAGGGCGCUGGUGGGCUCCAGAGGCGAGGUUGGCAUGCGCGAGCGCGGGACGCUGGACAUACCCAGGUUCGGGGCUCUCCGGAGAGAUAACACCCCUAGUCCUGCCGAGUUUAGUUGGAUGGUCGAUUGCAACAAUGUUGCUCCUGGAACUGUAUGGAGGAGGAAGGAAGCUGGCCAAGGCUUGGGCCGCUCCUUCUCUACGGCGCUGCCGUUGGGUGGCUAGUCCUAUGGCUACUUGUGUUUCUCUUGUGUCUCGUACAUAUGACUCUCUCUAUAGGCGCGGGUUCCUGGGGGAUUUUAUAGAUCAACCCACCUAGGGUUACAAUGGUAAUACGCCGAGUCGGUGGGUCCGUAUUGUCGGUGUCUGGGAUACCGGGCUGGGUCCCCGCUUGAGGGCUUGUGGUUCGCCGGGUUACCCUAGGUGCGGGCCCCGCGUGCCUAGGGGAACUGUUUGUCGUCUUGUCAAUCGUCAGGGCGUGGCCGAGUCGAGUCGUGUACAGUGCUCUACAUUAGGUUGCAGCUUGUUGCCGUCAUCGGUGAGGGCAAGAGCACUGUUCCCACGCCAGCCUCGGUUAGCGGGUAGGUCAAGGGCAUUGUUGCCACGCUCCGGCUGACCAUAGGCAUGGGCGGAAGCAUUGUAGUCUUGGUCAUCGGUGAUUAAAGUCUCGUCCCAUCGUACGGCCUGGAUGGGACGGGAGCUACGUGGCUGGGUUGCCGUGCACGCCACGGGUGGGGUCGGCUUGUUGGGGAAGCCUUGGUGGCGCCGGGUUGGGUUGUCUUGCGCCAGUUGCUGUGGCCGGGUCGACGUACCUUGCCGAGUCGAAGAGCUUGGCCGGGUUGCGGGCCUUGCCGGGUCGAGCGACCUGGCCAGGCGCGUGCCCGUUCGUGGGACGAUGCGGGCCCUGCCAUUCUUGAAAAGGAUCCGGGUUCCGUUGCCUGCCCGGGGUUCAUCCCCCCGAUAGGGGUGGCGCCCAGGCCACUUAGGGGCUGGUUCCCUUCGACAUACAUCCCAUAGGGCCCUCCUGGGCAGGUGGACCCUCCCGGUGGACCCCCGGAACCCCUCCGGUGGUCCCGGUACAAUACCGGUAAACCCUCGAAUACUUCCGGUGACCGUAUAAUGACUUCCCAUAUAUAAAUCUUCACCUCUGGACCAUUCCGAAACUCCUCGUGGUGACCGGGAUCUCAUUCGGGACUCCGAACAACAUUCGGUAAUCACGUACAAAUCUUCCCUUUAACCCUAGCAUCAUCGAACCUUAAGUGUGUAGACCCUACGGGUUCGGGAAUCAUGCAGACAUGACCGAGACAGCUCUCCGGCCAAUAACCAACAGUGGGAUCUGGACACCCAUGUUGGCUCCCACAUGUUCCACGAUGAUCUCAUCAGAUGAACCACAAUGUCGAGGAUUCAAGCAAUCUCGUAUGCAAUUCCCUUUGUCAAUCAGUACGUUACUUGCCCGAGAUUCUAUCAUCGGUAUCCCAAUACCUCGUUCAAUCUCGUUACUGGCAAGUCACUUUACUCGUUGCGUAAUGCAUGAUACUGUGACUAACUACUUAGUCACAUUGAGCUAAUUAUGAUGAUGCAUUACCAAGUGGGCCCAGAGAUACCUCUCCGUCAUACGGAGUGACAAAUCCCAUUCUCCAUUAGUGCCAACCCAACAAACACUUUCGGAGAUACCUAUAGUGCACCUUUAUAGUCACCUAGUUACGUUGUGACGUUUGGUACACCCAAAGCACUCCUACAGUAUCCGGGAGUUACACAAUCUCAUGGUCUAAGGAAAUGACACUUGACAUUAGAAAAGCUUUAGCAAACGAACUACACGAUCUUGUGCUAUGCUUAGGAUUGGGUCUUGUCCAUCACAUCAUUCUCCUAAUGAUGUGAUCCCGUUAUCAAUGACAUCCAAUGUCCAUAGUCAGGAAACCAUGACCAUCUGUUGAUCAACGAGCUAGUCAACUAGAGACUCACUAGGGACAUGUUGUGGUCUAUGUAUUCACACAUGUAUUACGGUUUCCAGUUAAAACAAUUAUAGCACGAACAAUAGACAAUUAUCAUGAACAAGGAAAUAUAAUAAUAACCAUUUUAUUAUUGCCUCUAGGGCAUAUUUCCAAUAGUCUCCCACUUGCACUAGAGUCAAUAAUCUAGUUCCAUUGUGAUGAAUCGAACACCCAUAGAGUUCUGGUAUUGAUCAUGUUUUGCUCGUGGAAGAGGUUUAGUCAACGGAUCUGCGACAUUCAGAUCCGUAUGUACUUUACAAAUCUCUAUGUCUCCAUCUUGAACAUUUUCACGAAUGGAGUUGAAGUGACGCUUGAUAUGCCUAGUCUUCUUGUGAAACCUAGGCUCCUUGCUAAGGGCAAUAGCUCCAGUGUUGUCACAGAAGAGAGUCAUCGGGCCCGACUUAUUGGGAAUAACUCCUAGGUCGGUAAUGAACUCAUUCAUUCAGAUUGCUUCAUGCGCUGCCUCCGAGGGUGCCAUGUACUCCGCUUCACAUGUAGAACCCUCCACGACGCUUUGCUUGCAACUGCACCAGCUUACUGCCCCACCAUUCAAAAUAUACACGUAUCCGGUUUGUGACUUGGAGUCAUCCACAUCUGUGUCGAAGCUAGCAUCGACGUAACCCUUUACGAUGAGCUCUUCGUCACCUCCAUAAAUGAGAAACAUAUCCUUAGUCCUUUUCAGGUACUUCAGGAUAUUCUUGACCGCUGUCCAGUGUUCCAUGCCGGGAUUACUUUGGUACCUCCCUACCAAACUUACGGCAAGGUUUACCUCAGGUCUGGUACACAACAUGGCAUACAUAAUAGACCCUAUGGACGAGGCAUAGGGGAUGACACUCAUCUUUUCUCUAUCUUCUGCCGAGGUCGGGCAUUGAGCUGUGCUCAAUUUCUCACCUUGCAAAACAGGCAAGAACCCUUUCUUGGACUGAUCCAUAUUGUACUUCUUCAAUAUCUUAUCAAGGUAUGUGCUUUGUGAAAGACCGAUGAGGCGUCUCGAUCUAUCUCUAUAGAUCUUGGUAUGUGCCUUUAUGCUAUCCAAAAGGUCUACAUCAUUUCCCAUCAAUAGUAUGCCAUCCACAUAUAAUACGAGAAAUGCUACAGAGCUCCCACUCACAAUCUUGUAAAUGCAGGCUUCUUCAUAAGUCUGCACAAACCCAAACGCUUUGAUUAUUUCAUGAAAGCGAAUGUUCCAACUCCGAGAUGUUGCACCAGCCCAUAGACGGAGCGCUGGAGCUUGCACACCUUGUUAGCAUUUUUAGGAUCGACAAAACCUUCCGGCUGCAUCAUAUACAAUUCUUCCUUGAGGAAACCGUUAAGGAAUGCCAUUUUGACGUCCAUUUGCCAUAUCUCAUAAUCAUAGAAUGCGGCAAUUGCUAACAAGAUUCGGACGGACUUCAGCUUCGCUAAGGGUGAGAAGGUCUCAUCGUAGUCAACCCCUUGAACUUGUCAGUAACCCUUAGCGACAAGUCGAGCUUUAUAGAUGGUAACAUUACCAUUCGCGUCGGUCUUCUUCUUAAAGAUCCAUUUAUUUUCUAUCGCUCGCCGAUCAUCGGGCAAGUCUAUCAAAGUCCAUACUUUGUUUUCAUACAUGGAUCCUAUCUUGGAUUGCAUGGCUUCAAGUGAUUUGUUGGAACCUGGGCCCGCCAUCGCUUCUUCAUAGUUCGAAGGUUCACCGUUGUCUAACAACAUGAUUUCCAGGACAGGGUUGCCAUACCAUUCUGGUGUGGAACGUGUCCUUGUGGACCUACGAAGUUCAGUAGCAACUUGAUCCGAAGUACCUUGAUCAUCAUCAUUAACUUCCUCUCUAGUCGGCGCAGCCACCACAGAAACAUCUUCCUGAGCUGCGCUACUUUCCGGUUCAAGAGGCAGUACUUCAUCAAGUUCUACUUUCCUCCCACUUACUUCUUUCGAGAGAAACUCUUUCUCCAGAAAGGACCCAUUCUUGGCAACAAAGAUCUUGCCUUUGGAUCUGGGGUAUAAGGUAUACCCAAUGGUUUCCUUAGGGUAUCCUAUGAAGACGCAUUUUUUCUGACUUGGGUUCGAUCUUUUCAGGUUGAAGUUUCUUGACAUAAGCAUCGCAUCCCCAAACCAUUAGAAACGAUAGCUUAGGUUUCUUCCCAAACCAUAAUUCAUACGGUGUCGUCUCAAAGGAUUUAGACGGUGCCCUAUUUAAAGUGAAUGUAGCUGUCUCUAAAGCGUAUCUCCAAAAUGAUUGCGGUAAAUCGGUAAGAGACAUCAUAGAUCACACCAUAUCCAAUAGAGUGCGAUUAUGAUGUUCGGACACACUGUUACGCUGAGGUGUUCCAGGCGGCGUGAGUUGUGAAACAAUUCCACAUUUCCUUAAUUGCGUACCAAACUCGUGACUCAAAUAUUCUCCCCUAUGAUCUGAUCGUAAGAACUUUAUUUUUCUGUCACGUUGAGUCUCUACCUCACUCUGAAAUUCCUUGAUCUUUUCAAAGGUCAGACUUGUGUUUCAUUAAUUAGACAUACCCAUACCUACUUAAGUCAUCAGUGAGGGUGAGAACAUAGCAUAGCCACCGCGAGCCUCAACGCUCAUUGAACCGCACACAUCAGUAUGUAUGGUUUCCAAUAAGUUGGUUCCUCGCUCCAUUGUUGCAGAGAAUGGAAUCUUGGUCAUUUUGCCCAUGAGGCAUGGUUCGCACGUGUCAAAUGAUUCGUAAUCAAGAGACUCCAAAAGUCUAUCUGCAUGGAGCUUCUUCAUGCGUUUGACACCAAUGUGACCAAGGCGGCAGUGCCACAAGUAUGUGGGACUAUCAUUAUCAACCUUACAUCUUUUGGUAUUCACACUAUGAAUAUGUGUAACAUCACGUUCGAGAUUAAUUAAGAAUAAACCAUUGACCAGCGGGGCAUGACCAUAAAACAUAUCUCUCAUAUAAAUAGAACAACCAUUAUUCUCGGAUUUAAAUGAGUAGCCAUCUCGCAUUAAACGAGAUCCAAAUACAAUGUUCAUACUCAAAGCUGGCACUAAAUAACAAUUAUUGAGGUUUAAAACUAAUCCCGUAGGUAAAUGUAGAGGUAGUGUGCCAACGGCGAUCACAUCGACCUUGGAACCAUUCCCGACGCGCAUCAUCACCUCGUCCUUCGCCAGUCUCCACUUAUUUCGCAGCUCCUGUUUUUAGUUACAAAUACGAGCAACCACACCGGUACCAAAAACCCAGGAGCUACUACGAGUACUGGUAAGGUACACAUCAAUAACAUGUAUAUCACAUAUACCUUUGGUGUUGCCGGCCUUCUUGUCCGCUAAGUACUUGGGGCAGUUCUGCUUCCAAUGACUGUUUCCCUUGCAAUAAAAGCACUCAGUCUUAGAUUUGGGUCCAUGCUUUGGCUUCUUCCGGGCAACUGGCUUACCGGGCACGGAAGCUCCCUUGCCGUCCUUCUUGAAGUUCUUAUUUCCCAUGCCUUUCUUGAAACUUGUGGUUUUAGUGACCAUCAACACUUGAUGUUCCUUUUUGAUCUCCACCUCCACUGGUUUCAGCAUUGAAAAAACCCCAGGAAUGGUUUUCACCAUCCCCUGCAUAUUGUAAUUCAUCACAAAGCUCUUGUAGCUAGGUGGGAGCGACUGAAGGAUUCUGUCAAUGACCAAGUCAUCCGGGAGAUUAACUCCCAGCUGAGACAAACGGUUAUGCAACCCAGACAUUUUGAGCAUGUGCUCGCUAACAGAACCAUUCUCCUCCAUUUUACAACUGUAGAACUUGUCGAAGACUUCAUAUGUCUCGACCCGGGCAUGAGCUUGGAAAACCAUUUUCAGCUCUUGAAACAUCUCAUAAGCUCCGUGCUGCUCAAAACGCUUUUGGAGCCCCGGUUCUAAGCUGUAAAGCAUGCCGCACUGAACCAGGGAGUAAUCAUCACUACGCGACUGUCAGUCAUUCAUAACGUCUUGAGUGGCUGGGAAAACGGGUGCUUCACCUAGCGGCGCAUCUAGGACAUAUGCUUUCUUGCCAGCUAUGAGGAUGAUCCUCAAGUUCCAGACCCAGUCCGUGUAGUCGCUACCAUCGUCUUUCAGCUUGGUUUUCUCUAGGAACGUGUUGAAGUUGAGGGUAACAUUAGCGUGGGCCAUUUGAUCUACAAGACAUAUUGCAUAGAUUUUUAGACUAAGUUCAUGAUAAUUAAGUUCAUCUAAUCAAAUUAUUUAAUGAACUCCCACUCACAUAGAAAUCCCUCUAGUCAUCUAAGUGAUACAUGAUCCGAGUCAACUAGGCCGUGUCCGAUCAUCACGUGAUACAGACUAGUCAUCAUCGGUGAACAUCUUCAUGUUGAUCGUAUCUACUAUACGACUCAUGUUCGACCUUUCGGUCUUUUGUGUUCCGAGGCCAUGUCUGUACAUGCUAGGCUCGUCAAGUCAACCUAAGUGUUUUUGCAUGUGUAAAUCUGGCUUACAUCCGUUGUAUGCGAAUGUUAGAAUCUAUCACACCCGAUCAUCACGUGGUGCUUCGAAACAACGAACUUUCACAACGGUGCACAGUUAGGGGGGACACUUUCUUGAAAUUUUAUGAGGGAUCAUCUUAUUUAUGCUACCGCCGUUCUAAGCAAAUAAGAUGCAAAAACAUGAUAAACAUCACAUGCAAUCAAAUAGUGACAUGAUAUGGCCAAUAUCAUUUUGCUCCUUUUGAUCUCCAUCUUCGGGGCGCCACGAUCAUCAUCGUCACCUGCAUGACACCAUGAUCUCCAUCAUCGUGUCUUCAUGAAGAUGUAUCGCCAACUAUUACUUCUACUAUUAUGGCUAAUGGCUUAGCAAUAAAGUAAAGUAAUUACAUGGCGUUAUUCAAUGACACGCGGGUCAUACAAUAAAUUAAGACAACUCCUAUGGCUCCUGCCGGUUGUCAUACUCAUCGACAUGCAAGUCGUGAUUCCUAUUACAAGAACAUGAUCAAUCUCAUACAUCACAUAUAUUUCAUUCAUCACAUCCUUUUGGCCAUAUCACAUCACACGGCAUAUGCUGCAAGAACAAGUUAGACGUCUUCUAAUUGUUGUUGCAAGUUUUUACAUGGCUGCUAUAGGUUUCUAACAAGAACAUUUCUUACCGAUGCCAAAACCACAACGUGAUAUGCCAAUUGCUAUUUACCCUUCAUGAGGACCCUUUUCAUCAAAUCCGAUCCGACUAAAGUGGGAGAGACAGACACCCGCUAGCCACCUUAUGCAACUAGUGCAUGUCAGUCGGUGGAACCUAUCUCACGUAAGUGUACGUGUAAGGUCGGUCCGGGCCGCUUCGUCCCACGAUGCCGCCGAAUCAAGAUAAGACUAGUAGUGGCAAGUAAAUUGACAAAAUCGACGCCCACAACAACUUGUGUUCUACUCGUGCAUAGAAACUACGCAUAGACCUAUCUCAUGAUGCCACUAUUGGGGAUCGUUGCAGAAAUAAAAAAAUUCUACGCAUCACCAAGAUCAAUCUAUGGAGAAACUAGCAACGAGAGAGAGUGGAGUUCAUCUUCAUACCCUUGAAGAUCAUGAAACGGAAGCAUUGCAAGAACGCGGAUGAAGGAGUCGUACUCGUAGCAAUUCAGAUCGCGGUGGAUUCUGAUCUAAGCGCCGAACAACGGCACCUCCGCGUUCAACACACGUGCAGCCCGGUGACGUCUCUCGCGCCUUGAUCCAGCAAGGAGGAGGGAGAGGUUGAGGAAGACAGCUCCAGCAGCAGCACGACGGCGUGGUGGUGGUGGAGCAACAGUUCUCCGGCAGGGCUUCGCCAAGCUCAAACGGAGGAGGAGAGGUGUUGGAGAGGUGGAGGGAUGCGCCUUGGAUGUCGUGCGGCUGCCCUCCCUCCUCCCCUCUAUUUAUAGGGUGAAGGGGGAAGGGGGCCGGCCCCUCUAGAUGAGAUCUAGAGGGCGGGCAGCGGCCAAGGGGAGGGGGCUUGCCCCCAAGCCAAGGGGGCGCCCCCUUUAGGGUCCCCCCCAACCCUAUGCUCAUGGGUCCUUGGGAGUGGCGCUCAGCCCACUUAGGGUCUGGUUCCCUUCUACAUACAUCCCAUAGGGCCCUCCGGGGCAGGUAGACCCUCCCGGUGGACUCCCGGAACCCCUCCGGUGGUCCCGGUACAAUAUGGGUAAACCUCCGAAUACUCCGGUGACCGUAUGAUGACUUCCCAUAUAUAAAUCUUCACCUCUGAACCAUUCCGGAACUCCUCAUGACGUCCUGGAUCUCAUCCGGGACUUCGAACAACAUUCGGUAAUCACGUACAAAUCUUCCCUAUAAACCUAGCAUCAUCGAACCUUAAGUGUGUAGACCAUACGGGUUCGGGAAUCAUGCAGACAUGACCGAGACAGCUCUCCGGCCAAUAACCAAGAGCGGGAGCUGGAUACCCAUCUUGGCCCCCACAUGUUCCAUGAUGAUCUCAUCGGAUGAGCCACGAUGUCGAGGAUUUAAGCAAUCCCAUAUGCAAUUCCCUUUGUCAAUCGGUACGUUACUUACCCGAGAUUCGAUCGUCGGUAUCCCAAUACCUCGUUCAAUCUUGUUACCGGCAAGUCACUUUACUCGUUGCGUAAUGCAUGAUCCCGUGACUAACUACUUAGUAACAUUGAGCUCAUUAUGAUGAUGCAUUACCGAGUGGGCCCAAAGAUACCUCUCCGUCAUACGGAGUGACAAAUCCCAGUCUCGAUUCGUGCCAACCCAAGAAACACUUUCGGAGAUACCUGUAGUGCACCUUUAUAGUCCCAGUUACGUUGCGACGUUUGGUACACCCAAAGCACUCCUACGGUAUCCGAGAGUUACACAAUCUCAUGGUCUAAGGAAAUGAUACUUGACAUUAGAAAUGAUACUUGUGCUAUGCUUAGGAUUCGGUCUUGUCCAUCACUUCAUUCUCCUAAUGAUGUGAUCCCGUUAUCAAUGACAUCCAAUGUCCAUAGUCAGGAAACCAUGACCAUAUGUUGAUCAACGAGCUAGUCAACUAGAGGCUCACUAGGGACAUGUUGUGGUCUAUGUAUUCACACAUGUAUUACGGUUUCCGGUUAAUACAAUUAUUGCACGAAUAGCAGACAAUUAUCAUGAACAAGGAAAUAUAAUAAUAACCAUUUUAUUAUUGCCUCUAGGGCAUAUUUCCAACAAGCACCAGGUUCGGGCCUCUAUAUGGAGGUAAUGCCCUACUUCCUGCUUGAUUGAUCUUGAUGAAUAUGAGUAUUACAAGAGUUGAUCUACCACAAGAUCGUAAUGGCUAAACCCUAGAAGUCUAGCUUGUAUGAUUGUCAUGAUCCUUUAUCGACUAGCCUGACCUUGGCCUAUAUAAUACACCAGAGGCCUAGGGUAACAAGAGUCCUAGCCGAAUAAGUUGGUCGAGAGGAGUCCUUGUCUUGAUCACCAAGUCUUGUGGAAUACUCCUUGUAUGCGGCAUGGGCUGCCCAAAGUGGCCCAUGUGUGAACUGCCAUGGGGGUCCUCGGCCCGAUCCACCUAGUCGGGAGAUGAUGUGGUGAGUACCCCCUAGUCCAGGACACCAUCAGUAGCCCCCUAAACCGGUCUUCAAGUUGGGGACGCUCCUUGAUCCUUCCGAACUGUUCUUCAUCUUCGGUCGUCGGUCUUGAAAACUGGUUCAACAAAUCUUCUCGUCUUCGAUCUUGAGGAUCGCCGAAAUGAAUCCGAAGGGUUUACACAUCGGGUAUCCAAGGAGCCCCUUUAAGUUCUCGACCUUUAUCAAUGCCUUAGAAUUAUUUUUUACGCCACACCUCGGGUUUGAAGUUGUUCCUGUGCGGCGGUGUCCUCUUGCAUCCGAGCUCCAACGCCGGACUGCAUUCGAGAUAUCUUUUGCAGCCGAGCACCAACACCGGACUAUAUCCGAGCUCCAACGCCGGACUAUAUCCGAGGUGUCAUAGAUCACAUUGGCUUGAAAAGUUUGAAGGAGGUUAUCCAAGUUUAACGCUGAAAAGUUCUCUAUGGAACGAGCCAUUUGAAUCCGGGCUUUAUGCCGGACCACUUCCGAGCUCCAACGAUGGUCAGCGCCCGAGGUGUCGUAAACUACCUCGGUCUUUUAAAAGAUGCCGAGCUAAAUGUCAGAAAUGCCCUCUAUGGAGCCAGCCCCUGGCGCCCAAACAUUAUGUCGGACUGCUUCCGAGGUGGUGCACCACCCCGACCGCGGGCUGAUUUUUGUGAAUAUUUUUUAUUGGUGCAAUUUACUCUCUGCCGAGAUAUAUAGCUAGUAUAUGUAUAUCCAGUAGCCCUCAAGGUGUGUGUCAGUCUAAACCCGAGGUGCGCCUGAAGGAAAACAUAAAACUGCUGAUCCUGGUAGGCCCUAACACUCAGGUCGAUUUGCAAAAUCGGCCUGAGGAUCAAAUCCUAGCUCGGCAGGAGACGUAGAAAUAGAAACACAGUGUAAUAUAUUAGAGAUAAUAGUGAUCAACGAACGGGCCCUUGACAGAGGGUCUUGAGAAGUUGCCGCAAUAUAUUAGCUUGACGCCAUAUAGGUCCAGAUGGUACCUAUUGUUGUCUGAAGACGCGUUUGCCCAUAGUUCGGUCAAGCCGAACACUAAGCACUUUGAAGUUUCUGCAUUGAAUAGGCAACGAAGUAACCCCCGAGACACUGGUCAGGUGGCAACACCAGAUCAGGAAAACGAUGUGCCCCUUUAAUAUUUAUAAAUAAUGAGCGUGAAGCCCAGUAGCCCCAGAGCCUUAAUGUGGGCACGGGAGGCCGAAUUAAGGAUCGAUAUCCGUGUGACAGAAAAUUUUGUUCUGUUUAACACAAACUUCUCGAAAAGUGAAUAAAGAUCUCUUAAAGGAGCUAAAGCCAGCAUGCUCGCCAAGGUUGGUCCCAAGGUCCUUUGCAUUGAACACAUAAACAUUGUUAAGAUCUUUGGGUUUUAUAUUUCUGUUGUGAUCGAACAAAGAUUAAACUUUUCCAGGAGAAUCAUGGGAGCCUUCCGCAAAUCAAACUGUUGAGUUGGUCACGUGGAAUAUCAUAUUGACAUUUAAUAAUCAAACACCAGGAUGUUUAUAUUUUUGGUUUGGCCUAUCGAUCCAAACCCGUGAUACAUAUGUACGAGCAAUCAAAAUGAUCAAAAUUAAGCUAGCAUAUUGAGAGUAUAUAGAAAUGUCCACAGGCAGUUUUGUACCCUACUGUGACAUGUGAAGAUUACACGAGGCAUCAAGAUCCAAAUACACCAUAAUAGUAUAUGUUAUUUCUUCAACUACUACUUUGCUAUAAUUGUAUUUUUCAAAUUAGUGUAAAAAGGGACAUGACAUGUCACAAUGUGACAUGCUGAUUGCCAUAAAUAGUUAGAUCACUAUUUUGCGUGAUACAAAGCUAUGGUUGUAUGCACGAAAUGACAUUAUUUGUUUCGGCCGACACAAUGAACAUAAACGAGGAUUAUAUAUUUGCGCCAAUAAUAAUUGUGUUUUCGCAUAAUUUGGUGACAAAAAUAUUAGUAGUGAAUCAGAACUCCCUGUGAAUGCCUUUAGCCCUCCUGUAGUUUCCAUCAAUUCAUUACUCUCCUGUUCUUGUUACUAUUAUUUUAGCACACCUUAAUUCUUGUUCACAAACUCUUGCAAUAUUUUCACUUUCACACCUCUUUGAUCAGGAGUUAAAAUAUUUGCAUGCACUUUCUGAUAAACCUCUAGUAGAGGCAAAAGACUAUUUCUUAAUUUUUCUUUCGGGUCAAGACUAUUACUUCAAAAUGGCUACAACUAUAUUGUGUGCACUUGCAUGAGAUCAGAAAAAACAUAUUGAUUGGAAUGCACUAAUUUAAGAAUAAAUUUUUGGAGCAUGUUUACCAAAAGCUUGGUUAUCAUCUUGAUGGAGCAAUUCAGAAAGGAAAUAGGUCUGAAAUCAUUAUCCUAAAUUGCGGAGCCAUUUUUGGAAUUAGAGUAAUUAAAGAAGAGUCAAUGCUCUAAAUAUUGAUUGAACCAUGGUAAAACUCCUUAAACAAUGCACAGAAAUCAGGGGCAAUAGUCUCCCAACAAACUUUAACAAAAUCUGAAUUAAGACCAUCUAGGCCUGCGGAUUCGUGAGAGGGCAAAUUCCUGACUGCUUUAACAAUUUCCUCUUUAGUGAAAGAUUUCUCUGAAAAAAGUAGACCAUCAUUUCUCGUAAGCAAAGAAUCCAAAUUCAUAAGGUUGAAAGUUGGGACAGUAUAGCCAUGUCUUUGCUUGAAAGAUCUACCAAAGAAAGCAGCCUUGGCAUGAUGUUCGGAGUGCCCAUGCCUCUGCUUAUCUCUUAAUAUAGCAAUGUGAUUAUUUCUCAAUAAUUGAUGCCUUUGCAUGAUUUUGUUUUACUUUGCUUCCCCCAAAGGUACCCAUAUAAUAGUGUCUCUUUGUUUCGAGUAGAUUUGCUGGUGUGGGAGAAGCUGAAGGAGAUGAUUUUCGAGGAUUUGUCUGAUUGUUCCACUUAUGAAUUGCAAGAUUUCUAAAUUCUUCAAUAGUGUCAUAGAAUUAAUCACUGAGUUUGGUAGCUUUGAUAGUGGUAGAGAGAUUAGAAAUUAUUUUGGAACACAGUUUUAAACCUUUUCUUGGUCUUUUGAAAUUUGCAUUUACUCUUUUGGAACUAUCAUGUUUGUGAAUUUGUUGGUCCCAAAUUGUAUUAAAAGUAUCUUUAAAGUCUGGGUGUUGCAACCAGUAAAUUUCAAACCUGAAAAUAGAGGACUCCAGAAUAGAUGUACCAAUCCAAAUGAAACAAGGGAUGUGGUAAAAAAAAAUAGGUCUGCCCUGAGGAAUAGCCAUAGUGUUUGGAUAAUUAAUAGUCUAGGAUUUAGAGGAGAAUACCCAAUCAAGCUUUUCCAAGAGAGGAGCACUCUGCAUAUUGCUCAAAGUAAACAUUCUGCCUCCAAGGGGAAUUUCAAUAAGAGCAAGGGAAUUGAUGGCUUCAUUUAAAGAAAACAUGGCAUGUGCACUACCGUCUUCUCUAUUUUUUGUUCUUAGGGCAGAUGACAUAAUUGAAAUCUCCAACCACCAACUAAGCCUGAUAAACUGGCAUGCACAUUUUGGAAUCAGUCAAUGAAAGUAGUUAAGUUUUUGACUUGAUAGGGUCCAUAUGUAUUGGUUAGAAUCCAAGACUCACCUAAGUGUAUUGAGGUGAACCUGUUGGAUAUAGGAAAUUCAUUAUGAACGCAACUUCAUUCUGACCUACAAAGAAACCACUAGAGGCCCUAGAGAGGGCAUAAUUAAAAUUUGCUAAAUAUUUUUGGACCAUAUAGAAGACAAGGUUUCGAUAACAAAUACACGACUUGAUCUUAUGGUAUAUGAUAUUGUACACAAAGCAUAUAUGAUAAGCACUCUGUCUGCAUACUAUUUCUUUCAAAAGAAAGUUCCACAGGUGUCAUAAGGUAACAAGACAUAACCGCCUUGCUAUUCUAUGAUCUACCUAGGACUUCUCUUUGGAAAAUGACAAGGCGCUCCUUUAUUUUUGCAUCCUUAGAGCGAGCACACAACAAUCCAUAACAUAUGUAAACAUCUUACUUUGGGAGCACAACCUUAUGGAUAGACCUCAAUGACAGCUCGAGCUCCCAGCUUCUUCACAAUCUUAUAGCCACUGAACCCCGCCUUGACGAAGAUCUCACUCCAGUCCUUCUCAUCGCGCUGUCGGCCUCUUGUCACCACUAGCAUGACCAUAUCCAUGAGGUGUUGGGUUUCCAGCAUUGGCCCUGAAACAGAUCCAAGCACAAUGUCUAUGACGAUGACUUUUCCUCCUGCAUCCCGGGGAGGAACAGCCUUCUUGCAUUGUGCCAGGAUCUUGACGCAAUCCUCGUCGCUCCAGAAGUGCAGUACAAGCUACAUUACCAUGCAUGGAUAAACUUGUAGUUUAAGGUUAAUCAAGCCUGACUAGGAUGAAAUAUGAAGGGAUUUUAUUAUUUUAAGCUGUUAUUAUUUCAGAAAUGAAAACUAAUUAAGCAUUGCUUGAAUAUUUCAAUUUUGCUAAGUCUUAGUGGACUAAGACUUUGUUAUGUAUCGAUCGAUGUUAUAUUCAUUUGAUCUUGCAUGGAGAUUCAUAUAAAAAAAAUAUUUUCAGUUUUUUUUACUUUUAUAUACUCCAUCCGUCCGGAAAUACUUGUCAUCGAAAUGAAUAAAAGGAGAUGUAUCUAGACGUAUGUGUAAAUACAUUCCUUUUAUGUAUUUCCGGACGGAGGGAGUACUAUAUUACUUGACUGAUACUUUAAGUCUCAAUCGACUAAGACCUAACCACACCCUUAAUACUUCACUUGGAAUAAAAAUUAUGGAAUGUGCAACAUUCAUAUCAUAUAUACCUUGAGCAACACGGCUUGAGCAGGUGGGACAACGUGGAACAGGUCACCGGAAACAUACUUAACUGCUCCUUCUUCAGCGGGAAGAACUUUGUCCAUGACCUUUGGAAGGUCCAACACAGUGCACGUGAUGUGAGGGUAGGCCUCGACGAUGGACCUCGCGGUAGUCCCAUCGCCACCGCCGCAGUCAGUGAGAGACUCAAGCCCAUCGAACAGCUCACGGCACUGCCGGAGCACGGGGCCGAUCCCCAUGUGGUCGUGGGCAGCGAGGGCGUCGUGGAGCAGCUGAUCCAUCUCCGGGUCGAGGAGCACCAUGCUCUCCUCGAAGAUGGCCGCGCCAUGCACGUCCUCGAACGGCGAGGGAACGGCUCCAUCGAAGUCCUUCCUGAACCAGUCCGCCAGCCCCAUGGCCGCCUCCACGUAGUAGCGCGAGGCCGCGGCGCGCACGAGGGCCGUCUGGCUAGCGUCGCCGUCGAUGCGGACGCCGUCUACCAGAAGGUACGAGAGCGGGUUGAGGCGGUACGUUCCGGCGUCGGUUGCACUGAAGACGCCCGCCGUGGCGAGUUGGCGCAGCAGGCGGGCGAGGAAGGGCAGCUUGGACGUGGGGAGGGAUAGGGCGGCGACGAGUUCGGAUGGGGACGCGGCGCCGCCGAGGCGGUGAAUGGCAGUGGGGACGCCAAGGUCGACGGCGCACCGGAGCGCCAUAGGCGUGAGGUAGCAGAGGGUGUGGCGCCACAGGUCCGACUGCGCCUGGAGCAGCUCCGUGUCGGUGGGGACAAACACCUUCUCUGCCUGGCCUGCCAUUGCCGAUGAUCUCUAUCUCUCAGUGCUGUACGUGUUGUGCACUUCGAUCUGGUAGAUAUAUAGGGGACGGAGGACACUCUCAUAUAAUAUAGCAAUGUUUGCUGUCAUUUCUCGUGGAACACGAGGGUGAUGACCACGACACUAUAUCGCUAUCGACGGGCCAGGAUAGCGUAUCGAUACAGCGCAGAAAGAAGACUCAAGACUGCUCGCUGUGGCUGGAAAUGGAAAGGAGGCACGUGCGGCUUUGAGAUAGACAGACCGACUGUACACACAUUACUUUCGUGGAUUCGAAUCGAAUCGAUAAACCUAAAUACUUCAUGGUGCACGCACACGAUUUUGCUGAACCGAGCGGCCGUGCUUGGACCGCUCAUUGCGAACGCAUCGUUUGGCCCACGACCGCCUGGUGUUUCCUGGUCGGGGCGAGACGUGGUUAGCUUAUGCGCUAUCCGACAAAGCCGGUGUGACACCCUUACUUUCUCUCCUGAUAAAACAAAGGCUUAUCCUUAUCAUCUUUUCAUCGUCUUUAACGUAUCCGGCCAAUAAGCAGUGUGCCCCGGCCGGAGGCCAAGCCAAGGCGGCCAACCGGAGAAACCUGGAGAGCAGGUCAGCCAAGGAGCCGGAAAAGCAGUGCCGCAACCUCCUCCCGGCGAGGCAUGAAACCAAACAAAAUUCUCCCAAACGGGUCGGACCGCAGCGGCGCGGUCGUGUUUGCCUUGGACGCACCCCCAUGGUGUUGCUGCCGCUGCUGGUGGAGCUGUGCAAGUCCAUUGGUGUGCACACGCUGCUGCUCAUGGAGUUAUGGUGCCCGGCAUCAUUGGAGCUCAGCUCUUGUACCUACUGCCCGCCGAAUCGCCAGGCAACGUCGUCCUAUUCAGAGCUUACCGACAUGGUGCUCACCUAAAUGCUAAUAAAAAAUUCUAGUUCCUGCAUGGCUGCACAACCUUUAGUCUUGGUUGAUUAUCACGAGUGCUUUUUUGCCUGAGUAGAUUAUUCAAUAGUUAUAGUUGCACAUAUAAUAGUCUGUGGUAGUAUAUAUGAUUUAGAAAGUUGCACAACACGAUGAUACUAAGUUGGCUAGAUGAUGUUUUUGCUUAAAUUGAUCUAUUCUUGUCCGUCGUAUUUUUAGUUGGCAUCCAUGACACGAUAAUAUAAUAUAGCAAUGUGUUUGCUGUCAUUUCUCGUGGAACGCGAGGGUGACGACCUUGACACUAUAUCGCUAUCGACGGGCCGGGGUAGCGUAUCGAUAGAGCGCAUAAAGAAGACUCAAGACUGCUCGCUGUGGCUGCAAACGGAAAGGAGGCACGCGCGUCUUCGAGACAGACUGACCGACUGUACACACGUUCCAUUCGUGGAUCCGAAUCAAAUCGAUAAACCUAAAUACUUCAUGGUGCACGCGCACGAUUUUGCUUAACCGAGCGGCCGCGCUUGGACCGCUCAUUGCGAGCGCAUCGUGGGGCCCACGACGGCCAGGUGUUUCCUGGUCGGGGCGAGACGUGGUUGGCUCGAGCGCUAUCCGACAAACCCGGUAUGACACCCUUACUUUCUCUCCUGAAAAAACAAAGGCUUAUCCGUAUCAUCUUUUCAUCGUCUCCUCGAAUCUGGCGAGGAAGCAGUGUGCCCCAGUCGAAGGCCAUGCCGAGGCGGCCAACCAGAGAAACCUGGAGAGCAGGUUAGCCAAGGAGCCAGACCAGCAGUGCUGCCACCUCCUCCGCCCUCUUUUUAUGAGCUGGAGCCGGAGCCGCCAUGGAACUCACGCGAGAGGGCCACCCUACGCCUCGCUACUCCUUCCUCCCAUGGUGUUGCUGCCGCUGCUGGUGGAGCUGUGCAAGUCCAUUGGUGUGCACGCGCUGCUGCUCAUGGUGUCAUGGUGCCCGGCAUCAUUGGCGCUCAGCUCUUGUACCUACUGCCCGCCGAAUCGCCAUGCAAUGUCGUCCUGUUCAGAGCUUACGGACAUGGUGCUCACCUGAAUACUAAUAAAAAAAUUUAGUUCCUGCAUGGCUGCACAACCUUCAGUCUUGGUUGACUAUCACGAGUGCAUUUUUGCCUGAGUAGAUUAUCCAAUAGUUGUAGUUGCACAUAUAAUAGUCUGUAGUUGUAUAUAUGAUUUAAAAAGUUGCACAACAUGAUGAUACUAAGUUGGCUAGAUGAUGUUUUUGCAUAAAUUGAUCUAUUUUUGUCGGUCAUAUUUUUAGUUGGCAUCCAUGACAUUAUAAUAUAAUAUAGCAAUGUGUUUGCUGUCAUUUCUCGUGGAACGCGAGGGUAACGACCAUUACACUAUAUCGCUAUCGACGGGCCGGGGUAGCUUAUCGAUAGAGCGCAUAAAGAAGACUCAAGACUGCUCGAUGUUGCUGGAAACAGAAAGGAGGCACGUGCGGCUUCAAGAUAGACCGACCGACUGUACACGGAUUCCAUUCGUGGAUCCGAAUCGAAUCGAUAAACCUAAAUACUUCUUGAUGCACGUGCAUGAUUUUGCUGAACCAAUCGGCCACGCUUGGACCACUCAUUUCGAGCGCAUCGUGCGGCCCACGGCCACCAGGUGUUUCCUGGUCGGGGCGAGACGUGGUUGGCUCAUGCGCUAUCCGAACGGUGUGAACCAAUCGCUCCCUUAAUUUCUCACCUGAAAAAACAAAGGCUUGUCUUUAUCAUCUUUUCAUCGUCUCCAUCGAAUCCGGCGAGGAAGCAUGUUAGGAAUAAGCCACGCAUGAGUAUGUGCUCGUGUGUGUGAUCUAUGUGCAUGGGUGUGACCGUGUACAUGCAAGAUUCUGUUAGUGCAUGCCCUGAUUAGUUAGCUAGUUUGUUGGCUUGGCCAGGUCGCCGGACGAGCGUGUAUGUGAGCGUACGUUUCGGUGAAAGAGUUACCUAGCUAGGUAGGCGAUCCGUUGGGUUCGGCCGUGGCGUGCGUGUCGUGGGAGCGCACGGCCGGGCAUGCACAUCCUGCGGGCGAGGUGGGCUGUGCGUCGUGCGCCAGCCCGGGUAUAAAUUCUAUAGACGCGGGAUAGUUGUAAUGCACUGAGUUGAGCACCAUGUAGACAUUGCAAAAGGAAGAAAGAUUCGCGCGUUCGUGCACCGGUCCGAGAAACUUGUGUCCACUGCGUUCAUCUCCUUCCUUCUUUCUUGUUCAAGCGAGUGAGUUGAGAGGGAGAGGUAGUUCGGGGUUUGUCCCAACAUUUGGUAUCAUGAGCUGGUUCAUCUUGGGCGUCGUUCUUCUUGCCAGAGGUGUGCCGGCGGUGGCGGAGUUCGCCGCGGUUGCGUGAUGCUCCAGGCCGUGGGUCGGCCUAUGGAGGAGUGCGGCGCGGCGAGGAGGCCACGGUGACUGCGGCGGCAUGGUGAGGAGGCCGCGGAGGACCUGCGUGGUGGCGGCUUCAAUGACGACGACGGCGCGGCGAGUGCGUUGCGGCGGCUCGGCGCGACAACGGUGGAGGCGCGUGGCACGGAGCCGCAGCGCUCGUGUCGGAUGCGUCAGGCGCGUGUAUGGGCGCGCGCCGGGCGUGUCAGGCGCGGCGGGACCGUGGUGUAGGGUGGCCGUUGGCGAGCGGGGGUGUGCGCAUCGUGGGCUCGCCGCGUCUAGAUGUGUGCGUGCAUGUCGGAGGGGGCGCGGGCAGAGCGGACGGGACGGGCGCUCGACGUAGGCUGGGACGUGGGUGCGUGCCCGGCGCGUCCCUGCAUAUAAAACCCCACCCGUGUACAUUGUAAUAGCAGUGCCCGGAGUCGAGUUCGAGCUCGAGGGAAUCAAGGUCGUUGGUGUACCAGGAAGAGAAGCUGUGGCGUGUGUCGCCGGAGAUGAAGAAGGCGUUCUCGAUGGCAGUCGACGAGAGGCCGGAGUCCUGUCAGGAUGGGCGGCGAGGUCGUGGCUUAGAUGGGAGAAUGUUAGGAAUAAGUCAGUCAUGAGUAUGUGCUCGUGUGUGUGAUCUAUGUGCAUGGGUGUGACCGUGUGCAUGCAAGAUUCUGUUAGCGCAUGCCCUGAUUAGUUAGCUAGUUUGUUGGCUUGGACGGGUCGCCGUAGGAGCGUGUAUGGGAGCGUACGUUUCGGUGAAAGAGUUAGCUAGCUAGGUAGGCGAUCCAUUGGGAUCGGCCGUGGCGUGCGUGUCGUGGGAGCGCACGGCCGGGCAUGCGGAUCCUGCGGGCGAGGUGGGCUGUGCGUCGUGCGCCAGCCCGGGUAUAAAUUAUGUAAAUGCGGGAUGGUUGUAAUGCAUUGAGUUAUGCACCAUGUAGACAUUGCAAAGAGAAGAAAGAUUCGGGCGUUCGUGCGCCGGUCUGAGAAACUUGUGUCCACUGUGUUCAUUCCCUUCCUUCUUUUUUAUUCGAGCGAGUGAGUUGAGAGGGAGAGGUAGUUUAGGGUUUGUCCCAACAAAGCGGUGUGCCCCGGCCGGAGGCCAAGCCGAGGCGGCCAACCGGAGAAACCUGGAGAGCAGGUCAGCCAAGCAGCCGGACCAGCAAUGCCGCCACCUCCUCCGCCCUCUUUCUAUGAGCUGGAGCCGGAGCCGCCUGAGGGCCACCCUACGCCCCGCUACUCCUCCCGGCGAGGCAUGAAGCCAGACAAAAUUCUCCCAAACCGGUCGGACCGUAGCGGCGCGGUUGUGUUUGCCUUGGACGCACCCCCAUGGUGUUGCUGCCGCUGCUGGUGGAGCUGUGCAAGUCCAUUGAUGUGCACACGCUGCUGCUCAUGGAGUGCUGGUGCCCGGCAUCUUUGGCAUUCAGCUCUUGUACCUACUGCCCGCCGAAUCGCCAGGCAACAUCAUCCUGUUCAGAAAAAAAUUUAGUUCCUGCACGGCUGCAUAACCUCCUGUCUGGGUUGAUUAUCACAAGUGCGUUUUUGCCUGAGUAGAUUAUUCAAUAGUUGUAGUUGCACAUAUUAUAGUCUGUAGUUGUAUAUAUGAUCUAGAAAGUUGCACAACACGAUGAUAUUAAGUUGGCUAGAUGAUGUUUUUGCUUAAAUUGAUCUAUUUUUGUUAGUCAUAUUUUUAUUUGGCAUCCAUGACACUAUAAUAUAAUAUAGCAAUGUGUUUAACGUUUCAUUCAUGUAUUCGAAUUGAAUUGACCGACCGUACACGUGUUCCAUUCGUGGAUUCAAAUUGAAUUGAUAAAAGACCGAGUUUAACGUUUUCACGUACGCUACGCUACGCCGUCCUUGAUUGGAAGGAAAGGAAAGGUCUUCCUUCCUUUCACGUUGCUCCACGUGAACGUUCUCCGCGUCACGUUUUUCAUCAUCAAACAAACCAACCAAAACGUGUUUUAACGUUUUCCUUGGUUUGGUCAUCAAACAAUGAAAUCGGUGCACGCCAGCCCCUCACCAGCGGGAGGGCCUCGAGUCCCCACGGCCGCUGGUGACGGCAAGGCUUCUCCCUGCCACACCCUCAGACAGCAGCAAGGAAGGAGGAAGAGGAGAAGGGGAGGCUAGGCGACGGGAUCUGGGAGCCUCCCGGCUACCACACGAGGGCGACUCGGGAGGGCGCUGUGGCUAGGCGACGGGAUCUCCUUUCUUCUGGAUAGUUUUGAAGAUGAUAUAGAAGAUUAUGUGUGUCGGGAGUGUCGUGUCAUGUCGUGCCAAACAUUCAGAGCUGCAUGGCGCUCCAACGUCGUCGACGAGGCUCUGUAUGCCUGCCAUCCACGGACGAGCUCCUCACGGCUCUCGCCUCAUCUUCGUCUUCGUCUUCAUCUGAUCGACAAAACCUUUGAAAGGCCACACCUUUUGUAUUUUCUCCAAGUCGUUCCCAGAUCUUCUCUUCCCGACGACCCGGCCCAGGCAUGAACGACAAGCUUGCCGUACGGCCGGGCCAGUGUGCUCUCUCGUCUCUAGUCUGUUGUUCUGUGCCGGGACACCAGUGCUGAGGAAGCAUGCAACUAAUCAAGGCGAUCUCUUUGGACCACACCCGCAACUGAUCACGAGGUCCAAGAGUGGCCAUCAUCCCUGCCGACUAGGGCCGGUCCUAAGAUUUUGGGGGCCUUUGGCGAAACUAUAACCAAGGGCCUCUUAAUAUAAAUAUCAAAAUAAUAAUUAAUAUAUGUCUAUAUCAAAUGUUGGGCGCCUUCUCCACUAUUAUUUCCCUUUCUUUGUUAAUUAUUAAGAUAUCCCCAUUUUUGGAUCAUAGAUAUCCAUAAAAAAUUCUUUUGUGUCCAAACUAGCAUAUUCUAUACAAGAUGAAUUAAAUAUGUGCUCAUAAUCACUUACAUUGUUUUCAUCUGUUGGCUGCCGUUCUGCCUUGUCUUCUGGAUUAAGGCUAGUAGCCCGGUCAAAACAAAUGUCAUGGCUGGAUUUCUUCAACUCCUCAUAUUACUCUUAGAAAAAACAAAUAAUAAGUGUCACGUGUGUGGCACUUAUAAGGGUCCACAAAAAAUUAUCAGUGUAUCCUCGCUGUAACUAUAUUAGUUCAUUGUCUCAUUCUUUUUUUUUCUUUCCCCACCAGAUGCAUAUGCUUUAGACGGCAUGCCGUGCUAAAAUUUACAGAAUCAGAAAAAAAAAAUAGAAACUAACUCAUAGUUACAAAGGUGUUAAAUCAAUUCAAUCAAAUCUUACCUAACAUCAGUUUAUCAAAGCGAACUCACAAGUUCCAAAUCCCAAUACCAUCUCUUUCUGAAGUGAGUAUGUUGGGGUUGGGUUGUAGUCUAGAUCCUUCACGUACGUGUAUCACAUGAUCUUUAGNNNNNNNNNNNNNNNNNNNNNNNNNNNNNNNNNNNNNNNNNNNNNNNNNNNNNNNNNNNNNNNNNNNNNNNNNNNNNNNNNNNNNNNNNNNNNNNNNNNNNNNNNNNNNNNNNNNNNNNNNNNNNNNNNNNNNNNNNNNNNNNNNNNNNNNNNNNNNNNNNNNNNNNNNNNNNNNNNNNNNNNNNNNNNNNNNNNNNNNNNNNNNNNNNNNNNNNNNNNNNNNNNNNNNNNNNNNNNNNNNNNNNNNNNNNNNNNNNNNNNNNNNNNNNNNNNNNNNNNNNNNNNNNNNNNNNNNNNNNNNNNNNNNNNNNNNNNNNNNNNNNNNNNNNNNNNNNNNNNNNNNNNNNNNNNNNNNNNNNNNNNNNNNNNNNNNNNNNNNNNNNNNNNNNNNNNNNNNNNNNNNNNNNNNNNNNNNNNNNNNNNNNNNNNNNNNNNNNNNNNNNNNNNNNNNNNNNNNNNNNNNNNNNNNNNNNNNNNNNNNNNNNNNNNNNNNNNNNNNNNNNNNNGUGCCGCGGUCCAACGCUUACUCGCCGUGUCACACCUAAGCAAAGCGCCCAAGCAAGAGCUAUACUGGAUUCAUCCUCCAUCGGGAUGGGCUAAGCUCAACAUAGAUGGUAUUCAUGCCCCUUCGACCGGAGAGGCUGCAGGGGCAUGGUUCUACGCGAUGAGAGAGGCGACAUCAUCUAUAUUGGUUGUAGAAAAAUUCUUACAUGCGAUAAUGACCUUGGGGCAGAGCUAGCUGCAUGCAGAGAGGGCUUGAAGCUAGCUCUACACCGGUCGAGCCUGCCCAUUAUGAUCGAGCUUGACUAUGCCGAAGGAGUGUCUAUGUUGCUAGCACAAACUGAAGCUAGAACACAUCACCGGUUACUCGUAUGGACCCUGCACUGCAGUGUGGGUGUGCUCGGGGCAAGACUUUGUUGUAAACCUUUCUAAGGCUGACAAGCCUCCUUGAGUAAUGAAAUCUCUCUUUACACCGCAAAAACAAAAACAAAAACUUCAAGAAAGGAAAAGGUGUGUACGUGCAUGUUUUGAUGUGUAGGCAUAUUAAACUAUGUACUAGUCCUCAUCAGCGCAAGAUUGAUGGAUCCGGUCGUCAGAUCUGUGGGAACGAGUGGGAUCAACCACUUCGCUGCAACCAAGACGAGUCCUAUUAACUUACCCUAAAUUGCAAGAUAAUAAGUGAUUGAACCACUCAUUAAUGCCCCGGUCUUUGGUCUCCUGCAUGCAGUACCAUAUCCAGCCAAUCCCUGGCCUUUUGGAGUAAAGGGGUGUUUGUUUACAUGGACUUAUUAGUGUAGGGACUUAAAAAAAUCCCUUUUAGUCCCAUCUGAAACAAACAAGAGGGACUUAUAGAGACUUAAAGUGGACAUUUAGGACUUAUGAAACAAGAUCAUGAGGGAGAGUCUUUUUGGGACUUUUAGUUGUAAUAUGGUCUUUUAGUCAAUGUUUAGUCCCAGAAACCAAAUAUGUAAGGACUUUUUAGGGACUAACGACUUUUUAGUUGGGACUAAAACAAGUUCUAUUACUUAUGAACAAAACAGGGCCUAAAGUCUGUUGAUCCAUGCAGCAUGCAGUAUUGCCUGAGUAAAAUGCUCCGGUAAUCUGCCUAAUUUAAUGCAUGCCGAUUAAUUUUACGGGAAUAUCUGAGAUUCAUGACCCACUCGGAGGGAGUGGUAUAGUCCAGUCAUUAAGGCUAAAACAAUACAUCUUGACCAGCCGUCGGAUCGGCGCAGACGGCUGGGAUCAGUCGGAGAUGGGGAUCAAUCCCUGGUAGGCGGUGACGGGCCAAUCGCAAGCAAGCAGCAAAAUUUCUUUUCUAUUCCUUAGAUUUAGACUAGUAAGUGUGCACGUGCAAAUGCACGUCUCGACUAAUAUGACAAACAUAUGUAGGAAUUAACAUACACAUAAAGAUAUUUUGAUUGCACUCAAAAGACUACUACAAAUCAAGAAACACUUUAGGCCAAGUUUGGCAACAUAGUUUUCUCAAAACAAUAGUAAUCGAAAACCUCAGUAUUCAAUUGCCUAGGCAAUGAAUUCUUCAGUUUUUAAAAAUCACAGUUUUUUCAGUUUAUAAAAAAGUGGUCAAGACCUCUUUCUUAAAUACUACCAAAAAAACCAUGGUACUGGAGAUACUACGGUUUAUAAAGCUAUGAUAUUUGUUGAAGCCAAACACCUCAAAGUUUUGAAAACUUUGGUUUAUGAGAAAGCGGUGGUAUUCUCCAAAUACUUCAAAAAAACUGAGCAGCCAAAUGCAGCCUUAAUGUAUGACCAACUGGUCAUAUGCAUUGAGCCAAAAAAUUAUCCCAGUAUUUCCUAAUAAGGCUAGUGAAUUCUCGUAAACAUGCGGAAUGUUAUUUGCGGCUUCAUUGUUGAUGUAGUUGAGUAGCUGCACCAAAAAUUGCUUCUUUAUCUGGUCACCAUCCUGAAUGAAAAUAGUAAGUCAAUAUUGAUCCUGCAAAUUGGUUGAUUUAGUUCUUUCGCAUCCCAUGAGUGCAAUAAAUUAAAAGCAAAAUAACCAGAGAAGUUCCUGUAGAUAAAUGCAUUACCAUUGUCUUGAGUGUUAGAAAAACUAAAUAAGAUGCUUUAGUGGGUUUCAUAGGUAGUCACCUGUCUGUGCUUUCUGGAACACAAGCUAGUAAUCGACCAUGGAAAAAUAAACAUCAUUCCAUUUGGGAUUUGCUACUUGGAGUGCUUGGUUUAGGUAAAAUGAGAUGCACAUCCUUCAAAGAUGGAACUCGGCGGGCAUCAACUCUCUUGCGCAUCAUAGUAAACAAAAGCAAGAAACUUAAGGACGAGAGAAGAAAAGAAAGUAAAAUUCAGACAAGUUGAAUUAAUUUGGAAAGGCUAAUGCAUUAGAUUAAUACUAUAAAUACCAUAUACCAAGCAUCAUGCUGAAACCAUAGUGAGUACUUACAACAGUUCUUGUAAUAAUUGAGUACUUACAACAUCUUAACAUUAGAACAUUGUACGCAAUAUCUCAUUAAUGUUCGAAUCAGUAUAAGGGAAUAGAAAUCACAUCCAAUCCCAUAAAAUAUUACAUUUGCUAAGUGCAAUGUCUGAACUGACCGCAACAUAUGAUUAUUCAAGAGGGACAUCACUUUACUAAACGAAAAUUGUAAAUGAUACAGAAAAAUAAGUAUCACAAAUAUGAAUGGAACUCAACAACAAAACCAAUGAAGCAAAAGCAAAGACUGCUUAUGAGCUAGUUUAUUUAGAUUGAAACUGAUGAGCUAGUUCAUUUAUUAGCUAGUUCCUUGCAUGAGAUGUAUUCUCUUGAGAAACAUGACACCUUAAAAAAACACAGGACACCUUAUAUUGAACUCAACAACAACAGCUUGUGUUCUACUAAGUGCAUGUAGAGUUGUCCAUUAACCUGAACAUCAUCAACCUAACUUGGAAAAAUAAAAAUGUUAAUGUCAGAGUUCAUACUUCCAUUUCAUCUUGUGCCUCCUUUCUAUUUCUCUACCAUUGGGUACUCGAGCUUGAAGCUGAUUCUACCUCCAACCUUUACUAGGACAAAACAUAAGACCAUCUCAUUGUCGGAAUUACAACAGUGCUCAAUUCAACAACUAAUUUCUCAGAUUCAUUACUCUAGUAAUUGUUAGUUUGCUCCUAAACUGAUAGUACUCCCAGUUUACAUGUUUUGUGUAUAUGUGUUUUGGCUUUUUCAAACUUGAUUGGUGCUCAUGGUGUUACCAAAUUACCAAUAAGCACCAGCUGCAAUCAAGAAUAGUACACCACCUCUCCACUUAAUCCACAACACAGUCCUACAGAAUCAAGUUAAUUUUUUUCCUCUACUAAUGUAUACAGGAAGCAAAAAAUUCAGGUUCAGUCAUAUGAAUGUAGUACAAGCUUUUUUCAGGUUCAAACAACAUUGUAGUGGAAGCUUUUUUCAGGUUCAGACAAAUUCGUAAAAUAAUAAUAGGGAAGAAGAAAGUACAAAAACUGGUUGUAAUCAUUUGUAACACCGCUUCCAAUGGAGGUUUAACACGUGGUUCACCGACCUUUGGACCGCACAAAAUGAACAGUGUGCCUACAACACUACAGAGCUAGUAACGACUAAAAGAUUUCCUGCAUUGAACAAAGCAAAGUAUCCUCUACAAAAAGGGAUUUGUAAACCAUUGCUACAACAUAUGAUAUUCUUUCCUUUGAAAAUUGUUGUUCGUCGUAAUAUCAAAUUACCAAAAAGGUUAUAGGUGCAACCAAUAGUGCGUACAUUACAAUUCCACAACCUCCAUUUCACCUACUCGAGCAAACAAUAUUUUCACAAUGACCAGUGUAAACUUUUAGCUCUGUCACAAUAACCAUAAAUGUUUACUAUCCCUGAAGGAAUUUUCGCACAAGAUCGACCCAUUGAAUUUUUGGAGGGUGUGUGUGUGUGUGUGUGUGUGUGUGUGUGUGUGUGUGUGUGUGUGAGAGGGGAGGAUGGGGGCAGGGGGAGUUUGUAGUAAUGCAACCUGUAGCAUUCUGAACAGGAGUCGACACGACAUGCGAAUCCUGGAUGUCCAGGCUGCCUAGCCCAGCCGCUUCCGCCUUGUUGCGAGGUAGGUAAGCCAGUAACCUGCCGGCUGCUCUGCUUCCACUGCUGCUGCCGGCGCCAGUUUUAGGUGGUGAGGUGGAAGACCGAAUGAGGAGGGCAGUGAAGGAACUACAGUGAGAUUUUAACAUCAUAAAAUUCUUUAGGAGAUUUAUGUACUCCAAAUAUUCUGAAAUUUGUACACCAGCGAGUAUGCACUCACUAGCUAGCAACUGAAUUGAUAUAGCAGAUAAUAUUCCCCAUAGUGCACAAAACAAUUGAAGCAGAUGAACAAGCAGAAAUGAAUAUUCAGAUAGGACCAUGCUUACAUAAUGGCUACCUUCCAGAUGGAGAAGUUGAGGAGGAGGAUAGGCAGCAUCAUAUCGGCCGCUGCCACCGUCGAAUGUCCCCAUAUCCUCCUCUUCCUACUUUCACUGUUCAUUUGCUCGUCCAGCGCUUGCGUGCAGCUUCUGGCAGCAAGAAGCACCAAAGAACUGAAAAUACCUUACCAUAUUUUUAUAAAUGGCAUCCCUAAAAUCAAAAGGUUGGAACUUCAAAGGAAAAGAUCACAGCAACAAACUAUGGAUUAUGUUGUUGCAAACUUGCAACUGCAGGAAAAUUUACCUUUUUCUGUACAUAAAUACCUUAUAACCUUUUCUAUUAACAGAUGCUGUAGAGAUGCUGUUACUUAAACAAAAAUGCAGGAAAAUAUCAUAUGAAAUCAUCGAUCUGGAUCCUUUUUUAAAUACAACAACGGAUCCAUGUAAGAAGAAUUAAACCUAAAAACCAGAGUACUGCAUACAAACUAUGAGCUAGCUUACUUUUUGCAUGGCUAACAACUUGAAAAUCUUGCAACAGAUGUAACAAUAAAAAAAUCUAUUAGACAUGAUUUUGAAAAAUCUUGUAACUGGCAUGUCAAACGUAUAGGGUAAUAUCAGAAGUCCAGGUGCUAGUCACAUGAACCUGCACCAUGUAGGUAAUUAUCCAGAACAAAAAUAACCUAUUGUUGAACUUGUCACAAACCAUGGAAGAAAUCACAUCAAGUCAGUAUAACGAUUAUCCCUCGUCAGAUAAAAAGUUGCUGGAAUAUUUUUUUAUCGACAAUAAUAGUACAGUUCAUAACAAAUAAAUCAAGAUCGAGCUCGAGCCUAUAUUCAGAAUCAGACCAGAAAACUUAGAUAAUUUAAUUUAGGAUCUGAAAGAGGGGGGAGAGCUUAAUGGGUGGUUGUGCUCCCGAUCUAGCGGAAGAGUAUGAAGUAGGCGCUACAGAUCACUAGCAUACGGGAGCCAUCAAUCAACUGUCUCGAGGUCGAGCAGUGGCAGGGAGCAGACGUCCAUGUAGUGAAGCCUGCGGAUGGUAUACCGCAUCAGCGCGUGCUUGAGCAAAGGGAAGAAGGGGCGGAUGGUAGAGUGUACCAACGGGGAGGAGGCCCUAUGGAAGGAGACAGAGACAGGAAGACCCGCUUCACGCCGCCGCCUCCUUCGAUCCGUGUUGGUCGUCGAAGCUUGGUUGGUUGUUGCCCGGGGGCCGUGGGCUAUGGCGGCUCGAUGAAGAUGAAAGAACGGUGUACGACGGUGCAAGUGGGAGGGAAGAGGAUGGGCGCGAGGUGGUAAAUGACUGGCGGUCGGAAGGGGAAGAGGGGGCAGCGAGAUCUCCGUCAUGGUCGUGGGCGACGGGCGUUGGCUUGGUUUCUUCCAAGGGAGGCGCCGGAGAGGGAGGCCGCGGGGCAUGCUCCGGCAGUUGGGCGGUGGAGGCAAUUGGGUGGGCUCAGAGAAAAUAGUGGGGGAUGGGCGCGGGGGCGGUGGAGGCACGGGCGGGGUUAGUGCGAUUUCUUUUUUCUUUUCUUUGAAGUGUUUGUGCGGGUUAGUGCGGUUGCUAAAACAUGUGUUUGAUCUAAAACGCGUUUGAUGAGCGAUCUGGAACCUACAAAAAUCAAUAGACGGAUGAGAUGUUGUUUUGUUCGGUGGAGGAGAGGAACGAUUCAUUCCUUCCCUCGCCGCCCCGUCUCCCUCGCACGCCGCCGGCCAUGGCCUCCGCCCUCUCCCUCUCACCCUCACUCGCCGCUGGCCACCGCCCUCUCCUACUCUCAUCCUCUCCCCUCUUCACAAGAUAAGAUAAGAGAACCAAUUAGUCCAGUCGGCUUGCCGCUAGCCGACUGGAAGCCAAUCGGCCUGUGGUGGGCUGAUUAGGGGCAUGUGGCCAUUUUUCUUUUUCUGUUUUUGGUUUUAGUUGUUGUUUUCUAUUUAUUCUACCUAUCAAAUGAAUCUAGUUUGUGUUGAAACUUUUUGCAUAAAUUACUAGCAAUAUUAACAAGCCACAUAUAAAUUUUCAUAUUUUUUGGAAAACCAAAUUUUUACAAUUGUAUUUGAUAGCUCCUGGUGAAUAUAGAUCGGGUUUAAAUUUAUCUAUCCAAAUUGAUUUUUUUAUUUUUAAAGAUGUCAAAAUAUCAAGGAGAAUAAUUUAAUUUUUUUGUGAAACAAUUUGAGAAUACAUUUUUAGCUGAUGAAACAAUUUGAAACAAUAUGAAACAUUUUUUGUGAAAUAAUUUGAGGAAAAUUCUUUUUUGGCUUAUGAAACAAUUUGAGAAUACUUUUUUGGCUUAUGAAACAAUUUGUGAAUUUUCCUCAAAUUGUUUCAGAAAAAUUGUUUCAUAUUGUUUCAAAUUGUUUCAUAAGCCAAAAAAAAAUUCCUCAAAUUGUUUCACAAAAAUGUUUAAACCAUUCUCCUCAAUAUUUUAACAUUUAUAAAAAUCAAAAAAAUUAAUUUGGAUAAUUUAAUUUAAAUCCUAUCGGUUUCACCAGGAGCUAUCAAAUGUAAAUAUGUGGUUUUCCAAAAAUUAUGAAAAUUUAUAUGUGGCUUGUUAAUAUUGCCAGUAAUUUAUGCAAAAAGUUUCAACACAAACCAGAUUCAUUUGAUUGCUAGAAUAAAUAGAAAACGACAACUAAAACCAAAAACAGAAAAAGAAAAAUGGUCAUAUGCACCUAGUCGGCCCACAGCAGGCCGAUUGGCCUUUAGUCGGCCCGCAGCAAGCCGACUGGGACUAAUUGGCUUGCUGCGAACCAAUUAGUCCCAGUUGGCUUGCUGCGGGCCGACUGGAGGCCAAUCGGCCAACCGUGGGCCGACUAGGCUCAGUUUGCCUGCAGCGGGCCGAUGGUGUAUUAUUUUUGAAAAUAAAAAUAUCGGCAUAAUAUUUAUGCAAAUUAAAUGAGUAAAUGUAUUAUAUUAUUUUAAAAAAACUAGCGCGAGGAUGCGGCCGUCUGCUCGUCCGUGCGGUUCCGCUUUUGCCUGCUCUGUGCCCACGCCAUGGAGAUAGAGCUUCCUCUGUUUGCUCCCCUCUCGAGCCCACCUUGGAUCUGCUCUUAUCUCCUCCCGUUCCAUCAUUUGGUUCCCUGCUCACGCAGGCACGCGUCCGACACCACCAGCAUUGAACCCUAGCCGGCAUUGUUUGGCUGGGAGAAGCAGCUCCCCUCCUCGUCGGCUACCCCUGCCUGCCCCUCCGCUCUGCUCUCUCGUGUGCCCACGAUGGCCUUCUUGUUCCUAAUUUUGAUUUGGACACCGUAUACACAUGAUGAGGAUUAGGCAUGUGUAAUGGGGAUUGGGAUGCAGAUUCCAUAUCUGCAAGUGUAAUGACUAGAAACUGAUCAAGUUCCUCCUGAGUUCAGAUCCCAAUUUGCUUGCUGCAUUACAUUAAAUGGCUGUGUGAAAACUGAAACUUUGAUCACAUAUAUAAUUUUGUCUGGUCAAUGGUUAGUGCACCCCCUCCUCCAAUUUGUCUAGAUCAGGCUUAUGUGUUAUCUUCAUUACAUCCUCUACUAGCAAAACGAUCCAAGUGAAAAAUUAACAAUUUCCUGCGAGAUUGUCAAGCGUGGGCAUCCUUUUGUAUUUAUAGUCUCCAAAAGUUAUAGAUAGGAGGCACAUGGUGUUUCGAAAUAUUACAUGCAUUGCCUACUGCUUGGUGCCUAUAUUUACAGCUUCUUCCUGCGUCUGUUGUUGUUCUUCCAGGGAGACCGUUACUGUGAUUUCCCUGUGCUCGUUUGGAGGAGGCGUUCAUUCCUUUUAAGCCCCCACUACUAGAAAAAAUCUUAUACACAGAAACUUACCAGUAGCGCGGGCUAAAAAAAAGCGCUACUAUAAUUUACCACUACCGCGUGUGAAAUAAUCGUGCUGCAGCUAAGUUUGUAGCAGUAGCGUGUCUCGCUAAAGAAGCGCUACUACUACAAUUCCCCUACUGUUCUCGACAGGCUACCAUUAGUAGUAGCAUGCUUAGAAAAAGUGCGCUGCUGCUAAGACUAUUGUAGCAGCGUGUUUUACGCACAAAGCGCUACUGCUAAGGAAAGAAAAAUAAAAUGAAAAACAUAUAGAAAAGUAAAUGAAAAUGAAAGAAAUAGAAAAAUGGGAAGGAGAAAAAGAAAAUGUGAAUGAAAAUAAAUGAAAAAUAAAAAUAAGGGAGAAAGACGUAGCAGCAGCGGGCUUUUUGGACACGCGCUAUAGCUAUCUUAGCAGUAGCGCUUGUUGCCAUCCAGCCCUAUAGCUAACGUAGCAAUAGCGCUUUUCCUGGAACGCGCUACUGCUACUUUUGAAUUAACCACGCGUGGUUCUUCUUCCCCGCGGCCAUUUCACCCAAAUCGAACUCGCGCGUCUGUUGUCGCCGCUGUCGUCGCCCGGCCGCCGCGCGCGGUCUCCCUUCGCCCUCCGCAUGCCGUCGACGCCGCCCCCGACCCCGACCUCGACACCCCCCUACAUCGCCGCCCUCCGGCGUGCGCCCGCCGCCCCGACCCCGACCCGUCCCCGACCUCGACGCCGCGUGCCCCUCUCCCUAACUCCGCCGGCGCCCGAGGUGAGCACGCCCUCUUUUGGUGUCAAAACCGGCGGAUCUCGGGUAGGGUGUCCCGAAUUGUGCGUCUAAGAUCGAUGGUAACAGGAGACAGGGGACACGAUGUUUACCCAAGUGAUACGUCUCCAAUGUAUCUAUAAUUUUUUAUUGUUCCAUGCUAUUAUAUUACUUGUUUUGGAUGUUUAUGGGCUUUACUCUACACUUUUAUAUCAUUUUUAGGACUAACCUACUAAUCGGAGGCCCAGCCCGAAUUGCUGUUUUUUGCCUAUUUCAGUGUUUCGAAGGAAAGGAGUAUCAAACGGAGUCCAAACGGAAUGAAACCUUCGGGAGCGAUCGUUUUGGAACAAACGCAAUCCAUGAGACUCGGAGUGGACAUCAAGAAGCGAAUGAGGCGGCCACGAGGGUGCCCGGCGUGCCCUGUAAGGGUGGGCGCGCCCCCGCCCUCGUGGGCCCCUUGAGCGUCCACCGACCUACUUCUUCCUCCUAUAUAUGUCCACGGACCCCGAAAACAUCCGGGAGCACCACGAAAAACUAUUUCCACCGCCACAACCUUCUGUAUCCGCGAGAUCCCAUCUUGGAGCCUACGUCGGCGCUCCGCCGGACGGGGAAUCGACCAUGGAGGGCCUCUCCAUCAUCCCCAAGGUCUCUCCGAUGAGUUGUGAGUAGUUUACCACAGACCUUCGGGUCCAUAGUUAUUAGCUAGAUGGAAUUCUUCUUUCUUUUUGAUUCUCAAUACAAAGUUCUCCUUCCUCUUCUUGUAGAUCUAUUCGAUGUAACUCUUUUUAUGGUGUAUUUGUCGAGAUCUGAUGAAUUGUGGGUUUUUGAUCAAGUUUAUCUAUGAGAAAUAUUUGAAUCUCCUCUGAAUUCUUUUAUGUAUGAUUGGUUAUCUUUGCAAGUGUCUACGAAUUAUCAGUUUGGUUUGGCCUACUAGAUUGAUCUUUCUUGCCAUGAGAGAAGUGCUUAGCUUUGGGUUCAAUCUUGCAGUGUCCUUUCCCAGCGACAGCAGGGGCAGCAAGGGACGUAUUGUAUUGUUGCCAUCGAGGAUAAAAAGAUGGGGUUUAUAUCAUAUUGCAUGAGUUUAUCCCUCUACAUCAUGUCAUCUUGCUUAAUGCGUUACUUUGUUCUUAUGAACUUAAUACUCUAGAUGCAGGUAGGAGUCGGUCGAUGUGUGGAGUAAUAGUAGUAGAUGCAAAAUCGUUCGGUCUACUUGUUGCGGAUGUGAUGCCUAUAUACAUGAUCAUGCCUAGAUGAUCUCAUAAUAUGCACUUUUCUAUCAAUUGCUCGACAAUAGUUUGUUCGCCCGCAGUAAUAAUUAUACUAUCUUGAGAGAAGCCCCUAGUGAAAUCUUUGGCCCCCGGGUCUAUCUUUUAUCAUAUAAGUUUUCCAUCUACUUUUAGUUGCAUCUUUUAUUUUCCAAUCUAUAUCAUAAAAAUACCAAAAAUAUUUAUCUUAUCAUAUUAUCUCAAUCAGAUCUCACUUUCGCAAGUUACCGUGAAGGGAUUGACAACCCCUUUAUCGCGUUGGUUGCGAGGUUCUUGUUUGUUUGUGUAGGCGCAUGGGACUUGGAAAGGGCCUCCUACUGGAUUGAUACCUUGGUUCUCAAAAACUAGGGAAAUACUUACGCUACUUUGCUGCAUCGCACUUUCCUUUUCAAGGGAAAAACCAAUGCAUGCUCAAGAGGUAGCAAGAAGGAUUUCUAGCGCCGUUGCCGGGGAUGUCUUCGCUCCAGUCAAGACAUACCAAGUGCCCAUCACAAACUCAUCUCCCUCACAUUACAUUAUUGACCAUUUGCCUCUUGUUUUCCUCUCCCCCACUUCACCCUUGCCAUUUUAUUCGCCCUCUCUUUUCCGUUCGCCUUCCAUUUUCCAUGGCCGAGUCAAAAAGAACUAAGGGUUCUCUCUGAGUUAUAGUACUUUGGAUAGUCCCUCUGUCCUCUCUAAGCUCCUAAAUAAUGAUGUUGUGGAAAGGCCUGCCGGGGUUACCAAUGAGAAUUUAAAUAAUUUUGAUGAAGAGGACUCUGGAAUUUUUCGUUAUUUACUUGAUGAGUCUUUAAAAGAUGCUUGGGAUAGGCUAUUAAGGAUUAGAGCUAGCUAUGUGCCACAAUAUCUAAUUGAGAUUUAUCUAAGAAGCUUUUAUGUUGGGUUACCACCUUCGUUUAAACAGGUUUUAGAUUCUAUUUUUGAAGAAGGUUUUCUUGAAGGAGACGCUAUAGACACUUACGAAAAAAUGAAAACUAUAUUUGGGCACCCCAUGAAUGAUAAGGUUGAAUCCACCACUCUCUUAUGCUUUUAUCAAAACGAAAUUAUUAGAGAUGAAAGCUAGCCUAGAUGCAAAUUUCCGUAACGUGCUUAAUCUUUCUUCCUCCAUUAAUGGCCACGUGAUUUCCUAAAAUAGAAGGAAAAUGCUAUAGAUAAGAAAUUUUCUCUUUUCUUUCCGAAUACCAAAGAUGGCAAUACUUAGAUCCAUUCUGGCUUUUAAUGCCUAGCUAGGGGCGUUAAACGAUAGCGCUUGUUGGGAGGCAACCCAAUUUUAUUUUUGUUCCAUGCUUUUUUUUCCUGUUUAGUAAUAAAGAAUUAACCUAGCCUCUGGUUAGAUGUGGUUUUAUGUUUUAAUUAGUGUUUGUGCCAAGUAGAACCUAUAGGAUAACUUACGGUGAUAGUUAAUUUGAUUCUGCUGAAAAACAGAAAGUUUGCGCUCUCGAGAAAAAAAUCAAUAAAUCACAGAAACAUGCUUUUGCAUUGAUUCUUUCCGCUGGUGAUCAAUAGACAAAUUUCCUAGGACGUCCUAUUUUGGUAGGAUUUUUGGAGUUCCAGAAGUAUUCGAAAGUUACAGAUUGCUACAGGCUGUUCUCUUUUUGAUAGUUCUGUUUUUCAUGUGUUCUUUGCUUAUUUUGAUGAAUCUAUGGCUGGUAUCGGGGGGUAAGAACCGUAGAGAAGUUGUAAUACAGUAGGUUUAACACCAAUAUAAAUAAAGAAUGAGUUCAUUACAGUACCUUAUGUGGUGGUUUUUCUUUCUUGCACUAACGGAGCUUAUGAUAUUUCCUAUUGAGUUUUGUGUUGUGAAGUUUUCAAGUUUUGGGUAAAAAUUUGAUGGACUAUGGAAUAAGGAGUGGCAAAAGCCUAAGCUUGGGGAUGCCCAUGGAACCCCAAGAUAUUCAAGGACAACCAAAAGCCUAAGCUUGGGGAUGCCCCGGAAGGCAUCCCCUCUUUCGUCUUCGUCUAUCGGUAACUUUACUUGGAGCUAUAUUUUUAUUUACCACAUGAUAUGUGUUUUGCUUGGAGCACCUUGUAUGAUAUGAGUCUUUGAUUUUUAGUUUACCACAAUCAUCCUUGUUGUACACACCUUUUGGGAGAGACCCACAUGAUUUAGAAUUUAUUAGAAUACUCUAUGUGCUUCACUUAUAUCUUUUGAGCUAGAUAGUUUUGCUCUAUGUGCUUCACUUAUAUUUUCUAGAGCACCGUGGUGGCUUUAUUUUGAAGAAAUUGUUGAUUAAUACGUCCAUUUUGCAUCAUGCUUUUAUAUCAAUAUUUAUUGCGUUAUGGGCUGUUAUUACACAUUAUAUAUCAAUACUUAUGGCUAUUCUCUCUUAUUUUAUAAGGUUUACCAUGAAGAGGGGGAAUGCCGGCAGCUGGAAUUCUGUCUGGAAAAGGAGCAAACAUUAGAAACCUAUUCUGCACUGCUCCAAAAGACCUGAAACUCCACAAAACUUAUUUUUCGAAUUAAUAAGAAUUAUUGAGCGGAAGAAACACCUCAGGGGGCCCACACCCUGGCCAGGAGGGUGGGGGUGUGCCCACCCCUACUGGGCGCGCCCCCUGUCUCCUGCGCCCCCUGGUGGCCCUCCUGUGUCCAUCUUCUUCUAUAUGAAGGCUUUUACCCUGGAAAAAAAAUCAUGGGCAAGCUUACGGGACGAAACUCCACCGCCACGAGGCGGAACCAAUCUAGAGCUCCGGCAGAGCUGUUCUGCCGGGGACACUUCCCUCCGGGAGGGGGAAAUCAUCACCAUCGUCAUCACCAACGAUCCUCCCAUCGGGAGAGGGUCAAUCUCCAUCAACAUCUUCACCAGCACCAUGUCCUCUCAAACGCUAGUUCAUCUCUUGUAUCCAAUCUCGUAUCCAAAACCACAAAUUGCUACUUGUGGGUUGGUAGUAGUGUUGAUUACUCCUUGUAGUUGAUGCUUAUUGGUUUACUUGGUGGAAGAUCAUAUGUUCAGAUCCUUAAUGCAUAUUAUUACUCCUCUGAUUAUGAACAUGAAUAUGCUUUGUGAGUAGUUACGUUUGUUCCUGAGGACAUGGGUGAAGUCUUGCUAUUAGUAGUCAUGUGAAUUUGGUAUUCGUUCGAUAUUUUGAUGAGAUGUAUGUUGUCUUUCCUCUAGUGGUGUUAUGUGAACGUCGACUACAUGACACUUCACCAUUAUUUGGGCCUAGAGGAAGGCAUUUGGAAGUAAUAAGUAGAUGAUGGGUUGCUAGAGUGACAGAAGCUUAAACCCUAGUUUAUGCAUUGCUUCGUAAGGGGCUGAUUUGGAUCCAUAUGUUUAAUGUUGUGGUUAGGUUUACCUUAAUACUUCUUUUGUAGUUGCGGAUGCUUGCAAUAGGGGUUAAUCAUAAGUGGGAUGCUUGUCCAAGUAAGGGCAGUACCCAAGCACCGGUCCACCCACAUAUCAAAUUAUCAAAGUACCGAACGUGAAUCAUAUGAGCGUGAUGAAACUAGCUUGACGAUAAUUCCCAUGUGUCCUCGGGAGCGCUUUUCUCAUUAUAAGAAAUUGUCCAGGCUUGUCCUUUGCUACAAAAUGGAUUGGGCGACCUUGCUUCACUUUAUUUACUUUCAUUGCUUGUUACUCAUUACAAUUUAUCUUAUCACAAAACUAUCUAUCACCUACAAUUUCAGUGUUUGCAGAGAAAACCUUACUGAAAACUGCUUAUCAUUUCCUUCUGCUCCUCGUUGGGUUCGACACUCUUACUUAUCGAAAGGACUACGAUAGAUCCCCUACACUUGUGGGUCAUCAAGACUCUUUUGUGGCACCGUUGCCGGGGAGUGUAGCGCUUUUGGUGAGUGGAACUUGGUAAGGAAACAUUAUUAUAGUGUGAUGACAUUUUCUAUUACUUGUCACUAUGGAAACUAAUCCUUUGAGGGGCUUGUUUGGGGCAUCUUCGCCCCGACCAGUAGAGCAAAGAGUUGCUCCUCAACCUACUGAACCUACUGAAAAUGUUUACUUUGAAAUUCCUUCGGGUAUGAUAGAGAAACUGCUAGCUAAUCCUUUUGCAGGAGAUGGAACAUUGCAUCCCGAUUUACACCUUAUCUUUGUGGAUGAAGUUUGUGGAUUAUUUAAGCUUGUAGGUAUUCCCAAUGAUGUUUCCAAAAGGAAGGUCUUCCCUUUAUCUUUGAAGAGAGAUGCAUUGACAUGGUAUAGGCUAUGUGAUGAUACGGGGUCUUGGAAUUAUACACGAUUGAUGUUGGAAUUUCACCAGAAGUUCUAUCCUAUGCAUCUUGUUCAUCGUGAUCGUAAUUACAUAUAUAAUUUCUGGCCUCGCGAAGGAGAAAGCAUCGCUCAAGCUUGGGGGAGGCUUAAGUCAAUGUUAUAUUCAUGCCCCAAUCAUGAGCUCUCUAGAGAAAUGAUUAUUCAAAAAAUUUAUGCUCGGCUUUCUCUCAAUGAUCUCACCAUGCUCGAUACUUCCUGUGCUGGUUCUUAUAUGCUGAAGACUAUUGAAUUCAAAUGGGACUUAUUGGAAAGAAUUAAACGCAACUCUGAAGACUGGGGUUCCGACGAUGGUAAGGAGUCAGGUAUGACACCUAAGUUUGAUUGUGUUAAAUCUUUUAUGGAUACCGAUGCUUUUCGUGGAUUUAGCGCUAAAUAUGGACUUGACUCUGAGAUAGUAGCUUCUUUCUGUGAAUCUUUUGCUACUCACGUUGAUCUCCCUAAGGAGAAGUGGUUCAAAUAUAAUCCUCCCAUUGAAGUAAAAGUAGUUGCACCUGUUACAGUUGAAGAAAAGGCUAUUACUUAUAAUGAUCCUAUUGUUCCUACUACUUAUGUUGAGAAACCACCUUUUCCUGUUAGAAUGAAGGAUCAUGCUAAAGCUUCAACUGUUGUUCGUAAGAGUAAUACUAGGACUUAUACACCUCCUGAGCAAAUCAAAGUUGAACCUAGUAUUGCUAUGGUUAAAGAUCUCUUGGAUGAUAAUUUAGAUGGGCAUGUUAUUUACUUCUGUGGUGAAACUGCUAAUAUUGUUAAACCAGAUACUAAGAUACAUAGACCUGUGGUAGGCAUGCCUGUUAUUUCUGUUAAAAUAGGAGAUCAUUGUUAUCAUGGCCUAUGUGAUAUGGGUGCUAGUGCUAGUGCAAUACCUAUUUCCUUAUACCAAGAGAUUAUGCAUGAUAUUGCACCUGUUGAGUUAGAAGAUAUUGAUCUUACAAUUAAGCUUGCCAAUAGAGAUACUAUUAGGCCUUUUGGGAUUGUUAGAGAUGUUGAAGUCUUGUGUGGGAAGGUCAAAUACCCUGCUGAUUUUCUUGUUCUCAGUUCCCCCAAGAUGACUUUUGUCCCAUUAUAUUUGGUAGACCAUUCUUGAACACUGUUAAUGCUAAGAUUGAUUGCGAAAAGGAUGUUGUUAUGAUUGGCUUGGAGGAUAUGACUCAUGAAUUUAAUUUUGCUAAAUUUCAUAGACAACCCCGUGAUAAAUAAUUACCUAGUAAAUAUGAAAUAAUUGGUCUUGCUUCUAUUGCCGUGCCUCCUACUGAUCCGUUAGAACAAUAUUUGCUUGACCAUGAAAAUGAUAUGUUUACGAAAGAAAGAAGGGAAAUAGAUGAAGUGUUCCUUAAACAAGAACCUAUUCUGAAACAUAACCUUCCCGUUGAAAUUCUAGGGGAUCCUCCUCCACCCAAGGGUGAUCCCGUGUUUGAGCUUAAACCAUUACCUAAUAAUCUUAAAUAUGCUUAUCUUGAUAAAAAGAAGAUAUAUCCUGUUAUUAUUAGUGGUAACCUUUCAGAGCAGGAAGAGGAAAGAUUAUUGAAAACUCUGAAGAAGCACCGUGCGGCUAUUGGAUAUACUCUCGAUGAUCUCAAGGGCAUUAGCCCCACGUUAUGUCAACACAAAAUUAGUUUGGAGGAUGAUGCCAAACCAGUUAGAGAUCCUCAACAACGAUUGAAUCCCAAGAUGAAAGAAGUGGUUAGAAAGGAGAUACUAAAGCUCCUUGAGGCAGGUAUAAUUUAUCACAUUGCUGAUAGUGAUUGGGUAAGUCAUGUCCAUUGUGUUCCUAAAAAGGGAGGUAUUACUGUUGUUCCUAAUGAUAAAGAUGAAUUGAUCCCGCAAAGAAUUAUUACAGGUUAUAGGAUAGUAAUUGAUUUCCGUAAAUUAAAUAAAGCUACUAAGAAAGAUCAUUACCCUUUACAUUUUAUUGAUCAAAUGCUAGAAAGACUAUCCAAACACACACAUUUUUGCUUUCUAGAUGGUUAUUCUAGUUUGUCUCAAAUACCUGUGUUAGCGAAGGAUCAAUCAAAAACUACUUUUACUUGCCCUUUUGGUACUUUUGCUUAUAGACGUAUGCCUUUUGGUUUAUGUAAUGCACCUGCUACCUUUCAAAUAUGUAUGAUGGCUAUAUUCUCUGACUUUUGUGAAAAGAUUUGUGAGGUAUUCAUGGAUGAUUUCUCCGUUUAUGGAUCCUCCUUUGAUGAUUGCUUGAGCAACCUUGAUCGAGUUUUGCAGAGAUGUGAAGACACUAGUCUCGUAUUGAAUUGGGAAAAGUGCCACUUUAUGGUUAAUGAAGGCAUUGUCUUGGGGCACAAGAUCUCCGAGAGAGGUAUUGAAGUUGAUAAAGCUAAAGUUGAUGCUAUUGAAAAGAUGCCAUGUCCCAAGGACAUAAAAGGUAUAAGAAGUUUCCUUGGUCAUGCCGGUUUUUAUAGGAGGUUCAUUAAGGACUUCUCUAAAAUCUCUAGGCCUCUGACUAAUUUAUUGCAAAAAGAUAUUCCUUUUGUCUUUGAUGAUGAUUGUGUAGAAGCAUUUGAAAUACUUAAGAAAGCUUUGAUCACUGCACCUAUUGUUCAGCCACCUGAUUGGAAUUUACCUUUUGAAAUUAUGUGUGAUGCUAGUGAUUAUGCUGUAGGUGCUGUUCUAGGGCAAAGAGUUGAUAAGAAAUUGAAUGUUAUCCAGUAUGCUAGUAAGACUCUUGAUACUGCCCAAAGAAAUUAUGCUACUACUAAAAAAGAAUUCUUAGCAGUUGUGUUUGCAUGUGAUAAGUUUAGACCUUAUAUUGUUGAUUCCAAAGUUACUAUUCACACUGAUCAUGCUGCUAUUAAAUAUCUUAUGGAAAAGAAAGAUGCUAAGCCUAGACUCUUCAGAUGGGUUCUCUUGCUCCAAGAAUUUGAUUUGCAUAUUAUUGAUAGAAAGGGAGUUGAGAACCCCGUUGCAGACAACUUGUCUAGGUUAGAGAAUGUUCUUGAUGACCCACUGCCUAUUAAUGAUAGCUUUCCUGAUGAACAAUUAGCGGUCAUUAAUGCUUCUCGUACUGCUCCUUGGUAUGCUGAUUAUGCUGAUUACAUUGUUGCUAAAUUUAUACCACCUAGUUUCACAUACCAACAAAAGAAAAAGUUCUUUUAUGAUUUAAGACAUUACUUCUGGGAUGACCCACACCUUUAUAAAGAAGAAGUAGACGGUGUUAUUAGACGUUGUGUACCUGAGCAUGAACAGAAAUAGAUCCUACGCAAGUGUCACUCCGAAUCAUAUGGAGGACACUGUUGGAAAUAUGCCCUAGAGGCAAUAAUAAAAGGAUUAUUAUUAUAUUUCCUUGUUCAUGAUAAUUGUCUUUAUUCAUGCUAUAAUUUUAUUAUCCGGAAAUCGUAAUACACGUGUGAAUACAUCAUAGUAGAAAAGGGGGCAAUGGCCCAUGCCAGUUCAACCCAUUAGUCCUGGUUCAAUCCAGAACCGGGACCAAUGGAGCUAUUUGCCCCGGUUCGUGAGCCCAAGGGGCCGGCCGGGCCACGUGGUCCAUUGGUCCCGGUUUGUCCGGACCUUUUGGUCCCGGUUGGUGGGACGAACCGGGACCAAUGGGCCUGGCUCAUGGCCCACCACUAUUGGCCCCGGUUGGUGGCAUGAACCGGGACCAAAGGCUUCCCUUUAGUCCCGGUUCAUGCCACCAACCGGGACCAAUAGUGGUGCCUAUAUAUACCCCCUCCCGCAAGAGCAGAGCACAGUGCUCUGUUUUUUUCUGGCCGAGGGGGAGAGGGCUUGGUGGUGCUCUAGCUCACCUCCUAUGCACACAAGGUGUUCGAUGGAAUGCCCGAGCCACACUACUUAAGGUUUCUCCUCUCGAAGCUCGACCGCCAAGCUCCGUUUUCCUCAAGAUGGAUCUGGGUUUAGCGGUCCGUCACGCCCCGUCCCCAUCUUCACCACCGUCGAUCACCCGCGCCGAUCUCAUCGCCGGCACCACCGUGGUGAGCCUCUUGUUCUUAUCUUUUUUCUGAAAGGAAAAACAUUCUUACUUGUAUGUUUAGAUAGAUACUUGUAUUAUUUUCUUACUUUUAUUAUUGCAUCUUAUAUAGUGCGAUGGUUUUGGUAUCCGCCCCCGUCGGCCCUCGUCCUGUCUAUGAUUCGGAUGUGGUAUAUAUUAUCUUUUCAUAACUAUUGGUUCAUUUAUUGUUUAUGAAAAUUAUGCCGACCAACGUGACAUAGAUUUUAUUUAUCUAGGAGGUUGUUGAACCGGAAAUUCCAACCGACCCUAUUGUCGAGAGGUUAAAUUUAGUUGAAGAAGAAAACAAUUUCUUGAAGGAAAAAAUAAAAAAACUUGAGGAGAAGAUGAUAUUGGAGUUGCAUGUUGCGGAUGUCGUCGAUGAUCACAAGAUCAAGAUGGAUGCAAUGCGCUUGAAGAUGAGAAAGAUUAGAAAAUAUGCCAUUCAUACCGAGUCUUGCUAUCAUUAUGUCGUUGGAUCAGUUGUUACCUUGGUUGCGAUUAUGAUCGCAUUUGUUUUCGCAUUGAAAUGUUUUACAUAGUUUCAAUGUAUGGUUUAAUUAAUUUAGAUGCUCUGCAGAGCUUUAUGUUGUUAGAUGAGAACUAUGUAUGUACUUUGGUUUUUAUGUGAUGAUGAACUUCUAUUAAUUUGGUCACUUAUAAUUAUCUAUUCAUGAUGUUCUGUAAUGAUUUUUGACACACUUAAUUAUAUAUAAUGCACGCAGAUGAACCGGCAAUGGAUGUACGGUGACAGACACACCUCCGAGUACAUUAAGGGCGUGCAUGAUUUUCUCAAAGUGGCUGAGGCAAACAAGCAGAAUGGUUUUAUGUGUUGUCCAUGCCCUAUAUGUGGGAAUACGAAGUCUUACUCUGACCGGAAAAUCCUUCACACCCACCUGCUUUACAAGGGUUUCAUGCCACACUAUAAUGUUUGGACGAGGCACGGAGAAAUAGGGGUUAUGAUGGAAGACGGCGAGGAAGAAGAGUACGAUGACAACUAUGUGCCCCCUGAAUACGGUGAUGCUACUGAACAUCAAGAUGCACCAGACGAUGUGCACGAUGGUGCUGCAACGGGCGAAGCUGCUGAAGAUCAAGAGGAACCAGAGGAUGUGCCCGAUGAUGAUGAUCUCCGCCGGGUCAUUGUCGAUGCAAGGACACAAUGCGAAAGUCAAAAGGAGAAGCUGAAGUUCCAUCGCAUGUUAGAGGAUCACAAAAAGGGGUUGUACCCCAAUUGCGAAGAUGGCAACACAAAGCUCGGUACCGUACUCGAAUUGCUGCAGUAGAAGGCAGAGAAUGCUGUGCCUGAUAAAGGAUUUGAGAAGCUACUGAAAAUAAUGAAGAAGAAGCUUCCAAAGGAUAACGAAUUGCCCGACAGUACAUACGCAGCAAAGAAGGUCGUAUGCCCUCUAGGAUUGGAGGUGGAGAAGAUACAUGCAUGCCCUAAUGACUGCAUCCUCUACCGCGGUGCCUACAAGGAUCUGAACGCAUGCCCGGUAUGCGGUGCAUUGCGGUAUAAGAUCAGACGAGAUGACCCUGGUGAUGUUGACGGCGAGCCUCCCAGGAAGAGGGUUCCUGCGAAGGUGAUGUGGUAUGCUCCUAUAAUACCACGGUUGAAACGUCUGUUCAGAAACGGAGAGCAUGACAAGUUGAUGCGAUGGCACAAUGAGGACCGUAAGAAAGACGGGAAGUUGAGAGCACCCGCUGACGGGUCGCAGUGGAGAAAAAUUGAGAGAAAAUACUGGGAUGAGUUUGCAAAGGACCCAAGGAACGUAUGGUUUGAUUUAAGCGCGGAUGGCAUUAAUCCUUUCGGGGAGCAGAGCAGCAAUCACAGCACCUGGCCCGUGACUAUGUAUGUAUAACCUUCCUCCUUGGAUGUGCAUGAAGCGGAAGUUCAUUAUGAUGCCAGUUCUCAUCCAAGGCCCUAAGCAACCCGGCAACGACAUUGAUGUGUACCUAAGGCCAUUAGUUGAAGAACUUUUACAGCUGUGGAAUGGAAACGGUGUACGUACGUGGGAUGAGCACAAAAAGUAGGAAUUUGACCUAAAGGCAUUGCUGUUCGUGACCAUCAACGAUUGGCCCGCUCUCAGUCACCUUUCAGGACAGACAAACAAGGGAUACCACGCAUGCACACACUGUUUACUUGACACCGAUAGUAUAUACCUGGGAAGCUGCAGGAAGAAUGUGUACCUGGGCCAUCGUCGAUUUCGUCCGACCAACCAUUAAUGUCGAAAGAAAGGCAAGCAUUUCAAAGGCGAGGCAGAUCACCGGAAGAAGCCCGCCAUGCGUACCGGUGAUCACGUACUUGCUAUGGUCAAUGAUUUACACGUAAUCUUUGGAAAGGGUCCCGGCGGACUAGCUGUUCUGAAUGACGCUGAGAAUCACGCACCCAUGUGGAAGAAGAAAUCUAUAUUUUGGGACCUACCCUACUGGAAAGACCUAGAGGUCCGCUCUUCGAUCGACGUGAUGCACGUGACGAAGAACCUUUGCGUGAACCUGCUAGGCUUCUUGGGCAUGUAUGGGAAGACAAAAGAUACACCUGAGGCACGAGAGGACCUGCAACGCUUGCACGAAAAAGAGGGCAUGCCUCCGAAGCAGUAUGAAGGUCCUGCCAGCUACGCUCUUACGAAAGAAGAUAAAGAAAUAUUCUUUCAAUGCCUGCUGAGUAUGAAGGUCCCGACUGGCUUCUCGUCGAAUAUAAAGGGAAUAAUAAAUAUGCCAGAGAAAAGUUCAGAACCUAAAGUCUCAUGACUGCCACGUGAUUAUGACGCAACUGCUUCCGGUUGCAUUGAGGGGGCUUCUACCGGAAAACGUCCGAUUAGCCAUUGUGAAUCUAUGUGCAUUCCUCAAUGCAAUAUCUCAGAAGGUGAUCGAUCCAGAAAUCGUACCAACGCUAAGGAGUGAUGUGGCGCAAUGUCUUGUCAGUUUCGAGCUGGUGUUCCCACCAUCCUUCUUCAAUAUCAUGACGCACGUCCUAGUUCAUCUAGUCGACGAGAUUGUCAUUCUGGGGCCCAUAUUUCUACACAAUAUAUACCCCUUUGAGAGGUUCAUGGGAGUCCUAAAGAAAUAUGUUCGGAACCGCGCUAGGCCAGAAGGAAGCAUCUCCAUGGGCCAUCAAACAGAGGAUGUCAUCGGGUUUUGUGUUCACUUCAUUCCUGGCCUUAAGAAGAUAGGUCUCCCUAAAUCGCGGUAUGACGUGGAGACUGACUGGAAAAGGCACGCUUGGAAGGGACUCAAUAAUAUGCAGGGACAGAUAUUCUUGGUCUCAAGCACACUACACAGUUCUACAGAACUCUACCUUGGUGACCCCGUAUGUCGAUGAACACAAGAACAGUCUGCGCUCCAAACACCCGGAGCAGUGCGACGACUGGAUUACAUGUGAACACAUCAGGACUUUCAGCAGUUGGUUGGAAACAUGUCUCAGAGGUGACAGCACUGUUUGUGAUGAGCUGUACUUGUUGUCCAGGGGACCAUCUUUGACUAUAAUGAUUUGGAAAGGAUAUGAGAUAAAUGGGAAUACAUUUUACACGAUUGACCAAGAUGAAAAGAGCACCAACCAAAACAGCGGUGUCCGCUUUGAUGCAGCAACCGACAAGGGAAAUGACACAUAUUAUGGUUACAUAGUAGACAUAUGGGAACUUGACUACGGAGUAGAUUUUAAGGUCCCUUUGUUUAAGUGCAAGUGGGUCAAUCUGUCAGAAGGCGGGGUACAGGUAGACCCACAGUACGGAAUGACAACAGUGGAUCUGAAAAAUCUUGGGUACACUGACGAACCGUUCGUCCUAGCCAAUGAUGUGGCACAGGUUAUCUAUGUGAAGGACAUGUCUACCAGACCGAGGAAAAGAAAAGAUAAGGAAGCGAAUACAUCAUACAAUGAGCCAAAGCGCCACAUAGUUCUUUCAGGAAAAAGGGACAUCCUGGGAGUGGAGGGCAAGACAGACAUGUCUGAAGAGUAUGAAAAGUUUCAUGAAAUUCCCCCCUUCAAAGUCAAGGCUGACCCAAGCAUCCUGAUAAACGAUGAAGAUUAUCCAUGGUUACGGCGCAAUAAGCAAAAGACAGAAGCGAAGAAAAAGUGAAGACUUUCUCCCGCAACUAUUAUGAUGAUACCAUGCCAACUUUGUAACAGACGAGUAUGAUACCAUUGUCCGUUUUGUACAUGCACAUGCUAUGCCAACUUUUUCAGAGUUCAUUUGAAAACUAUGAAUUUGAAAACCUCGCCAACCGAAGGGCGCUCACACCGGUUUAUAAGCCCGUCCCUCUACACGCCUUGUUGAGCUCACAAACUUGUGAUUCACACAAAUUCCAAAGAAAACUAAUGGCACAAACAGAAAGUUUAUAAUUUUGCUGACCUAAAAGCAAAAAGAAUUAAAAAAUAAAGCAAAAAACCAAAAGAAAAUAAAUAAUGCAGAAAACAAAACAAAAAACUUGAAAAAAAUAAAAAUAGCAACAAUAAGUAUUUUGUUGUAAGUAGAAACAAAAUAAAAUAAAUAAAUAAAGCAAAAAAGUGUUUUCAAAUUUGAAAACUAAUGGCACUAACAGAAANNNNNNNNNNNNNNNNNNNNNNNNNNNNNNNNNNNNNNNNNNNNNNNNNNNNNNNNNNNNNNNNNNNNNNNNNNNNNNNNNNNNNNNNNNNNNNNNNNNNNNNNNNNNNNNAAAGCAAAAAACAACAAAAAAUAAAUAAUGCAGAAAACAGAACAAAAAAACUGAAAAAUAAUAAAAAUAGCAACAAUAAGUAUUUUGUUGUAAGUACAAACAAAAUAAAAUAUAUAAAGCAACAAAGAAAACAAAAAAAGUGUUUUCAAAUUUGAAAACUAAUGGCACUAACAGAAAGUUUAUAAUUUUUCUAAAACUAAAAGCAAAAAGAAUUAAAAAAUAAAGCAAAAAACAACAAAAAAUAAAUAAUGCAGAAANNNNNNNNNNNNNNNNNNNNNNNNNNNNNNNNNNNNNNNNNNNNNNNNNNAACAAAAUAAAAUAUAUAAAGCAACAAAGAAAACAAAAAAAGUGUUUUCAAAUUUGAAAACUAAUGGCACUAACAGAAAGUUUAUAAUUUUUCUAAAACUAAAAGCAAAAAGAACUAAAAAAUAAAGCAAAAAACAACAAAAAAUAAAUAAUGCAGAAAGCAAAACCAAAAAACUGGAAAAAAAUAAAAAUAGCAACAAUAAGUAUUUUGUUGUAAGUAGAAACAAAAUAAAAUAAAUAAAGCAACAAAGAAAACAAAAAAACAAAAAAAAGUGCCACCUACUGGGCCCCCACGACCUGAAUACGAGUAGAAACCCUACCAUGGGCCAGGAUUCAGGCCCGCGGGAGGCUCAGUAGGCCCACAGGCAGAGAUUGCACGGUUAGGCCCGAAAGCCUGCAGUUGAGAGGAGCUCGGGUGGGUGGGCGCAGUAGAGUUAUAAACCACACUCGAGCUCUCUCAACUAGCAAGGUGGGACUAAACUUUUCGGCGCGGGGCAGCACAAGGCCUUUGGUCCCGGUUGGUGGCACCAACCGGGACUAAAGGGGGCAUUGGUCCCUGUUCGUGGCACCAACCGGGACUAAUGCCCCCCUUUAGUCCCGGUUAGUGCCNNNNNNNNNNNNNNNNNNNNNNNNNNNNNNNNNNNNNNNNNNNNNNNNNNNNNNNNNNNNNNNNNNNNNNNNNNNNNNNNNNNNNNNNNNNNNNNNNNNNNNNNNNNNNNNNNNNNNNNNNNNNNNNNNNNNNNNNNNNNNNNNNNNNNNNNNNNNNNNNNNNNNNNNNNNNNNNNNNNNNNNNNNNNNNNNNNNNNNNNNNNNNNNNNNNNNNNNNNNNNNNNNNNNNNNNNNNNNNNNNNNNNNNNNNNNNNNNNNNNNNNNNNNNNNNNNNNNNNNNNNNNNNNNNNNNNNNNNNNNNNNNNNNNNNNNNNNNNNNNNNNNNNNNNNNNNNNNNNNNNNNNNNNNNNNNNNNNNNNNNNNNNNNNNNNNNNNNNNNNNNNNNNNNNNNNNNNNNNNNNNNNNNNNNNNNNNNNNNNNNNNNNNNNNNNNNNNNNNNNNNNNNNNNNNNNNNNNNNNNNNNNNNNNNNNNNNNNNNNNNNNNNNNNNNNNNNNNNNNNNNNNNNNNNNNNNNNNNNNNNNNNNNNNNNNNNNNNNNNNNNNNNNNNNNNNNNNNNNNNNNNNNNNNNNNNNNNNNNNNNNNNNNNNNNNNNNNNNNNNNNNNNNNNNNNNNNNNNNNNNNNNNNNNNNNNNNNNNNNNNNNNNNNNNNNNNNNNNNNNNNNNNNNNNNNNNNNNNNNNNNNNNNNNNNNNNNNNNNNNNNNNNNNNNNNNNNNNNNNNNNNNNNNNNNNNNNNNNNNNNNNNNNNNNNNNNNNNNNNNNNNNNNNNNNNNNNNNNNNNNNNNNNNNNNNNNNNNNNNNNNNNNNNNNNNNNNNNNNNNNNNNNNNNNNNNNNNNNNNNNNNNNNNNNNNNNNNNNUCUUCCUCUUUUCUUCCUUUUCCUUAUUUUCCUUUCUCGAGGGAUAAGAAGAAAAAGAAGAGGAGAAGAAGAAAGAAAGGAAUAGAGGAGAAAGAAGAAACUUCGACACGAGGGGGGGUACCGAUACCCCCUCCCCGAUAACAUUAUUUUCCCAUGUAUAUGUAUGUCGCGUCGUUGUCGAUAUAAUGAGGGUGUCGAGGGUCGGGAACUAGGGUAGAGGGUCGAGGGUCGUUAAGGGGUCAAGGGUCGAGGGUUUCAGGGUCGAGGGUUCGAGGGAUCGAGGGUCGAGGGUUCCAGGGUCGUCUAGGGGUCGAGGGUUCCAGGGUCGUCGAGGGUUCGAGGGGUCGAGAGAGGUUUCGUAGUGGCAAAGUAUUGAAGAAAUCCAUGGCUUCAUCAUUAGCCGGAAGUAACCAGGGCAUGAUGGUACGAAGUCCUCCAAAGUUAUUCUGGAAUGGAGUCCCGAAUAGGAUAAUUUGCCUUUUUGUACGAAUCUCAGCAAAGGUCUUCCAAAUAACGAUAUUCGGAAGGUUCUUGCUGAACUUUGUACCAAAAAGCGAAUUAUCCUAUCUUUGACUCCGUUCCAAAAUAACUUUGAAGAGCUUCGUACCAUCAUGCACCUGUUACUUUCGCCUAAUAAUGAAGACAUGGUUUUGUUGAAUCCUUUGACACUAGGCAACCUCCCGACCCCUCGGCGAUCCUCGACCCCUUGACCCUCGACCGCUCAGCAAUCCACGACCCUCUACCCUACCGCGGGCGUCGAUGCCCACGUCACUUGUGGGACAUAGAUGUAGUGUUCAACGCCGACCCCCUCCCGAUAGCUUCAACACGUGGGGGGGUCGAUAUUACCCCCUCCUUGAAGCGUUCUCGAGGCCACCCCCUAACCCUUGAAGCGUUGUCGAGGCCACCCCAAACCCUAGAGAAGCAGCGUCGAGGCCACUAAUAUGAUUCCUUAUUGUGAUUAGCUAGCUAGUCCUACGUUUGCCACUAAUAUAUCCAUAUUUGUCAUGUUUGAAUAAUAAUUGCCAUGUUGUAAAUAUUUGUAGAAACUAUGGACACCCCCCGAGACGAAGCACAAGAAGCAUUGUUGAGGGACAUAAUCGCACAAGGAAGUGAUGCCGUCUGCUCGUUGAUGUUUCUCAACGACAACGAUGGUCUGGAAGGAGAGGGUGAAGAAGCAGCUGGCUAUGAUUUACAUGGCUCCGAUGACCCAAUGCCGGUGCAAGAAGGAGAGGGUGAAGAAGUAGACCGUGAGGACGGCUCCGGUGAUCACCAAACCGAGUCCGGCCAGGUAUAUAUAUUAGUUAAGCCUGUGCUGACUAGCUAAUUGAUGCAUUCAUUGUUUUGGUAUGUACACAUAUUAAUUAACUCUCGUCUUUGUUCUUUUUUCUAGCCCUCCGGAUCGAGCACAACUUCGGUAAAGAGACGAGGCCCGAAGAAAAAGUUGAGCUCGGAUGAAAAGUUUGAGAUCAUACAAAUCGCGCGUGACGGCCAACCGAUUGAACCCUACCGGACAAAGAAGGCAUUUGUUGCUCAGUGCGGGGUUCUGGUUAGGGAUAAGAUCCCGAUCAGCAUCUACCAAUGGUAUAAGCCUAAGAACGAAGACCCUGAGGUGUCUUAUGUCAAUGAUAUGCAGAAAAAUGAUCUUUGGACUGAGCUGAAGUCAAAUUUCACCCUACCGCCGGAGGAUGACCCGGAGAAGCCAGUUAUAGAGCCAUUAAUCAAGUCUUUUGCUCUGAAUAAGAUGGCAGACCUAUUCAGGAAUUGGAAGAAAGACCUCAAUAGGUAUGUCGAAAAAAAUGAGACACCAGAAUUCAAGGGCAAAUAUGAGAAGAUCAGAGAUGACUGGCCCGCAUUUGUGGCCCACAAGACAUCGGAAAAGAGUAAAAAGAUGUCGCCGACAAACAAGAGAAAUGCUGCGAAGAAGAAGCUUCACCAUCGCACGGGGUCAGGUGGCUACCUCGUAGCCCGGCCUAAGUGGGCCAAGGCUGAGAAUGAUCUGCUUGAUAAAGGGAUCGAACCAGAGACAAUGAACUGGCCAGACCGUUGCCAGACUUGGUUCUUUGGGGCCGGCGGAUCCUUGGACCCUAUAACAGGGAAGUGCAUUUGGACGGACAAACAAUUGAACAUACCAGUCAAGAGGCUUCAGCAAUAUAUCGAAGCAGCGCAGCAAGGGACGUUCGUUCCAGACAGGGAGAAGGACGAGCUCACAAUGGCCCUCGGCAAUCCUGAGCACCCUGGACGGACACGAGGCACGCCAGGCUCCGUUUCAUGGAAGGCUGGAUUUCCGGACGCAGGGGGUUACAAAACCAGGAGAGGAGGAAGAAACUGGAGCAAAGCCAACUGCAGGCGCUGCACGAAAGGGUAAUGGGGCUAGAGGAACGAGAAGCAGAUCGCAGCAAACGACUUGCCGAAGCUUCCCCCGAAGCUACCCCGCCAUCUCAGCGGAGAAGCAGCGUGGCUUCCACCGAGCUGCUUCAGCCAGAGCAUGCCUUGACGGCUCCUGCCAGCUAUCCCGUGGAUGCUAUCACGGAUGCUGAAAAUUGCCACCUUAUGGCGCAAUGGAGCAAUUUGAAGGUCAAGGCGGCUGUUGGCUCUGUUUAUCCUACUAAACCCGACUCAACUUUUCACUGCCGGCCGAUUCAAGAAGGAUAUGCUAAGGUGAUGGUCGAUGAAAUAAUGGAGGGAUUUGAGGACCUUCGGCUUGACCACCCUACCGAACUGGACGCCUCCGCCUCCUCCGCCUCCUCCGGCGAGUCAGUGCACUCCGCCUCCUCCAUCGCCUCCUCCUUCGGCGAGUGACGAUCAGGGCACUCGGCCGGCUCCUUCUCCGUCGCGUGGUGGCACUCCGCCUCCUUCUCCGCCUGCGCCGGCGCGCCCGAGCAGCCAGCCUCCUCCUUCUCCGCCUCGUCAGCAAGGGCGGAAGAGACCCGCCGCCGCUCCGGCUGCUCCGGCGCGUCGUAGUCCUUCUCCUCCGCCUCGUAAGCAAGGAAAGAAGACAUCCGCUCCGUCUGCUCGGCAGGCGUCUAGCAGUACAGCCAAAGGCGGGAGGAGAUACAGAUUCGGUCCUUCUCUGAAGACUCCAGAGAAGUUACCGUACGAGAGGAGCGAGGAGGAAAACGCGAAGAUCACGCAGACCGAAGUGGAUGACUGGUUUCAAGGGUUGAAAGCAAAGAGACAUCCACCUCCGGAGGAGAAGGUAGAUCCGGUGAAAGCGAAGCGCACUCUGGCUGCCCUAACAAAACCACCCAAGUCUCCGCCGAAAGGCAACUAUGAGCGCAUUAUUGGAAAGGCAUUUGUCGAAGCGGAGAGGUCGGGAAGUACUAAAAGUGAUCAAAGGAUGAAAGAACGACGAGCUGGGAAACAAAUUGCCCAGCUCAGCGAACAAGCGAAGCAAUCAUGCCCCCCGCUCAAGGUGCAUGCUAGCGACAUCGUCGAUCCGAGGAUGGUGCCCGGUUACGGCAAUCCUGCAGAUUACCUGCCCGACGAUGUACAUUAUGAUUUCUUGGAGGUGCAGAUACAAAGAUACGAGUACGGGAAGCCUCUCGUCAAAUAUGAAAGUUCUCUAUCAAUGAUGAUGCGAAGGUUGCAUGACUGGUACAUGAAAACCUGCAAAGAGUCUGAGGGGAGGAGUACUUUGUAUGUGAGAGUUAAAAAGGAGCAUGACCUCCUUGGAAUUGAACUGUUGCCUAUUCCAUUUGAGGAGUUCUAUCAGUUUUUCAAUCAAUUGGCCAUCGAUAAAGCAACGGUCACCUGCUACUGUCUGUAAGUAGUACUACUUCUGUCAUUAAGUCUCUCUAUAUAACUCAGCCCUUUCAUUGCAUGUAUUUAUAAUUAUCCUCACUAUAUUAUGCAGAUUGAAGAUCGCCGAAUUGAAGAAAAGACAAGUGGGAGAUAUUGGGUUCAUUAACACAUAUCUCAUAGAUGCAACUGAGGUUCAAUAUCGUGCCCAAGAAAACGAGGACAACUUGCUAUGAUCGUCGGAAAUAAAUGAACACAAAGAUAUAAUACUCUUUCCUUACAACUUCAAGUGAGUGUUACUGUCUUGUGGCAUAUUCGGUUUCCUUAUUAGUCCAGGUUAUAAUAAUGUAAUAUUGAUGAGUUAUGCAUGUGUGCGCAGCUACCACUAUAUUCUCCUAGAGAUUAAGCUUGAGAAGGGAGUAGUAACUGUCUUAGACUCCAAGCGAAAAGAUCCCAAGGAGUAUGCGGACAUGACUGAAAUGCUCGAGAAGUAAGUUAAAUCGAUCAUUAUCCACCAUAUCAGCAACUUUGUUCAUUUCUAAUAUCAAGUAAUUGUUUUCUUUGUAUGGCAGGGCUUGGAGAAAAUUCACCAAAAAAGCUCCGGGACUACCGAAGAAGCUGCAAUUUAGGCACCCGAAAGUAAGUACUAUAUAGUAGCAUAUUCCAUGCAUCUCCUAGUGAUUCAAGCGCUAGUUUCAUCAAUACCAUUUAGCUUGCUUGCUAAUUAUCAGUUUGAUUGACCUCUAUUUCUUGUAAAGUGGUUGUGGCAGGAACAAGGGAAUGAUUUCUGUGGAUACUACAUUUGCGAGUCCAUCCGCCACACGACCUGUGAGCGGGGCUACUCCGACAAACAAUAUGAAGUGCGUAAAUAACAAUAUUCACAAUUUUAUUUUAUUACCAUCAUUUGUGUUGAGUUUCAUUCAUUCAUAUAUAUAUAUAUAUAUAUAUAUAUAUAUAUGUAUUGACCCCCUUCUUAAAAUUAGAUGUUUCGGAUGCGGGAUGAACUCCUAGCACCAGAUCGCAUGCGAGCAAUUCAAGAGGAAUUGGCGGCAUUAUUUCUUGACCACGUGAUAGCUGAAGACGGAGAAUACUAUGUGGACCACGCGUCCGUAUGUUAGGAGAUUAUAUAUUUGUAAAAGAUAAUUAUUGUAUAUAUGUAGCCAGUAGUGUCGGAUAGAUAUACGAGAACUUGUUGUUCGACCAAUCUCUCGGAGAAGGAGAGGUGGUUGAUAUCACUUCUCUCUGUAUGCAUAUAUGUUCAUGACGAUCUUCUGUUUGCUUACAAGCUAGCUAGCGUGUCUAGCUAGUCCUCUCUAUACGUAUGUAUGGUACGUAGCGUCGACCAAGCACGGACAAAAGAGAGGACACUUCUCUCUAUUAAUUAGCUAGCUAUAGCACAAUAUAUGAAACACCUAAAUUNNNNNNNNNNNNNNNNNNNNNNNNNNNNNNNNNNNNNNNNNNNNNNNNNNNNNNNNNNNNNNNNNNNNNNNNNNNNNNNNNNNNNNNNNNNNNNNNNNNNNNNNNNNNNNNNNNNNNNNNNNNNNNNNNNNNNNNNNNNNNNNNNNNNNNNNNNNNNNNNNNNNNNNNNNNNNNNNNNNNNNNNNNNNNNNNNNNNNNNNNNNNNNNNNNNNNNNNNNNNNNNNNNNNNNNNNNNNNNNNNNNNNNNNNNNNNNNNNNNNNNNNNNNNNNNNNNNNNNNNNNNNNNNNNNNNNNNNNNNNNNNNNNNNNNNNNNNNNNNNNNNNNNNNNNNNNNNNNNNNNNNNNNNNNNNNNNNNNNNNNNNNNNNNNNNNNNNNNNNNNNNNNNNNNNNNNNNNNNNNNNNNNNNNNNNNNNNNNNNNNNNNNNNNNNNNNNNNNNNNNNNNNNCGCGUGGAUGCCUAUUGGUCCCGGUUGGUGCCACCAACCGGGACCAAAGGCCCUCCUGCCUGGGCUCAGCGGGCAGGCCACGUGGAGGCCCAUCUGUCCCGGUUCUGGAUUGAACCGGGACUAAAGGGUCAGGGCAUUAGUACCGACCCUUUAGUCCCGGUUCAUGAACCGGGACUAAAGGCCCUCACCAACCAGGACUAUAGGCCCUUUUUCUACUAGUGCAUAGACCACAACAUGUCCCUAGUAAGCCUCUAGUUGACUAGCUCGUUGAUUAACAGAUAGUCAUGGUUUCCUGAUAUGGACAUUGGAUGUCAUUGAUAACGAGAUCACAUCAUUAGGAGAAUGAUGUGAUGGACAAGACCCAAUCCUAAGCAUAGCACAAGAUAGUGUAGUUCGUUUGCUAGAGCUUUUCCAAUGUCAAGUAUCUUUUCCUUAGACCAUGAGAUCGUGUAACUCCCGGAUACCGUAGGAGUGCUUUGGGUGUACCAAACGUCACAACGUAACUGGGUGACUAUAAAGGUAUAUACGGGUAUCUCUGAAAGUGUUUGUUGGGUUAACACGGAUCGAGACUGGGAUUUGUCACUCCGUAUGACGGAGAGGUAUCUCUGGGCCCACUCGGUAAUGCAUCAUCAUAAUGAGCUCAAAGUGACCAAGUGUUUGGUCACGGGAUCAUGCAUUACGGUACGAGUAAAGUCACUUGCCGGUAACGAGAUUGAACGAGGUAUUGGGAUACCGACGAUCGAAUCUCGGGCAAGUAACGUACCGAUUGACAAAGGGAAUUGUAUACGGGGUUGCUUGAAUCCUCGACAUCGUGGUUCAUCCGAUGAGAUCAUUGAGGAGCAUGUGGGAGCCAACAUGGGUAUCCAGAUCCCGUUGUUGGUUAUUGACCGGAGAGUCGUCUCGGUCAUGUCUACGUGUCGCCCGAACCCGUAGGGUCUACACACUUAAGGUUCGGUGACGCUAGGGUUGUAGAGAUAUGAGUGUGCAGCAAACCGAAAGUUGUUCGGAGUCCCGGAUGAGAUCCCGGACGUCAUGAGGAGUUCCAGAAUGGUUCGGAGGUAAAGAAUUAUAUAUGGGAAGUCGAGUUUCGGCCAUCAGGAAAGUUUCGGGGGUCACCGGUAUUGUAACGGGACCACCGGAAGGGUCCCGGGGGUCCACCGGGUGGGGCCACCUAUCCCGGAGGGCCCCAUGGGCUGAAAUGGGAGGGGAACCAGCCCCUGGUGGGCUGGUGCGCCCCCCCUUGGCCCCCCUGCGCCUAGGGAUGGGAACCGUAGGGGAGGGGGCGCCUCCACUUGCCUUGGGGGGCAAGGCACCCCCCUUGGCCGCCGCCCCCCCUAGGAGAUCCCAUCUCCGAGGGCCGGCGCCCCCCUGGGGACCCUAUACAUAGAGGGGGAGGGAGGGCAGCCGCACCCUUGCACUUGGCGCCUCCCUUCCCCCUUGCUACACCUCUCCUCCUCCGUAGAGCUCGGCGAAGCCCUGCUGAGAUUCCUGCUGCAUCCACCACCACGCCGUCGUGCUGCUGGAUAUCCAUCAACCUCUCCUUCCCCCCUUGCUGGAUCAAGAAGGAGGAGACGUCUUCCCCAACCGUACGUGUGUUGAACGCGGAGGUGCCGUCCGUUCAGCUCUCGGUCAUCGGUGAUUUGGAUCACGACGAGUACGACUCCCUCAACCCCGUUCUCUUGAACGCUUCCGCUCACGAUCUACAAAGGUAUGUAGAUGCACUCCUAUCACUCGUUGCUAGAUGAACUCAUAGAUAGAUCUUGGUGAAACCGUAGAAGAAUUUUUAUUUUCCCCAACGUUCUCUAUGCAUGAGUAGAACACAAUUUGUUGUGGGCGUAGAUGUUGUCAACUUUCUUGCCGCUACUAGUCUUAUUUUGCUUCAGCGGUAUUGUGGGAUGAAGCGGCCCGGACCGACCUUACACGUAUGCUUACAUGAGACAGGUUCCACCGACUGACAUGCACUAGUUGCAUAAGGUUGCUAGCGGGUGUCUGUCUCUCCCACUUUAGUUGGAGCGGAUACGAUGAAAAGGGUCCUUAUGAAGGGUAAAUAGAAGUUGACAAAUCACGUUGUGUCUUUUUCGUAGGUAAGAAAACGUUCUUGCUAGAACCCUAUUGCAGCCACGUAAAAGAUGCAACAACAAUUAGAGGACGUCUAACUUGUUUUUGCAGCAAUUGCCUUGUGAUGUGAUAUGGCCAAAAGUUGUGAUGAAUGAUGAAUGAUAUAUUGUGAUGUAUGAGAUCAUGUUCUUGUAAUAGGAAUCACGACUUGCAUGUCGAUGAGUAUGACAACCGGCAGGAGCCAUAGGAGUUGUCUUAAUUAUUGUAUGACCUGCGUGUCAAUGAUUUAACGCCAUGUAAUUACUUUACUUUAUUGCUAAACCGUUAGCUAUAGUAGUAGAAGUAAUAGUUGGUGAGCAACUUCAUGGAGACACGAUGAUGGAGAUCAUGGUGUCAUGCCGGUGACAAGAUGAUCAUGGAGCCCCAAGAUGGAGAUCAAAGGAGCUAUAUGAUAUUGGCCAUAUCAUGUCACUAUUAUUUGAUUGCAUGUGAUGUUUAUCAUGUUUUUCCAUCUUGUUUACUUAGAACGACGGUAGUAAAUAAGAUGAUCCCUCAUAAUAAUUUGAAGAAAGUGUUCCCCCUAACUGUGCGCCGUUGCGACAAUUCAUUGUUUCGAAGCACCACGUGAUUAUCGGGUGUGAUAGAUUCUAACGAUCACAUACAACGGGUGUAAGACAGAUUUACACAUGCAAAACACUUAGGUUAACUUGAUGAGCCUAGCAUGUACAGACAUGGCCUCGGAACACAAGAGAUCGAAAGGUCGAACAUGAGUCGUAUGAAAGAUACGAUCAAGAUGGAGAUGUUCACCGAUGAUGACUAGUCCGUAUCACGUGAUGAUCGGACACGGCCUAGUCGACUCUGAUCAUGUAACACUUAGAUGACUAGAGGGAUGUCUAAUCUGAGUGGGAGUUCAUUAAUUAAUUUGACGAGAUGAACUUAAUUAUCAUGAACUUGGUCUAAAGUCUUUGCAAAAUGUCUUGUAGAUCAUGUCAACAUGAACUUCAACGCGUUCCUAGAGAAAACCAAGCUGAAAGAUGAUGGCAGCAACUAUACGGACUGGGUCCGGAACAUGAGGAUCGUCCUCAUAGCUGCCAAGAAAGCAUAUGUCCUAGAAGGACCGCUAGGUGAAGCACCCAUCCCAGAGAACCAAGACGUUAUGAAUGCUUGGCAGUCACGUACUGAUGAUUACUCCCUCGUUCAGUGCGGCAUGCUUUACAGCUAGAACCAGGGCUCCAAAAGCGUUUUGAGCGACACGGAGCAUAUGAGAUGUUCGAGGAGCUGAAAAUGGUUUUCCAAGCUCACGCUCGGGUCGAGAGAUAUGAAGUCUCUGACAAGUUCUAUAGUUGUAAGAUGGAGGAAAAUAGUUCUGUCAGUGAGCACAUACUCAAAAUGUCUGGGUUGCACAACCGCCUGUCCCAGCUGGACAUUAACCUCCCGGACGAGGCGGUCAUUGACAGAAUCCUUCAGUCGCUCCCACCGAGCUACAAGAGCUUUGUGAUGAACUACAAUAUGCAGGGGAUGGUGAAAACUAUUCCUGAAGUAUUUUCAAUGCUGAAAUCAGCAGAGGUAGAAAUCAAGAAGGAACAUCAAGUGUUGAUGGUCAAUAAAACCACUAAGUUCAAGAAGGGCAAGGGUAAGAAAAACUUCAAGAAGGACGGCAAGGAUGUUGCCGCGCCCAGUAAGCCUGUUGCCGGGAAGAAGUAAAAGAAUGGACCCAAGCCUGAGACUGAGUGCUUUUAUUGCAAAGGGAAGGGUCACUCGAAGCGGAACUGCCCCAAAUACUUAGCGGACAAGAAGGCCGGCAACACUAAAGGUAUAUGUGAUAUACAUGUAAUUGAUGUGUACCUUACCAGUGCUCGUAGUAGCUCCUGGGUAUUUGAUACCGGUGCCGUUUCUCAUAUUUGUAACUCAAAGCAGGAGCUGCGGAAUAAGCGGAGACUGGCGAAGGGCGAGGUGACGAUGCGCGUCGGGAAUGGUUCCAAGGUCGAUGUGAUCACCGUUGGCACGCUACCUCUACAUUUACCUACGGGAUUAGUUUUAAACCUCAAUAAUUGUUAUUUAGUGCCAAGUUUGAGCAUGAACAUUGUAUCAGGAUCUCGUUUAAUACGAGAUGGCUACUCAUUUAAAUCCGAGAAUAAUGGUUGUUCUAUUUAUAUGAGAGAUAUGUUUUAUGGUCAUGCUCCGAUGGUCAAUGGUUUAUUCUUAAUGAAUCUCGAACGUGAUGUUACACAUAUUCAUAGUGUGAAUACCAAAAGAUAUAAAGUUGAUAACGAUAGUCCCACAUACUUGUGGCACUGCCGCCUUGGUCACAUUGGUGUCAAGCGCAUGAAGAAGCUCCAUGCUGAUGGACUUUUAGAGUCUCUCGAUUAUGAAUCAGUUGACACAUGCGAACCAUACCUUAUGGGCAAAAUGGCCAAGACUCCGUCCUCCGGAACAAUGGAGCGAGCAACAAACUUAUUGGAAAUCAUACAUGCUGAUGUGUGCGGUCCAAUGAGCGUUGAGGCUCGCGGAGGAUAUCGUUAUGUUCUCACUCUUACUGAUGACUUAAGUAGAUAUGGGUAUGUCUACUUGAUGAAACACAAGUCUGAGACCUUUGAAAAGUUCAAGGAAUUUCAGAAUGAGGUAGAGAAUCAACGUGACCGGAAAAUAAAGUUCUUACAAUCAGAUCGUGGAGGAGAAUAUUUAAGUCACGAAUUUGGCACACACUUAAGGAAAUGUGGAAUCAUUUCACAACUCACGCCGCCUGGAACACCUCAGCGUAACGGUGUGUCCGAACAUCGUAAUCGCACUCUAUUGGAUAUGGUGCGAUCUAUGAUGUCUCUUACUGAUUUACUGCUAUCAUUUUGGGGAUACGCUCUAGAGACCGCUAUAUUCACUUUAAAUAGGGCAUCGUCUAAAUCCGUUGAGACGACACCGUAUGAAUUAUGGUUUGGGAAGAAACCUAAGCUGUCGUUUCUAAAAGUUUGGGGAUGCGAUGCUUAUGUCAAGAAACUUCAACCUGAAAAGCUCGAACCCAAGUCAGAAAAAUGCGUCUUCAUAGGAUACCCUAAGGAAACCAUUGGGUAUACCUUCUACCUUAGAUCCGAAGGCAAGAUCUUUGUUGCCAAGAACGGAUCCUUUCUGGAAAAAGAGUUUCUCUCGAAAGGAAUAAGUGGGAGGAAAGUAUAACUCGAUGAAGUACUACCUCUUGAACCGGAAAGUAGUGCAGCUCAGGAAAAUGUUCCUGUGGUGCCUACACCGACUGGAGAGGAAAUUAAUGAUGAUGAUCAAGGUACUUCGAAUCAAGUUGCUACUGAACUUCGUAGGUCCACAAGGACACGUUCCACACCAGAGUGGUAUGGCAACCCUGUCCUGGAAAUCAUGUUGUUAGACAACGGUGAACCUUCGAACUAUGAAGAAGCGAUGGCGGUCCCAGAUUCCAACAAAUGGCUUGAAGCCAUGCAAUCCGAGAUAGGAUCCAUGUAUGAAAACAAAGUAUGGACUUUGAUAGACUUGCCCGAUGAUCGGCGAGCGAUAGAAAACAAAUGGAUCUUUAAGAAGAAGACGGACGCGGAUGGUAAUGUUACCAUCUAUAAAGCUCUACUUGUCGCUAAGGGUUAUCGACAAGUUCAAGGGGUUAACUACGAUGAGACUUUCUCUCCCAUAGCGAAGCUGAAGUCCGUCCGAAUCAUGUUAGCAAUUGCCGCAUACUAUCAUUAUGAGAUAUGGCAAAUGGACGUCAAAACGGCAUUCCUUAACGGCUAUCUUAAGGAAGAACUGUAUAUGAUGCAGCCGGAAGGUUUUGUCGACCCUAAGAAUGCUAACAAGGUAUGCAAGCUCCAGCGAUCCAUUUAUGGGCUGGUGCAAGCAUUUCGGAGUUGGAACAUUCGCUUUUAUGAGAUGAUCAAAGCGUUUGGGUUUAUGGAGACUUAUGGAGAAGCCUGCGUUUACAAGAAAGUGAGUGGGAGCUCUGUAGCAUUUCUCAUAUUAUAUGUAGAUGACAUACUUUUGAUGGGAAAUGAUAUAGAACUUUUGGACAGCAUUAAGGCCUACUUGAAUAAGAGUUUUUCAAUGAAGGACCUUGGAGAAGCUGCUUAUAUAUUAGGCAUCAAGAUCUAUAGAGAUAGAUCGGGACGCCUCAUAGGUCUUUCACAAAGCACAUACCUUGAUAAGAUAUUGAAGAAGUUCAAUAUGGAUCAGUCUAAGAAGGGGUUCUUGCCUGUGUUGCAAGGUGUGAAAUUGAGCUCGGCUCAAUGUCCGACCACGGCAGAAGAUAUAGAAGAGAUGAGUGUCAUCCCCUAUGCUUCAGCCAUAGGGUCUAUUAUGUAUGCCAUGAUGUGUACCAGACCUGAUGUAAACCUUGCCGUAAGUUUGGUAGGAAGGUACCAAAGUAAUCCCGGCAAGGAACACUGGACAGCGGUCAAGAAUAUCCUGAAGUACCUGAAAAGGACUAAGGACAUGUUUCUCGUUUAUGGAGGUGACGAAGAGCUCGUCGUAAAGGGUUACGUCGACGCUAGCUUCGACACAGAUCUGGAUGACUCUAAGUCACAAAACGGAUACGUGUAUAUGUUGAAUGGUGGAGCAGUAAGCUGGUGCAGCUGCAAGCAGAGCAUCGUGGCGGGAUCUACAUGUGAAGCGGAGUACAUGGCAGCCUCGGAGGCAGCGCAUGAAGCAAUUUGGGUGAAGGAGUUCAUCACCGACCUAGGAGUCAUACCCAAUGCGUCGGGGCCGAUCAAACUCUUUUGUGACAACACUAGAGCUAUUGCACUUGACAAGGAGCCCAGGUUUCACAAGAAGACCAGGCACAUCAAGCGUCGCUUCAACUCCAUUUGUGAAAAUGUUCAAGAUGGAGACAUAGAAAUUUGCAAAGUGCAUACGGAUCUGAAUGUCGCAGAUCCGUUGACUAAACCUCUUCCGCGAGCAAAACAUGAUCAACACCACAACUCUAUGGGUGUUUGAUUCAUCACAAUGUAACUAGAUUAUUGACUCUAGUGCAAGUGGGUGACUGUUGGAAAUAUUCCCUAGAGGCAAUAAUAAAAGGAUUAUUAUUAUAUUUCCUUGUUCAUGAUAAUUGUCUUUUAUUCAUGCUAUAAUUGUAUUAUCCAGAAAUCGUAAUACACGUGUGAAUACAUAGACCACAACAUGUCCCUAGUAAGCCUCUAGUUGACUAGCUCGUUGAUCAACAGAUAGUCAUGGUUUCCUGAGUAUGGACAUUGGAUGUCAUUGAUAAUGAGAUCACAUCAUUAGGAGAAUGAUGUGAUGGACAAGACCCAAUCCUAAGCAUAGCACAAGAUCGUGUAGUUCGUUUGCUAGAGCUUUUCCAAUGUCAAGUAUCUUUUCCUUAGACCAUGAGAUCGUGUAACUCCCGGAUACCGUAGGAGUGCUUUGGGUGUACCAAACGUCGCAACGUAACUGGGUGACUAUAAAGGUAUACUACGGGUAUCUCCAAAAGUGUCUGUUGGGUUGACACUGAUCGAGACUGGGAUUUGUCACUCCGUAUGACGGAGAGGUAUCUCUGGGCCCACUCGGUAAUGCAUCAUCAUAACGAGCUCAAAGUGACCAAGUGUUUGGUCACAGGAUCAUGCAUUACGGUACGAGUAAAGUCACUUGCCGGUAACAAGAUUGAACGAUCGAAUCUCGGGCAAGUAACGUACCGAUUGACAAAGGGAAUUGUAUACGGGGUUGCUUGAAUCCUCGACAUCGUGGUUCAUCCAAUGAGAUCAUCGAGGAGCAUGUGGGAGCCAACAUGGGUAUCCAGAUCCCGCUGUUGGUUAUUGACCAAAGAGUCGUCUCGGUCAUGUCUACGUGUCUCCCAAACCCAUAGGGUCUACACACUUAAGGUUCGGUGACGCUAGGGUUGUAGAGAUAUGAGUAUGAAGCAAACCGAAAGUUGUUCGGAGUCCCGGAUGAGAUCCCGGACGUCACAGGAGUUCCGGAAUGGUCCGGAGGUAAAGAAUUAUAUAUGGGAAGUGGAGUUUCAGCCGUCGGGAAAGUUUCGGGGGUCACCGGUAUUGUACCGGGACCACCGGAAGGGUCCCGGGGGUCCACCGGGUGGGGCCACCUAUCCCGGAGGGCCCUAUGGGCUGAAGUGGGAGGGGAACCAGCCCCUGGUGGGCUGGUGCGCCCCCCCUUGGGCCCCCCCUGCGCCUAGGGAUGGGAACCCUAGGGGAGGGGGCGCCUCCACUUGCCUUGGGGGGCAAGGCACCCCCCUAGGCCGCCGCCCCCCUAGGGACCCUAUAUAUAGAGGGGGGGAGGGAGGGCAGCCGCACCCUUGCACUUGGCGCCUCCCUUCCCCCUUGCUACACCUCUCCUCCUCCGUAGAGCUCGGCGAAGCCCUGCUGAGAUUCCUGCUGCAUCCACCACCACGCCGUCGUGCUGCUGGAUCUCCAUCAACCUCUCCUUCCCCCUUGCUGGAUCAAGAAGGAGGAGACGUCUUCACCAACCGUACGUGUGUUGAACGCGGAGGUGCCGUCCUUUCGGCACUCGGUCAUCGGUGAUUUGGAUCACGACGAGUACGACUCCCUCAACCCCGUUCUCUUGAACGCUUCCGCUUGCGAUCUACAAAGGUAUGUAGAUGCACUCCUAUCACUCGUUGCUAGAUGAACUCAUAGAUAGAUCUUGGUGAAACCGUAGGAAAUUUUUUAUUUUCUGCAACGUUCCCCAACAGACACCACACUGGAGAUAGAACUGCACACAAGGUAUUGCAAUCCGUUUUUUAUUGGCCUACUCUCUUCAAAGAUGCUCGUAAGUUUUUCUUGUCUUGUGAUGAAUGUCAAAGAAUUGGUAAUAUUAGUAGACGUCAAGAAAUGCCUAUGAACUAUUCUCUUGUUAUUGAACCAUUUGAUGUUUGGGGCUUUGAUUAUAUGGGACCUUUUCCUGCCACUAAUGGUUACACACAUAUUUUAGUUGCUGUUGAUUACGUUACUAAGUGGGUAGAAGGUAUUCCAACUAGUAGUGUUGAUCAUAACACUUCUAUUAAAAUGCUUAAAGAAGUUAUUUUUCUGAGGUUUGGAGUCCCUAGAUAUCUUAUGACUGAUGGUGGUUCACAUUUUAUUCAUGGUGCUUUCCGUAAGAUGCUUGCUAAGUAUGAUGUUAAUCAUAGAAUCGCAUCUCCUUAUCACCCACACAAUUUAGUGGUCAAGUAGAGUUGAGCAAUAGAGAGCUCAAAUUAAUUUUGCAAAAGACUGUUAAUAAAUCUAAAAAGAAUUGGUCCAAGAAGCUUGAUGAUGCAUUAUGGGCCUAUAGAACUGCAUAUAAAUAUCCUAUGGGUAUGUCUCCAUAUAAGAUGGUUUAUGGAAAAGCUUGUCAUUUACCUCUAGAACUUGAACAUAAAGCAUAUUGGGCUAUCAAAGAGCUCAACUAUGACUUCAAACUUGCCGGUGAGAAGAGGUUGUUGAUAUUAGCUCACUUGAUGAAUGGAGAACACAAGCCUAUGAGAAUGCCAAGCUAUUUAAAGAAAAAGUCAAAUGUUGGCAUGACAAAAGGAUACAAAAGCAUGACAAAGGUGAUUAUGUGUUAUUAUUCAACUCUCGUUUAAUAUUUUUUGCAGGAAAACUUCUCUCUAAAUGGGAAGGCCCUUACGUUAUCGAGGAGGUCUAUCGUUCGGGUGCCAUAAAAAUCAACAACUUCGAAGGCACAAGUCCGAGGGUGGUGAACGGUCAAAGAAUCAAACAUUAUAUCUUACGUAAUCCUAUCAAUGUUGAAACUAAUAUCAUUGAAACCGUAACCCCGGAGGAAUACAUAAGGGACACUUUCUAGAACAUUCCAGACUCCGAAAAGGAAUAGGUAUGUGGUACGGUAAGUAAACCGACUCCAAAACAUUUCUAUUGGCAAUUUUUAUCAGUUUUGGAAUAUUUAAGAAUUUUAGGAAGAAAGAAGUAGUCCGGGAAGGACACGAGGCCUCCACGAGGGUGGAGGGCGCGCCCACCCUUACUGGGCGUGCCCCCCUGUCUCGUGGCCACCUCGUGUGCCUCCCGGACUCCUUUUUCUUGCACGUUACAUAUUUUGGUUGGUAAAAAUUCAUUAUAUAAACUCCCGAAGGUUUUGACCACCGUAUCACGCAAAAAUACUCUGUUUUCGUUGCGAGCUGUUUCUGUUAUAGAUUUAGAGCAAGAUGUCUUCUCAAGAGUCAGUUGGGGAGAGUCGGGUGCCUCACCCGACACUAGGUCCAGGAGCAAAAAGCGAUGCUUAUCACUUUGGACCAUCAACGGAGGAUGAGAUGGAGGCCGACUUGAAAAGGAUAGAUGCCAUGGAGGAAGAUCAAGAAGUCACCUCCUGCUUUCAAGCAGGAUUCAUAAUGGGGGAACUACAGAGCUCGGUUGUUCCAAAUUUGGUCAUCCCUUCCAAUGCUAAGUUUCUUACUUAUGAAAAUAUGAAAAAGAGUGUUACUUGUUCUCCACAAGCUAUGCAGCACCCUUGUGUAAAAGGAGCUUUAGCAAUAGCAGGCAAGAUCCGCAAGGAAAAUAUGAACCUCAAGCAACAAGUCAAUAAGCUCGAGGAGGAGAAUCGUAUCCUGAGGGGAAUUAUCGCCGAAAAGAUAACAACACCAACUUUGAAGAAGGAGACAUAAUCACUUGGGUAUGGGCACUCCCCUUGGCAACUGCCGAGCUUGGGGGAGGUGUUGCGGUAUCGUAUCACCAUCACACUCCUAUCUUUACCGUUUUAUUUAGUUCGAUCCUUUUUAGUAGUAUCUUGAUCUAGUAGAUUGAAGUUUUGAUAUCAAGUAGUUUUGAGUUUUGCUUUGUGAUCUCUUUAUGUAAUCGAGCCCAUGAGCUAUCUAUAAUAAAGAUUAGUGUUGAGUCAAGGGCUUUGCUAUCUUGCUAUGAUCUUAAGAAAAAUAGAAAGAAUAAAAAGAAUAAAGAGUUCAUAUUGAUCUUAUGGAUAGUAAUGACUUCACACAUAGAAAGUAUGACGCAUAAAAGUUGUUGAGAGUUGAUAAACGUAGUUUUGGUCAUCGUUACAAUUAAUAGGAAGUAAUAAGGAAAGAGAGGUUUCACAUAUAAAUAUACUAUCUUGGACAUAUUUUAUGAUUGUGAGCACUCAUUAAGUAUGACAUGCUCAAAGAGUCGACGUUGGACAAGGAAGACAACGUAAUGGUUUAUGUUUUCUAACAUCUCAGUUAAAGUAUAUUUUCAUUGACCUUCCGAACAUGUUGAGCUUGCCUUUCCCCCUCAUGCUAGCCAAAUCCUAGCACCAAGUAGAGAUACUGCUUGUGCUUCCAAAUAUCCUUAAACCCAGUCUUGCCAUGAGAGUCCACCAUAUCUAGCUAUGGAUUGAGUAAGAUCCUUCAAGUAAGUUGUCAUCAGUGCAAGCAAUCAAAAUUGCUCUCUAAAUAUGCAUGACUUAUUAGUGCGGAGAAAAUAAGCUUUAUAGGAUCUUGUUAUGGAAGCAAUAAAAGCGACGAACUGCAUAAUAAACGUCCAUACACAAGUGGCAAUAUAAAGUGACGUUCUUUCGCAUUAAAAUUUUGUGUAUCAAACCCUAAAAGCGCAUGACAACCUCUGCUUCCCUCUGCGAAGGGCCUAUCUUUUACUUUAUGUUUUUACUUUAUGCUUGAGUCAAGGUGAUCUUCACCUUUCCCUUUUUCAUUUUAUCCUUUGGCAAGCUCCUCGUGUUUGAAAGAUCAUGAUAUAUAUAUCCAAUUGGAAGUUCGUUAGCAUGGACUAUUAUUGUUGACAUCACCUAAAGGUGAAUACGUUGGGAGGCAACACAAUAAGCCCCUAUCUUUCUCAGUGUCCGGCUGAAACUCCAUAACCACAAGUAUUGCAUGAGUGUUAGCAAGAAGACUAUAUGAUAGUCGAGUAUGUGGACAUGCUGAAAAGCUCUAUUCUUGACUCUUUUUGAUGUUACGAUAAAUUGCAAUUGCUUCAAUGACUGAGAUUAUAGUUUGUUAGCUUUCAAUGAAGUAUCUGAACCAUACUUGACAUUGUGAAUUGAUUGUUACUUGAGCAUGAGAAGUCAUAUGACAAAAUCUAUUGAUGUUGCUGUUAUAAGAAUAAUCAUGAUGCCCUCAUGUCCGUUUUUUAUUUUUAAUAACACCUCUAUCUCUAAACAUGUGGACAUAUUUUUCGAUUUCGGCUUCUGCUUGAGGACAAGCGAGGACUAAGCUUGGGGGAGUUGAUACGUCCAUUUUGCAUCAUGCUUUUAUAUCAAUAUUUAUUGCAUUAUGUGCUGUUAUUACACAUUAUAAAUCAAUACUUAUGGCUAUUCUCUCUUAUUUUAUAAGGUUUACCAUGAAGAUGGGGAAUGCCGGCAGCUGGAAUUCUGGCUGGAAAUGGAGCAAACAUUGGAAACCUAUUCUGCACUGCUCCAAAAGACCUGAAACUCCACGAAACUUAUUUUUCGAAUUAAUGAGAAUUAUUGAGCGGAAGAAACACCUCAGGGGGCCCACACCCUGGCCAGGAGGGUGGGGGGCGCGCCCAGUGGGCGCGCCCCCUGGUGGCCCUCCGGUAUCCAUCUUCUGCUAUAUGAAGGAUUUUACCCUGGAAAAAAUCAUGGGCAAGCUUACGGGACGAAACUGCGCCGCCACGAGGCGGAACCUUGGCGGAACCAACUGGGCGCGCCCCCUGGUGGCCCUCCGGUAUCCAUCUUCUAUUAUAUGAAGGAUUUUACCCUGGAAAAAAUCAUGGGCAAGCAUACGGGACGAAACUCCGCCGCCAUGAGGCGGAACCUUGGCGGUACCAAUCUAGAGCUCCGGCAGAGCUGUUCUGGCAUGGACACUUCCCUCCGGGAGGGGGAAACCAUCACCAUCAUCAUCACCAACGAUCCUCCCAUCGGGAGAGGGUCAAUCUCCAUCAACAUCUUCACCAGCACCAUCUCCUCUCAAACCCUAUUUCAUCUCUUGUAUCCAAUCUUGUAUCCAAAACCACAAAUUGGUACCUAUGGGUUGCUAGUAGUGUUGAUUAUUCCUUGUAGUUGAUGCUUAUUGGUUUACUUGGUGGAAGAUCAUAUGUUCAGAUCCUUAAUGCAUAUUAUUACUCCUCUGAUUAUGAACAUGAAUAUGCUUUGUGAGUAGUUACGUUUGUUCCUGAGGACAUGGGUGAAGUCUUGCUAUUAGUAGUCAUGUGAAUUUGGUAUUCGUUCGAUAUUUUGAUGAGAUGUAUGUUGUAUUUGCUCUAGUGGUGUUAUGUGAACGUCGACUACAUGACACUUCACCAUUAUUUGGGCCUAGAGUAAGGCAUUGGGAAGUAAUAAGUAGAUGAUGGGUUGCUAGAGUGACGGAAGCUUAAACCCUAGUUUAUGCGUUGCUUCGUAAGGGGCCGAUUUGGAUCCAUAUGUUUAAUGAUGUGGUUAGGUUUACCUUAAUACUUCUUUUGUAGUUGCGGAUGCUUGCAAUAGGGGUUAAUCAUAAGUGGGAUGCUUGUCCAAGUAAGGGCAGUACCCAAGCACCGGUCCACCCACAUAUCAAAUUAUCAAAGUACCGAAAACGAAUCAUAUGAGCGUGAUGAAACUAGCUUGACGAUAAUUCCCAUGUGUCCUCGGGAGCGCUUUUCUCAUUAUGAGAAAUUGUCCAGGCUUGUCCUUUGCUACAAAAAGGAUUGGGCCACGCCACCUUGCUGCACUUUAUUUACUUUCGUUGCUUGUUACUCUUUACAAUUUAUCUUAUCACAAAACUAUCUAUCACCUACAAUUUCAGAGCUUGCAGAGAAAACCUUACUAAAAACCGCUUAUUAUUUCCUUCUGCUCCUCGUUGGGUUCGGCACUCUUACUUAUCGAAAGGACUACGAUAGAUCCCCUACACUUGUGGGUCAUCAUUGAUCAUUCAUGCUUCACUUAGAACAUCAUGGUAUUUGCUAUGGUUAUAAAUUUGGUCCUAGAAUGAUGAGCAUCCAACUUGGGUAUAAUAAAAACUAUCAUAGAAAGUGCAUUAAAAACUAUGAUCAAUUUGAUGGUUGAUAAUUGUUUUGAGAGAUAAAGGUGGUAAUGUUAGAGUCACGCUAGUUGGGUAAUUAUGAAAUUGAGAAAUACUUGUGUUGAACUUGGCAAGUCCCGUAGCAUGCACGUAUGGUAAAAGUUAUGUAACAAAUUUGUAGCAUGGGGUGCUCUCUGAGUGCUUUCCUUAUGAGUGGCAGUCGGGGACGAGCGAUGGUCUUUUCCUACCAAUCUAACCCUCUAGGUGCAUGUGUAGUAGUACUUUACUUCGAGGGCGAAUAAAUUUUUGCAAUAAGUAUAUGAGUUCUUUAUGACUAAUGUGAGUCCAUGGAUAUAUGCACACUUACCCUUCCACUUUGCUAGCCUCUAUUAUACCGCGCAACCUUCGCCGGUAUCAUGAACCCAUUAUUUACCAUCCUCAAAACAGCCACCAUACCUACCUAUUAUGGCAUUUCCAUAGCCAUUCCGAGAUAUAUUGCCAUGCAACUUUCCAUUGUUUCGUUUAUUAUGACAAGCUCCAUCAUUGUCUCGCUCUUUGCAUGAUCAUGUAGUUGACAUCGUAUUUGUGGCAAGGCCACCUUCAUAAUUUUUCAUACAUGUCACUCUUGAUUCAUUGCAUAUCCCAGUACACUGCCGGAGGCAUUCACAUAGAGCCAUGUCUUGUUCUAAGUAUCGAGUUGUAAUUCUUGAGUUGUAAAUCAAUAAAAGUGUGAUGAUCUUCAUUAUUAGAGCAUUGUCCCAAGUGAGGAAAGGAUGAUGAAGACUACGAUUCCCCCACAAGUCGGGAUGAGACUUCGGACUUUAUAAAAAUAAAAGAGGCCAAAGAAGCCCACCAAAAUAAAAAAAAUGAGAGAAAAAGAGAGAAGGGACAAUGUUACUAUCCUUUUACCACACUUGUGCACCAUGAUCUUCAUGAUAGAGAGUCUCCUAUGUUGCCACUUUCAUAUACUAGUGGGAUUUUUUCAUUAUAGAACUUGGCUUUUAUAUUCCAAUGAUGGGCUUCCUACAAACGCCCUAGGUCUUCAUGAGGAAGCAAGUUGGAUGCACACCCACUUAGUUUCUUUUGUUGAGAUUUCAUAUAUUUAUAGCUCUAGUGCAUCCUUUGCAUGGCAAUCCCUACUCACUCACAUUGAUAUCUUUUAAUGGGUGAUGUCUACUACACAACCUUCUUCUUGUAGACAUUGUUGGGCCUGCACAUGCACAGGUUUGUAGCACAGUAGCAAAUUUCCCUCAAGUGGAUGACCUAAGGUUUAUCAAUCUGUAGGAGGCGUAGGAUGAAGAUGGUCUCUCUCAAACAACCCUGCAAGCAAAUAACAAAGAGUCUCUUGUGUCCCCAACACACCCAAUACAAUGGUAGAUUGUAUAGGUGCACUAGUUCGGCGAAGAGAUGGUGAUACAAAUGCAAUAUGGAUAGUAGAUAAAGGUAUUCGUGAUCUGAAAUUAUAAAAACAGCAAGGUAGCAAGUAACAAAAGUGAGCAUAAACGGUAUUGCAAUGAUAGGAAAUAAGGCCUAGGGUUCAUACUUUCACUAGUGAAAGUUCUCUCAACAAUAAUAACAUAAAUAGAUCAUAUAACAAUCCCUCAAUAUGCAACAAAGAGUCACUCCAAAGCCACUAAUAGCGGAGAACAAACGAGGAGAGUAUGGUAGGGUACGAAACCACCUCAAAGUUAUUCUUUCGGAUCAAUCUAUUCAAGAGAUCGUACUAGAAUAACACCUUAAGACACAAAUCAACCAAAACCCUAAUGUCACCUAGAUACUCCAUUGUCACCUCAAGUAUCCGUGGGCAUGAUUAUACGAUAAGCAUCACAUAAUCUCAGAUUCAUCUAUUCAACCAACACAAAGUACUUCAAGGAGUGCCCCAAAGUUUCUACCGGAGAGUCAAGAACGUCUGCCAACCCCUAUGCAUAGGUUCAUGGGCGGAACCCGCAAGUUGGUCACCAAAACAUACAUCAAGUGGCACAUGAUAUCCCAUUGUCACCACAGAUAAUCACGGAAAAACAUACAUCAAGUGUUCUCAAAUAAAGACUCAAUCCGAUAAGAUAACUUCAAAGGGGAAAACUCAAUCCAUUACAAGAGAGUAGAGGGGGAGAAACAUCAUAAGAUCCAACUAUAAUAGCAAAGCUCGGGAUACAUCAAGAUCGUGCCAUAGAGGGAACACGAGAGAGAACACGAGAGAGAGAGAGAGAGAUCAAACACAUAGCUACUGGUACAUACCCUCAGCCUCGAGGGUGAACUACUCCCUCCUCGUCAUGGAGAGUGCCGGGAUGAUGAAGAUGGCCACCAGUGAAGGAUCCCCCCUCUGACAGGGUGCCGGGAAGGGCUGCCGAGAGGUUUUUGGUGGCUACAGAGGCUUGGGGCGGCGGAACUCCCGAUCUCUCUUGAUAUUCGAUGUUUUUAGGGUACAAGGGAAUAUAUAGGCGAAAGAAGUCAGUCGGGAGGUGCUCGAGGGGCCCAGGAGACAGGGGGCGCGCCCAAUAGGGGGGCGCGCCCUCCUAUCUCGUGGCCUCCUCGAGGGUCUUCUGACGUGAACUCCAAGUCUCCUGGGUGUUAUUCUUCCAAAAAAUCACGUUGCCGAAGGUUUCAUUCCGUUUGGACUCCAUUUGAUAUUCCUAUUCUUCGAAAUACUGAAACAGGCAAUAAAACAGCAAUAUGGGUUGGGCCUCCGGUUAAUAGGUUAGUCCCAAAAGUAAUAUAAAAGUGUAUAAUAAAGCCCAUAAUCAUUCAAAACAGGUAAUAAAAUAGCAUGAAUGCUUCAUAAAUUAUAGAUACAUUGGAGACGUAUCAGCAUCACCAAGCUUAAUUCCUACUCGUCCUCGAGUAGGUAAAUGAUAAAGAAAGAAUUUAUGAAGUGUGAAUGCUAGAAGGUGCACAAGUUUGAUCAAUGAUAAUUCCAAUCACCUUUUCUAGCAUGAUUAUAUGUCAUAACAAUAGUUCAUCUCAUAAAACUUUUCAUAAUCAAGUAACAAGCUAUUCACAUGUAUAAGCAUAGACCAUAAACUUUCUUGAAAACUAGCAAACUUCAUUCUUAAUCAUCAAACAAUUGCAAUUCAUCUUAUUUUCAGGAAGGGUCUAUGUCAGAGCUUUGAUUUAAUUAGCAAACUUCACAUACUCAACUAUCAUAUAGUCUUCUACAAUUGCUAACACUCACGCAGUCCUUGUGGUUAUGAAGUUUUAAUCAGACACAGAGAAAGAUUGGGGCUUAUAAUGUUGCCUCCAAACGUAUUCACCUUUGGGUGAUGUCAACAAUAAUAGUUCAUGCUAACGUACAUCCAAUUGGAUAUAUAUAUCAGGAUCACCCCAACACAAAUUUCUUGCCAAAGGAUAAAAUGAAAAAGGGAAAGGUGAAGAUCACCUUGACUCUUGUAUAAAAGUAAAAGGCCCUUCGCAGAGGGAAGCAGGGAUUUUCAGAGGUGCCAGAGCUCGAUUUUUAAAAUAGAGACAAAUAAUUUCGAGAGGUAUGAUCUCAUUGUCAACAUAACAACCAAGAGUUCCCAGUAUCUUCCAUACUACGUACAUUAUAGGCAGUUCCCACAAAGAAUGGUAAAAGUUUAUACUCCCCCAACCACCAACAAGCAUCAAUCCAUGGCUUGCUCGAAACAACGAGUGCCUCCAACCAACAACAAUCCUGGGGGAGUUUUGUUUAAUUAUUUUGAUUUGAUUUUGACCUUUUUUAUCAUGGGACUGGGCAUCCCGGUUACCGCCACUUUCUCGUGAAUGAGGAGCGGAGUCCACUCCUCUUGAGAAUAACCCACCUAGCAUGGAAGACACUGACAGCCCCUAGUUGCUACAUGAGCAAUUCGGGCAUACAAAACAUAUUAUAAUUUGAAGGUUUAGAGUUUGGCACAUGCAAAUUUACUUGGAACAGCAGGUAAAUACCGCAUAUAGGUAGGUAUGGUGGACACUCAUGGCAAAAACUGGGUUUAAGGAUAUUGGAUGCACAAGCAGUAUUCCCGCUUAGUACAGAUAUUUAGGCUAGCAAGGGGAGAAAGGCAAGCUCAACAUGUUUGAAUGAUCCAUGACAAUAUACUUUAACUGAGAUGCGAGAGAACAUAACCCAUUACGUUGUCUUCCUUGUCCAACAUCAACUCUUUAGCAUGUCAUACUUAAUGAGUGCUCACAAUUAUAAAAGAUGUCUAUGAUAAUAUAUUUAUAUGUGAAAUUUCUCUUCCUUAAAUAUUCUUUCAUGAAUUGUUCAAAUGGCCAAUACAAUGCUUGCUAACCUUCAAUAAAUUACUACCUCUACUUCUUAGAUGUGAAGUCAUUACUCCCCAUGGGAUAAGCAAAUGAAACAUAUAUAAUUUCAGAUUUAUGACAUUCAACUCAACCAUUAACUCAUAGGAUAUAAGUGAAGCACACGAGUAAAUGAGAAACUACUCCAAAAAAAUAUAAGUGAAGAUCAAUGAGUAGCUAAAUAAUUAUGCAACUAUGUGAAGACUCUCUCUCAUUUAAUAAUUUCAGAUCUUGGUAUCUUAUUCAAACAGCAAGCAAAGCAACAUAAAAUGACAUUGUAAGGAUAGCACAACUGAUGUGAAGAAGCAAAAACUUAGGUUCAACCGAUACUAACCGAUAGUUGUUGAAGAAAAAAGGUCGGAUGCCUACCGGGGCAUCCCCAAGCUUAGGUGCUUGAGACUUCUUGAAAUAUUAUCUUGGGGUGCCUUGCGCAUCCCCAAGCUUGAGCUUUUCUGUCUCCUUAAUUCCCUUUUAUAUCACGGUUUCUCUUCUUUUUAUCAAAAAGCUUCAUUCACAACAAACUCAACAAUAACUCGUGAGAUAGGUUAGUAUAAACCAAUGCAAAACCUUAUCAUUUUCUACUGUAACGAAUCACUAAGAUUAUUAUUAAACAUUUAAUACUAAAUGUCUCUGCAUAUUUAAUACUCCUAUCCUCAAACAGAAUCAUUAAACAAGCAAACAUAUGCACACAAUGCAAACAUAACAGCAAUCUGCCAAAACAGUACAGUCUGUAAAGAAUGCAAGAUUCAUCAUGCAUCCCUAACUCCAAAAAUUAUAAGGAAACUACUAUGCUGUAAAAUAUUUAUCAGAGCUCAUUAUGCAAAAAGAUUCAACAUUAUAUCACUCUCUGACUUUUCUAGGGAACUUUUGCAACAGCGGUAAACUUUCUGUUUUCAAACAGCAACAUGUAUACUUGCAAAAUAAGCAUGGUAAAGGCUAUCCUUGACAUUUUUAUUGAAAAUGAAGAUGAAAACCAUUAAUAUAAAUAACAUCAAGCAAAUACUAACAAAAUAAAAUGACACUCCAAGCAAAACACAUAUCAUGUGGUGAAUAAAAAUAUAGCUCCAAGUAAAGUUACCGAUGAACGAAGAUGAAAGAGGGGAUGCCAUCCGGGGCAUCCCCAAGCUUAGGCUCUUGGUUAUCCUUGAAUAUUACCUUGGGGUGCCUUGGGCAUCCCCAAGCUUAGGCUCCUUCCACUUAUUAUUCCAUAGUCCAUCGAAUCCUUACCCAAAACUUGAAAACUUCAACCACACAAAACUCAAAACAAAACUCGUAAGCUCCGUUGGUAUAAGAAAGAAAAACCACCACAUAAGGUACUGUAAUGAACUCAUUCUUUAUUUAUAUUGGUGUUAAACCUACUGUAUUCUAACUUCUCUAUGGUUCAUACCCUUACAUACUAGCCAUAGAUUCAUCAAAAUAAGCAAACGACACCAUGAAAGCAGAAUCUGUCAAAAACAGAACAGUCUGUAGUAAUCUGUAUCAAACGUAUACUUCUGGAACCCCAAAAAUUAUGAAAUAAAUUGAUAGACCUGAGUAAUUUGUCUAUUAAUCAUCUGCAAAAAUAAUCAACCGAAAAGCACUCUCCAGACAAAAAAUGGUAUCUAAUCUCGUGAGCGCUAAAGUUUCUGGUUUUCACAGCAAGAUCAUAAAGACUUCACCCAAGUCUUCCCAAAGGCUCUACUUGGCACUUUAUUGAAACAAAAGCUAUAAAACAUGAUUACUACAGUAGCAUAAUCAUGUGGACACACAAAAACAGUAAGGGUUAAUAUUGGUAUGUCUCCCAACAAGAGCUUUUAUUUAAUGCCUUUCUAGCUAGGCAUGAUGAUGGCAAUGAUGCUCACAAAAAGGAUAAGAAUUGAAACAUAAAGGGAGCAUCAUGAAGAAUAUGACUAGCACAUUUAAGUCUAACCCACUUCCCAUGCAUAGGUGUUUUUUGAGCAAACAACUUACAGGAACAAUAAUCAACUAGCAUAGGAAGGCAAAACAAGCAUAACUUCAAGAUUUUAAGCACGUAGAGAGGAAACUUAAUAUUAUUGCAAUUCCUACAAGCAUAUGUUACUCCCUCAUAAUAAUUUUCAGUAGCAUCAUGAAUGAAUUCAACAAUAUAACCAGAACCUAAAGCAUUCUUUUCAUGAUUUACAAGCAUGGAAAAUUACUACUCUCCACAUAAGCAAAAUUCUUCUCAUAAAUAGUAGUGGGAGCAAACUCAACAAAAUAACUAUCAUGUGAGGCAUAAUCCAAUUGAAAACUAAAAUGAUGAUGACAAGUUUCAUGGUUAUCAUUAUUCUUAAUAGCAUAGAAGUCAUCACAAUAAUCAUCAUAGAUAGCAAUUUUGUUUUCAUAAUCAAUUGGAACCUCUUCCGAAAUAGUGGAAUCAUCACUAAAUAAAGUUGACACUCUUCCAAAUCCACUUUCAUAUUCAUCACAAUAAGAUUCAACAUCCUCCAAAAUAGUGGGAUCAAUACUACCUAAAGUUGACACUCUUCCAAACCCACUUUCAUCAAUAUAACCAUCAUAAAUAGGAGGCAUGUUGUCAUCAUAAUAAAUAUUCUCAUCAAAACUUGGGGGACUAAACAUAUCAAAUUCAUCAAACAUAGCUUCCCCAAGCUUGUGGCUUUGUAUAUCAUUAGCAUCAUGGAUAUUCAAAGAGUUUAUACUAACAACAUCGCAAUCAUGCUCAUCAUUCAAAGAUUUAGUGACAAACAUUUUAUAGAUUUCUUCUUCUAGCACUUGAGCACAAUUUUCCUUACCAUCAUUCUCAUGAAAGAUAUUAAAAAGAUGAAGCAUAUGGGACAAACUCAAUUCCAUUUUUUUGUAGUUUUCUUUUAUAGACUAAACUAGUGAUAAAACAAGAAACAAAAAGAUUCGAUUGCAAGAUCUAAAGAUAUACCUUCAAGCACUCACCUCCAAAAAGAGCUUAGUUGACGGGGUGUGAGUACCAUUUACCUAGCCUCCCUGGCAACGGCGCCAGAAAAGAGCUUGAUGUCUACUACACAACCUUCUUCUUGUAGACAUUGUUGGGCCUGCAAGUGCACAAGUUUGUAGGACAGUAGCAAAUUUCCCUCAAGUGCAUGACCUAAGGUUUAUCAAUCCGUAGGAGACGUAGGAUGAAGUUGGUCUCACUCAAACAACCCUGCAACAAAAUAACAAAGAGUCUCUUGUGUCCCCAACACACCCAAUACAAUGGUAGAUUGUAUAGGUGCACUAGUUCGGCAAAGAGAUGGUGAUACAAGUGCAAUUUGGAUAGUAGAUAAAGGUAUUUUGUGAUCUGAAAUUAUAAAAACAGCAAGGUAGAAAGUAACAAAAGUGAGCGUAAACGGUAUUGCAAUGAUAGGAAACAAGGCCUAGGGUUCAUACUUUCACUAGUGCAAGUUCUCUCAACAAUAAUAACAUAGAUAGAUCAUAUAACAAUCCCUCAAUAUGCAACAAAUAGUCACUCCAAAGCCACUAAUAGCGGAGAACAAACGAAGAGAUUAUGGUAGGGUACGAAACCACCUCAAAGUUAUUCUUUCGGAUCAAUCUAUUCAAGAGUUCGUACUAGAAUAACACCUUAAGACACAAAUCAACCAAAACCCUAAUGUCACCUAGAUACUCCAUUGUCACCUCAAGUAUCCGUGGGCAUGAUUAUACGAUAAGCAUCACACAAUCUUAGAUUCAUCUAUUCAACCAACACAAAGUACUUCAAGGACUGCCCCAAAGUUUCUACCAGAGAGUCGUGUGCCAACCCCUAUGCAUAGGUUCAUGGGCGGAACCCGCAAGUUGGUCACCAAAACAUACAUCAAGUGGCACAUGAUAUCCCAUUGUCACCAUAGAUAAUCACGGCAAGACAUACAUCAACUGUUCUCAAAUAAAGACUCAAUCCGAUAAGAUAACUUCAAAGGGGAAAACUAAAUCCAUUACAAGAGGGUAGAGGGGGAGAAACAUCAUAAGAUCCAACUAUAAUAGGAAAGAUCGAGAUACAUCUAGAUCGUGGCAUAGAGGGAACACGAGAGAGAACACGAGAGAGAGAGAGAGAGAGAGAGAGAGAGAGAGAGAUCAAACACAUAGCUACUGGUACAUACCCUCAGCCUCGAGGGUGAACUACUCCCUCCUCGUCAUGGAGAGCACCGGGAUGAUGAAGAUGGCCACCGGUGAAGGAUCCCCCCUCCGGCAGGGUGCCGGGAAGGGCUCCCGAGAGGUUUUUGGUGGCUACAGAGGCUUGCGGCGGCGGACUCCCGAUCUCUCUUGAUAUUCGAUGUUUUUAGGGUACGAGGGAAUAUAUAGGCAAAAGAAGUCGGUCGGGAGGUGCUCGAGGGGCCCACAAGAUAGGGGGCGCGCCCAUUAGGGGGGGCGCCCUCCUAUCUCGUGGCCUCCUCGAGGGUCUUCUGACGUGAACUCCAAGUCUCCUGGGUGUUAUUCUUCCAAAAAAAUCACGUUGCCGAAGGUUUCAUUCCAUUUGGACUCCGUUUGAUAUUCCUUUUCUUCGAAAUACUGAAACAGGCAAUAAAACAACAAUAUGGGCUGGGCCUCCAGUUAAUAGGUUAGUCCCAAAAGUAAUAUAAAAGUGUACAAUAAAGCCCAUAAUAAUUCAAAACAGAUAAUAAAAUAGCAUGAAUGCUUCAUAAAUUAUAGAUAUGUUGGAGACGUACCAAUGGGCAUCUCCAUAGCCCAUUGAUAUGCCUAGUUGAUGUGAGACUAUCUUCUCCCUCCUUGUCUUCAUAACCACCACCAUAUACCACACAUAGUGCUAUGUCCAUGGCUUGCGCUCAUGUAUUGGUAAGAGUUGAAAAGGCUGAAGCGCGUUAAAAAUUAUGAACCAAUUGCUCGGCUCGUCAUCGGGGUUAUGCAUAAGGGGAGUAUUUUGCUUUAUAAAAAUGAAGCAUGGCCUAACUAUAUGAUUUUGUAGGGAUAAGCUUUCUUUGGCUAUGCUGUUUUGAUAAGAGAUGAUUAUUUGUUAGUAUGCUUCAAGUAUUACUAUUUUUAUGUUUUAUAAGCUUUUAUCUUGAAUCAUUUGGAUCUAAACAAUCAUGCCACAAUAAAUAGAAUUACAUUGAGAAUUAUGCUAGGUAGCAUUCCACAUCUAAAAUUCUGUUUUUAUCAUUUACCUACUCGAGGACGAGCAGGAAUUGAGCUUGGGGAUGCUUGAUACGUCUCCAACGUAUCUAUACUUUUUAUUGUUCCAUGCUAUUAUAUUACUUGUUUUGGAUGUUUAUGGGCUUUAGAGGCGCUCCUGCCUCAUCGGCGAAAUGAUCGGCCUUUAGGACCCCAACCGCAUGGGGGUGACGCGGCUGUCUGCGGAGCAGGUCGCGCGUGGCAUGAACGACAUCUCCAAGGCCAACCUUGGAGAGGACUAGCGAUUCGGCAAGGCGCCGUAUAGCCAGUCGAACCCGGCACCGCAGGUGAGUGUCUGGUCUUCUUACUUUGCUGCUUCCCAUCUUCUCAUUCGUCCCGACGCGACGCGGGAGAUACUCUAGAACGCGAUUCGGCAUCCUUACACCCGGGCUCCGUCGCAGGUGGCGCCGGUGGCACAGAGGAGCCCGCGGUCCAAGGCGGCGAGGAGGUGGCCGAGUCCAACGCCGGCGCUGGGCAUCGCGCGGGUAAGUCAUGAAUUCUUCUUUCUUUAUUUGUCUUGAAUUGUUGAUCAUGUCGCGGUGCGGGCGACACUGACGCCGAUUGUUGGUGUAGUGGCGUUGGGCGGGGAAGGCGGCGACGCAGGCGGAGCCGGGUCCUCGCAUGGGGUAGCGCCGAGCCGCCCGCAUGGGAAAGACAGCGUCCUGCCGCAACCCCGGGCCCGAAAGCGCGCGACGGACCCGGCCGAGCCUGGGAGGCCGGCCAAGCGAAGGCGCGGCGGGAGGCCGACCCCGGUCCCGGUCUUGAUGGGGUAAGCUUUAUCUUCUGUGUGCAUCCGGAUUGUUGAGCCGGAGUUGUCUUCUUUUUCUUUGGCUUAUUCUGCCUUCUUCUUCAGGUCGCCAAUCGCGCUGGCGAGGGCGGUGGCGGAAGCCGCGGCCGCCGAAGGGGCCGCGUUCCGCAAGAGCUGGUCCGACGUCGCUGACCAAGCCGAGGCGGAGGGACGGACCGACUCGGACCUCUACCUGGACCCGAACGACGCCAAAGCCUUGGCUUGGCGGGACAGGAAUCGGGACGAGGCGGAGCUGGAGGCGGCAUCGGUCUGGGCUUGGACCGACGCAGCGGCGGUGUGGGCGCGAGCCGUCACGGAGCCGGCCUGGCGCGAGAUGCCGGAGGGCACAGUGGUGGCGGCGACGGUCUUUGAGCCGUCGUUAGUGAGGGAGCGCGGCUGGGGAGGCCGGGCUGAGGUGGUGAUACUCGACCAGGAGGUCGUGGAGGUGUAGGGCGAUACCCCUCCGCGGGACGACGUGGUUGUGUGCGCGGGGGCUGAUGGUGGUGGAGACGGCGUCGUCUUGGAAGAGGCACCGCGAGCGGCGGUGUCGGAGGUGCCGCUGGUGCUGGAGGCGACACCGCGGAUGGCGGUGCCGAAGGCCACCACGGCAGCUGGACCGGUGGUGGCACAGCAGGACGUCCCAGCAUCCGGAACGAAGGCGGCGACGCAGGGCGUCCCGGUGUCCGGGUCCGCGAAGGAGGUGCUGGCCGCGUCGCGAGCGGCCAGCGGGGAGCACACCUUGGUGCUCUAGCAGGGUGGGCGUCGGGCUGCCGCGCCGCAGCCGGCGUGGAGCGGGGGCGCCACUGUAUUCGGCCCUCAGACCCAGGAGGAGGAGGCGCUGGAUGCCGUCAGCCGUCGUCUGCGCGGGCGGACGGAUCGGCUCGAGGCCUUUGCCGAGGCCGAGGUGGAGCGGACGCGCGACCUGGAGCGCCAUUCUGGUAAGCCUUCUUUUUUUUCUUGCAAUUUCUUCUUUGUGCGGGCGCGCCAGCGCACCCACUGGGUGUAGCCCCUGAGGUUCGGGCCAACUACGUUGCAGUUGGGUCGAAUCUUAAGAGCGUUGGCCUUGUUCUGACUUCUGUAUUUUUCAGCAUCUUGACGCCUUCCGGGUUGCCGCUUUCAACCGUCUCCUGGGCAAGCAUCGGGAGCUCAAGGAGCAACUUACUGGCAAGGAGGAGGAGCUUCGCGUCGCCGCAGGUACCCUUGUGCUCUUUUCUAGUGGGGGCGCGCUAGCGCACCCACUGGGUGCAGCCCCCGAGAUUCGGGCCAACUAUGUAACAGUUGGGCCAAAUCUUAAGUCUUGUCUUUUUUCUUCUGCUGAAUCCUUCUUCUUUGCAGCCGAGGUGCUGUCCUGGCGGACUCGUCUGCUCCAGGCCGGCCAUCACUAUGACCGGCUCGUUGCCGACACUGGCCGUCUUGGCGUCGAGGCGGCGCAGGCGAGGGCGGAGGCGGCCGCGGCCCGACGGUCUCUUGAUGAGGCCAACCGGCUGCAUGAGCAGCUGGUAGGUCACAAGAGCCGCCUCGAGGUGGAGCUUCUUAAGGCGGAGGCCGCCAAGGUGAUGGAGACGCAACAGGCCCUGGUCGAGGCGGACCAGCAGCGCGGCCAGCUGGUCGAUGACAAGGGCCGGCUCCAGGCCGAGGUGGAUCGCCUGCGGGAGCAGGCCACUGCGGCUGAGGGGGCCCAUCAGGACGAGCCCGCCACCGCGAGGGGGCCGAGAAGGCGGCCGCAGACAAGGACGCCGAGCUGAAGGCGGCCCUUGCUAAGGCGGCCAAUCUGGAGAAGGCGCUUGGGGAGCGCGACCGCGCCAUGGAGCGGGAGCGGCGUGGUACGUUGCUUGAGGCACAGCACCUGGAAGAGUCCUUCUCCAGUAAGUGACGUUUCUUGUAGUUUGCCGGGUCGGGACCCGGCCUUUCUUCCUUGUUGUUCUUCUUCUAACUUGCUUCUUCCUUUGUGACAGGGGCCUUCCCGAAGUCGCAACGGCUGGCGGAGGAAGCCGUCCGCUAUCAGCGCGACCCGACCGGUGUUGCCGGGUCUGGGACGGAUCCGCGGACGGCCUGGACCUUCCCGGAGAUCAUCGCCGCUGCUGAGGCCCGCCUGCGGGUCUUGGGUUCGCAGAUGGAGCGGCUGUCCCGGGCCGGCACCGCGAUGACAGAGGCCUUGUAGCCGGAUUCCGUCCAUCCACGUAGCUUCUCGCGCCUGGCGCGUUGGUUGGAGAUGGGUCCGGACUGGCUUGACGAGUGGCGUGUUUCCACCGGUGCUGAGAUGGUGCUCCGGUUCGUGCUGUCUUAGCAUCUGGAUGUUCAACUGGACGCGUUGAUGGGCCACAGCGCCGGCUCGGAGCAGUUGCUGUAGGAGCAAGCCGACCGGAUCGCCUCUCGAGCCAGCUACAUCGCCGAGUUCGCCUUCCAUGAUGAGUUCCAUCUGGAGCGGACGGCAGGGCCGUGGAUGGCGAUGACUACGACUUGCUUCUUCAGGAUUUGGAGGGGAGCUCGGAGGAAACGGGCGUCUACGGCGACGCGGAUGCCGAAGAGGACACUGGUGCCUCGCCGGACCCGGAGGCCGUCAGGGGAGAGCUGUCGACGUCACGACGCGGCGCUGGAGAUGCCUGAGACACAUCGUGUAAAAACUGUUAAGUAGCAGGUCCACCCACCCACUGGGGGUUUUAGGGUGUAAUGAACUCGGGCUGUGGGCCUUUGCUUAAAUAUUUGUGUGUAAAUGUCGUGAGUGCUUUUUUGCUCUUUGUCGUUCGCUUUUUUGAACCGAUUUCANNNNNNNNNNNNNNNNNNNNNNNNNNNNNNNNNNNNNNNNNNNNNNNNNNNNNNNNNNNNNNNNNNNNNNNNNNNNNNNNNNNNNNNNNNNNNNNNNNNNNNNNNNNNNNNNNNNNNNNNNNNNNNNNNNNNNNNNNNNNNNNNNNNNNNNNNNNNNNNNNNNNNNNNNNNNNNNNNNNNNNNNNNNNNNNNNNNNNNNNNNNNNNCGCGCAGGACUUGGGUCCUUAGAAGCAUUGAGCGCGAGCGAAACACCCACCGGGCCGGCAGGCGGCAAUCCGGCUUAGCGGGUUGGUGAGCAGCCAGUCGUGCGGCUACUUAUUUGAUGAGUGACGGGCCAGGUUGAUCGACCCAGCGGCCUUUGACUUAGUGUAUGAAUCAUAGAGGAGCUUUGGCCCGUUGUGCUUGUCCGCCGACAGCCAAAGCUGGAUCUGCGGUUUUAGGGCGAAGUGGGGGACCGCGGCGUCCCAACUUUAUCAGGAAUCACCAAGUAAGGUGGCGGGGUGGCGACUGAGCCGGCCUGCCCCCGAGCCCCCGGGUCGAGCGAGUCGAGCCGGUGGCCGGGUUCAGUGGUAAAGUGAUGCAGAAAAAUAGGGACGCAAAUAAAUUGGUCAACAAAAGGCAGCCCCCGAGUCUCGUUCGGGGACCCCAUAGUUUCAUGCGUUUACAAAAGGCGAAGAUACAUACACUCGUGCGGCUAACUGUAAAACGGGCGGAGGAGUUCCGCGUUCCAUGGCCGAGUGUUUCUUCACCGGCGGUGUCCUUGUUGCACUACUUUGACUUGCGUGCAUCGAUGUGGUAGUAGGCAUUGCGAUCGCGCAAGGCCCUGCUCACGAUGAAUGGGCCCUCCCAUGGAGAGGACAGCUUGUGCUGGCCUGCCUGCUCUUGGACGAGUCGGAGGACGAGGUUGCCCUCGCAGAAUGCGAGGGGCUUGAUCUUCUUGUUGUGCUAGUGCCUCAGGCCUUGCUGGUAGAUGGCCGAACGGCUGAGUGCCAGAAGGUGCGCUUCCUCGAGCAGGUCGACGCCGUCUUCGCGUGCCUCUUUGGCUUCGGCUUCGGUGUACAUCGUGACGCGCGGCGAGUCGAACUCGACGUCGGUCGGGAUGACGGCUUCGGCUCCAUAGACGAUGAAGAACGGGGUGAACCCGGUCGACCGGUUCGGCAUGAUGCAUAGACUCCAGAGAACUGCCGGCAACUCGUCAAGCCAGUUGCCAGGUGAGCGGAUGAGUGGCUCGACGAGUGGCGGCUUGAUGCCGGAUAGGAUGAGUCCGUUCGCCCGCUCCACCUUCCUGUUGGACUACAGAUGUGCCAUGGAGGCCAGGUCGAGGCGGAUGCCGGAGACGAAGCAGUAUUGCUCGAGCGCGCCCUUGGCGAAGUUGGUGCCGUUGUCGGUGAUGAUGCCGUUCGGCAUGCCGUAGCACACCUCUAUGUCCUUAAUGAACCGGACGGCUGUUGGCCCAUCCAGUUUCUUGAUUGGUCUUGCCUCGAUUCACUUGGUGAAUUUGUCCACUGCCACCAGCAGGUGCGUCAUGCCGCCUUGAGCGGUUUUGAAGGUUCCCACCAUGUCGAGUCCCCAGACCGCGAAGGGCCAGGCGAUCGGUAUGGUGUGGAAUGCUGACAUUGGUGGUGACUGCAUUUGCUGAAGCGCUGGCACCCCUCGCACUUGAGAACGAGUGACUCGGCGUCUUCGAGGGCCGUGGGCCAGUAGAAACCGUGGCGGAAUGCCUUGGCCACCAGGGAUCGCGAUGCGGCGUGGUGCCUGCACUCGCCCUAGUGAAUGUUGAGGAGGAUGUCGAUGCCCCGAUCCUGCUCGACGCAGCGCUGGAACACGCCGGUGGAGCUGCGCUUGACGAGCUCGUUGUUGAUGAUGUUGUAGGCGGACGCCCCAUGCUGCACUUGCCGAGCCUCGGUUUCGUCCGUGGGGAGAACCCCGUUCUUCAGAAAUUCUGAUAUCGGCAGGGCCCAAGAUGGGGCCGCUACCACGAUGAAGACGGCCACCUGGGUGGGUUCCGAGUAGGCGGCCCCUGGGCCGGGUUGAGCAGCCCCCGGAUUGGGCACGGCGACGGCCGGGUCUGGGGUGAUGGUGGCCGGAUUGAGCUGAGCAGCCCCUGGGCCGGGUUCAGCGGUCCCCGGGUCGGCUUGCGGUGCGGUCGGGUCCUCUGGGACGUGGAUGGACUCGGAGUCCGGCGAUGGCUUGACGGACGGCUUGCGCAGGUGCUCGAGGGAGACGCCGGACGGGAUGGCUUGGUGUGACGAGGCGAUCUUGGCGAGUGUGUCGGCUGCUUCCUUCUCCGCGCGCGGGACAUGGAGGAACUCGUAGCCCUCGAAGGAUCCGGAUAGCUUGUGGACGAGGAAGCGGUAGCUUGCCAUGUUGGAGUCGCGGGCGUCCCAUUUGCCGGAGCAUUGCUGCACCACCAGGUCCGAGUCGCCGUAGCACAGGAUGCGCCGGAUGCCGAGUUCCUUGGCAAGCCGGAGGCAGUGCACAAGGGCUUCAUAUUCGGCGACGUUGUUGGAGGCGGCGAAGUGGAUCUGGAGCACAUAGCGGAGCCAGUCGCCCUUCCGAGAUGACAGUACAAUGCUGGCCCCCAAGCCGAGUUGCAUCUUGGGCCCGUCGAAGUGCAUGUGCCAAUGCGUCGAGUUGGGAGGCGGCGGUAAGUACUGGGUCUCGGUCCAAUCGACGAGGAAGUCGGCCAGGGCUUGAGACUUGAUCGUGGUGUGGGGCUCGUAGAGAAUGGUGUGGCCGGCUAGCUGGAUCGCCCACUUGGCGACCCGGCCAGAGGCAUCCCGGCACCCGAUGAUUUCUUCGAGAGGCGUCGUGCUGAUGACGGUGACGACCUGCUCUUGAAAGUACUGCUUCAGCUUCUUGGCAGUGAGGUACACGCGGUAGCACAUCUUCUAGUAGUGCGGGUAGUUCUGCUUGGAGGUGGAGAGCACCUCGCUCAGGUAGUAGACCGGAUGCUGGACGGCCUGGAUCUUGCCCUCAUCCGGUCGCUCGACCACCACCACCGUGCUGACCGCCCGCGAGGUCGCGGCUAUGUUGAGCAACAGCGGCUCCUUGUCGGUCGGCGCAGCCAGGACUGGUGCGGUGGAGAGCAUUCGCUUGAAGUCUUGGAAGGCCUCGUCUGCCUUGCCGUUGCAUUCGAACGGGCUUGUCUUCUUCAUCAGCUGGUAAAGGGGUAGCGCCCUCUCGCCCAGCCGGCUCAGGAACUGGCUGACCGAGGCCAAGCACCCGGUGAACUUAUGGACGUCACGCAGCCGAGCCGGCUUGCGCAUGCACUCAAUGGCCUUGAUCUUUUCCGGGUUCACCUCGAUGCCGCGUUCCGAGACGAGGAAGCCGAGUAGCUUUCCGGCCAGGAUGCCGAAGACGCAUUUAUCCGGGUUAAGCUUGACCUUGUAUUCGCGGAGGUUGGCGAAUGUUUCCUUCAAAUCGGCAAGGAGCGUGAGGUGCUGCUUGGUCUUCACCAUGAUAUCGUCCACGUACACGUGGAUAUUGCCACCAAGUUGCGGCAGCAGGCAUUUCUGCAUGCAGCGUUGGAAGGUGGCGCCGGCGUUCUUCAAGCCAAACGACAUGGUGAUGUAGCAAUAUGCCCCAAAGGGCGUGAUGAAGGACGUCUUCAGGGCAUCGGCCGGGUCCAGGUUGAUCUGGUGAUAGCCGGAGUAAGCAUCCAGGAAGGACAGGAGCUCGCACCCGGCGGUCGAGUCGAUGACUUGGUCGAUCCGCGGGAGGGCGAACGGGUCCUUGGGAUAGGCCUUGUUGAGGCUGGUGUAGUCGAUACACAUGCGCCAGGUCUUGUUCUUCUUCAGGACGAGGACUGGAUUGGCCAGCCACUCGGGGUGAAACACUUCCAUUAUGAAGCCGUCCGCCAAAAGCUUGGCGACCUCCUCACCAAUGGUUCUUCUCUUCUCUUCGGAAAAUCAUCGGAGGGGUUGACGGACAGGCCUGGCGUCCUUGCGGACGUGAAGUUUGUGCUCGGCAUACUUCCUCGGGAUACCGGGCAUGUCCUUGGGGGUCCAUGCGAAGAUAUCCCGAUUCUCACGGAGGAAGUCGACGAGCUCUCCUUCCUGUUUGAUGUCGAGGCAGGCUCCUACCAGUGGCGGUGCCAGGAUCGAAACCUUGUGUUGUCAAGCUUUAUACAAAUGAAACAUUUUGUAGGUAAAUUAAACAAGAACACAAAAAGACCAUACUUCAUUUGAUACAUAUUUGUUGUACCAGCUUUUUUUAUCAUAUAUAUUUCAUCUUAAACAUGUCUUUUGAUAUAAAGAUCUUAAACAUUUUUAUGGUAACAACGCUUUGACAAAUGUAUCCAAUUACCAUUACCAAACUUAAGACCUAACAAAUGACAAAACAAGGUUUUGCUAAAAGAAACAAUAUCUGAAUUUCAUGUGAGAAUAUAAAAUUUCAAGAGAAAGAAGACAGAAACUUACAAACAGAAAAGGAAGGGCCUCGUCCUAUACACUCGCCGAUUCGCUGAAGGUGCAGUACUAUGGAGAUCGGAGACUGCUAGAGCAGCGGAGGAGGCCGUGCUCAUUGUGGUGAUUCCAGGCAACGGCGACCUCAGCGGUCGGUGAGCAGCAUGUGUAUCCAUGCAUGAUGUGCUUCACUGCUCCUCCCCACGGCGUAGUGCAUGAUUGGCCAUUAGAGAUUAUACACAGGAAGGUGAAAAAGGAGAGAGUUCGAAGGAAUAUCACGGGAUUUCAGGAGACGGUCACGAAGUUGUUUUGGAGGACGACUAGGAAAGUUAAUAAUGACGUAGGGAGCUUCCUUUUUCUAUAUGGGCCAGCCAAAUCUCACAAAAAACUGAUACCAACUGGGCAUGUUUUAGUUAGAGGACCUCUUUUAGUUAAUUUCCAGAACCUGUUUAUUUGGAAGUGGGGUACGAUGUCACGGACUCACGGUAGUGUUUGAGUACCAAAUUCCUGUGUAGUCGCUUGACAACAUAGUCAUAGUGUGGAUUCGCCACUGGCGCCUAUGACAACGUACUUGCUGCAGCUGGGGUCUUCCGGGUUGAGCUUCACUCUCUUGGUCUCCUUGGAGGGCUUGAAGGCUGCCUCAUCGACCGGGUCCAGGGUCGGGAUCGACGCAGCGGAGGCCUCACCGGCCAGGGCGACGAUCCAGUCGAGUUGCCGCCGCUCCUCGGCAAUGACCAGUGACUCAGCCAACUUGGCGUUGUCUCGGGCGCACUCCAAGGACUUGCGGUAAUCGCCGGUGAUGGUGAUGAGACCCUUGGGACCCGGCAUCUUCAUCUUCAGAUAUGCGUAGUGGGGAACAGCCAUGAACUUGGCGAGCGCGGGCCGGCCCAGCAACACGUGAUACGUGCUGGACAGGUCCACCAACUCGAACCAGACCGGUUCGCGUCGGAAGUGGCUGUUGUCGCCGAACAGGACAUUGAGCUGGACCCGGCCAAUGGGCGAGCAGGAGAGGCCGGGUAUGAUGUCGUGGAAGAUUGCCCGGGUCGGUUCCAGGUCCUCGGCCUUGAGGCCGAGCUUGGUCAUCGUGUCGCGGUAGAGGAUGUUGAUGCUGCUGCCGCCGUCGAUGAGGACUCGGGAGAACUUGCAUGUACGCUGUGCGACGAUGGUGGGGUUGAGGACGAGGGCGUAGCCACCCGGGCUUGGCAUGACUACCGGGUGAUCCUCCCGGGUCUAGGUGAUCGGGUGAUCCGACCAAUGCAUAAACUCCGGCUUGGCUGGGACGACGGUGUUCACCUCCUGCCGAAGGAGGCGCUCGCUGCGCUUGUCGUUGCCGAGGCUGGUGAAGACGACAUAGGCCGCGUUCUGGUCCGGGUAGGUGUCUUCCGCAUCGCGCCGCCAGCGGGAGGCGGCGGUAGAGGCGGAGGCAGCUGUCCCACGCCUGGAGCCGGAGGCGGAGGAGGCGGGACGUCGCCCCUCAUGAUGCGCUUGGUGAUGGCGCACUACCGAAGCGUGUGCGUGGAGGGUCUUGUGCGCUGUGGUGCUUGCAGGGGGCGUCGAGCAUCUCUUUGAAACUCAUGGCGGGUUGCCAUGCCAUCUUGCCGGUUUGCCAGCGCUUCACCGCCGGGUCUGUCGCGGGCUCGGCCGCCGCGACGAGCAGGUUAUCGUGACGCUGCGCCGGCUGGUCGGCCUUGCGCUUGUUGUUCUGGUGAUGCUGCUGCCGGCUGCUUUCACCGGCCAGCUUCGGAGGGGGAACCGGCUUCGCCUUGCCGGCUUCAUCUAGCGCCACCUGGAUCUUCAUGGCGGAGUCUGAUGACCCACAAGUGUAGGGGAUCUAUCGUAGUCCUUUCGAUAAGUAAGAGCGUCGAGCCCAACGAGGAGCAGAAGGAAAUGAUAAGCGGUUUUUAGUAAGGUUUUCUGCAAGCACUGCAAUUGUAGGUGAUAGAUAGUUUUGUGAUAAGAUAAAUAGUAACGAGUAACAAGUAAACAAAGUAAAUAAAGUGUAGCAAGGUGGCCCAAUCCUUUAUGUGGCAAAGGAUAAGCCUGGACAAUUUCUAAUAAUGAGAAAGGAGCUCCCGAGGACACAUGGGAAUUAUCGUCAAGCUAGUUUUCAUCAAGCUCAUAUGAUUCGCGUUCGGUACUUUGAUAAUUUGAUAUGUGGGUGGACCGGUGCUUGGGUACUGCCCUUACUUGGACAAGCAUCCCACUUAUGAUUAACCCCUAUUGCAAGCAUCCGCAAGUACAACAAAAGUAUUAAGGUAAACCUAACCAUAGCAUGAAACAUAUGGAUCCAAAUCAGCUCCUAACGAAGCAACACAUAAACUAGGGUUUAAGCUUCUGUCACUCUAGCAAGCCAUCAUCUACUUAUUACUUCCCUAUGCCCUCCUCUGGGCCCAAUAAUGGUGAAGUGUCAUGUACUCGACGUUCACAUGACACCACUAGAGGAGAAGAGAACAUACAUCUCAUCAAAAUAUCGAUCGAAUACCAAAUUCACAUGACUACUAAUAGCAAGACUUCACCCAUGUCCUCAGGAACAAACGUAACUACUCACAAAGCAUAUUCAUGUUCAUGAUCAGAGGUGUAAUAAUAUGCAUUAAGGAUCUGAACAUAUGAUCUUUCACCAAGUAAACCAAUAAGUAUCAACUACAAGGAGUAAUCAACACUGCUAGCAACCCACAGGUACCAAUUUGUGGUUUUGGAUACAAGAUUGGAUACAAGAGAUGAACUAGGGUUUGAGAGGAGAUGGUGCUGGUGAAGAUGUUGAUGGAGAUUGACCCCCUCCCGAUGAGAGGAUCGUUGGUGAUGACGUUGGUGAUGAUUUCCCCCUCCCAGAGGGAAGUGUCCCCGGCAAAACAGCUCUGCGAGAGACCUAGAUUGGUUCGGCCAAGGUUCCGCCUCGUGGCGGCGGAGUUUCGUCCCGUAAGCUUGCCCACGAUUUUUUCCAGGGUAAAACGAUGAUAUAGCAGAAGAUGGACACCGGAGGUCCACCAGGGGGCCCAGGAGAUAGGGGGUGCGCCCUAUAGGGGGGGGCACCCUAUAGGGGGGCGCCCCCCUGUCUCCUGGACAGGGUGUGGGCCCCCUGGUGUAUUUCUUUCGCUCAGAAAUUCUUAUUAAUUCCAAAAGUUGUUUCGUGGAGUUUCAGGACUCUUGGAGUUGUGCAGAAUAGGUUUCCAAUGUUUGCUCCUUUUCAAGCCAGAAUUCCAGCUGCCGGCAUUUCCCCUCUUCAUGGUAAACCUUGUAAAAUAAGAGAGAAUAGCCAUAAGUACUGAGAUAUAUUGUGUAAUAACAGCCCAUAAUGCAAUAAAUAUUGAUAUAAAAGCAUGAUGCAAAAUGGACGUAUCAGAGUCGGCGUUGGCGUACUUGUCCGCCGUCACCAUGAGCGCGGCCAUGGUGGCCGGCUUGGAGCGUAGGAGCUUGUGUUUGAGGAGGGUUCCGUCUCGGCACCUGCUGAUGAAGUACUGUAUCGCCUGGACUUCAUGGACGCCCUCGCAGCUGUUCCGGAGCUCGGUCCAGCGUGUGAGGUACUCACGGCCGGUCUCCUCGGCCCCUCCACGCACAUGGCGAGCUGGCUGGGGUGACCGGGUCACUUGUAGGCCCCCGUGAAGUUUUGGACAAAGGCUUCCACGAAGUCGACCCACGCGUUGAUGCUGCCCAUCGGCAGGCUGUUCAACCAUGUGCGGGCCGACCCCUGGACCAUGAGCGGUGCGUAGCGCACGGCGAGACAAUGAUUGGCACCGGUGACGCCAAUGGCCGUGGUGUAGUCGGUGAGCCAAUCUUCCGGCUUCACCGUCCCGUUGUACUUGGGGGCGUCGCGGGGGAGCACGAACCCUUUGGGAAUGGGCUCCUCCCGGAUGCGUGGUCCGAAGCACGCCGGCCCGAUAGCGCCGCUCUCCCCCACAUCCAGGGAGCGAGCGAGCUGAUCGAGGCGGUGGCACGCGUCGGCGUCAUUGAUGGCGCGCGGGCCGAGUCGACUGGCGGCGAAGCCCCGAGGGGCCGGGCCGGUUGGAGCCGGACGUCGGCCAUGCUGGCCGGGUCCGCUCUGGGUCUCUGAGGCGGGCUCAUUGCCCGGGACGUCGGCGGCCAUGGUGGCCGGGUUGCGCCAAGUCCGGGUUCGGCCGGAGUGCACCUCACCGGGCGGCGAGGAAGCCAUGUACAGGAGUUCGCCGGGUCCGCCAAGGCGGGCGGAACCGGACCACGCCGGCUUGGCAAGCUGGUUGAGGCGAUCCUGCUGGGUGUUGGCGGCGUGGAGGAGCUCGCACAUCCGCCUGCGAGUUGGUCGAGGCUGACCGCGGCUGCCUCCGCAGCGCGCAUGUUCUUCACUGGGGUCUCGUAGACGGCCUGGAUGGCGCCGAAGGCCCGACCGAUCGCUCCUUCCCAGGUGCGAGCAUCGGCGAACCGGCUUGGCUCGGCCGCGGCGGGUGUGAAUCCGUGGGCGGCGUCAUGCUCCAACUGAGCGGCCUCCAAGCGACGCCUUGUGGCGGCCAGCGUCUCGGACAGGUCCAGCAUAUGAUUGCGUCUAUCCUCGAGCUGGGUUCGGGCUUCGGCGACAUUGGUGGGGUCGAUGUUGGUGCCGAUGGGGAUGCGGAGGCUUUGCAUCGCGGCGCUGUUGGAAAUAUGCCCUAGAGGCAAUAAUAAAAAGUUAUUAUUAUAUUUCUUUGUUCAUGAUAAUAGUCUUUUAUUCAUGCUAUAACUGUAUUAUCCGGAAAUCGUAAUACACGUGUGAAUACAUAGACCACAAUAUGUCCCUAGUGAGCCUCUAAUUGACUAGCUCGUUGUGAUCAAUAGAUAGUCAUGGUUUCCUGGCUAUGGACAUUGGAUGUCGUUGAUAACGAGAUCACAUCAUUAGGAGAAUGAUGUGAUGGACAAGACCCAAUCCUAAGCAUAGCACUAAGAUCGUGUAGUUCGUUUGCUAGAACUUUGCCAAUGUCAAGUAUCUCUUCCUUAGACCAUGAGAUCGUGUAACUCCCGGAUACCGUAGGAAUGCUUUGGGUGUAUCAAACAUCACAACGUAACUGGGUGAUUAUAAAGGUGCACUACAGGUAUCUCCGAAUGUGUCUGUUGGGUUGGCACGAAUCGAGACUGGGAUUUGUCACUCCGUGUAAACGGAGAGGUAUCUCUGGGCCCACUCGGUAGGACAUCAUCAUAAUGUGCACAAUGUGAUCAAGGAGUUGAUCACGGGAUGAUGUGUUACGGAACGAGUAAAGAGACUUGCCGGUAACGAGAUUGAACAAGGUAUCGGUAUACCGACGAUCGAAUCUCGGGCAAGUAAAAUACCGCUAGACAAAGGGAAUUGCAUACGGGAUUGAUCAAGUCCUUGACAUCGUGGUUCAUCCGAUGAGAUCAUCGUGCAACAUGUGGGAGCCAACAUGGGUAUCCAGAUCCCGCUGUUGGUUAUUGACCGGAGAACGUCUCGGUCAUGUUUGCAUGUCUCCCGAACACGUAGGGUCUACACACUUAAGGUUCGAUGACGCUAGGGUUAUAAAGGAAGUUUGUAUGUGGUUACUAAAUGUUGUUCGGAGUCCCGGAUGAGAUCCCGGACGUCACGAGGAGUUCCGGAAUGGUCCGGAGGUAAAGAUUUAUAUAUGGAAAGUUGUUGUUCGGGUUCCGGAAAAAGUUCGGGUUUUUUCGGUAUUGUACCGGGAAGCUUCCAGAAGGUGCCGGAGGAUUCCGGAGGGGUCCGGAGGUCCGGAAAUUGUUCCACCACGUCCAAUACAGUAGCAUGGGCUGUAAGGGGGCGCCCUAGCCUUUAUGGGCCAAGGGAACCACCCCCCCAAGGCCCAUGCGCAUGGGAAAGGGGAAACCCUAAAGGGGGAGGCCUCCACUUGACUUGGGAGGCACUCCUCCCCCCUUGGCCGCACCCCUUGGGGUGGGAAACCCUAAAGGGGGCGCAGCCCCCCCUUCCCCCUAUAUAUAGUUGAGGUUUGGGGCUGCUAAACACACGAGAACCUCUCCCUCUUGGUGCAACCCUACCUCUCUCCCUACUCCUCCUCUCUCGUGGUGCUUGGCGAAGCCCUGCUGGAUUGCCACGCUCCUCCACCAGCACCACGCCGUUGUGCUGCUGCUGGACGGAGUCUUCCUCAACCUCUUCCUCUCUCCUUGCUGGAUCAAGGCAUGGGAGACAUCACCGGGCUGUACGUGUGUUGAACGCGGAGGUGCCGUCCGUUCGGCACUUGGUCAUCGGUGAUUUGGAUCACGACGAGUACGACUCCAUCAACCCCGUUCACUUGAACGCUUCCGCUUAGCGAUCUACAAGGGUAUAUAGAUGCACUCUCCUUCCCCUCGUUGCUGGUUUCUCCAUAGAUAGAUCUUGGUGACCCGUAGGAAAAUUUUGAAUUUCUGCUACGUUCCCCAACAGUGGUAUCAGAGCUAGGUCUAUUGCGUAGAUUCUUUGCACGAGUAGAACACAAAGUAGUUGUGGGCGUUGAUUUUGUUCAAUAUGCUUACCGUUACUAGUCCAAUCUUGUUUCGACGGUAUUGUGGGAUGAAGCGGCCCGGACCGACCUUACACGUACUCUUACGUGAGACAGGUUCCACCGAUUGACAUGCACUUGGUGCAUAAUGUGGCUAGCGGGUGCCAGUCUCUCCCACUUUAGUCGGAACGGAUUCGAUGAAAAGGGUCCUUAUGAAGGGUAAAUAGCAAUUGGCAUAUCACGUUGUGGUUUUGCGUAGGUAAGAAACGUUCUUGCUAGAAACCCAUAGCAGCCACGUAAAACAUGCAAACAACAAUUAGAGGACGUCUAACUUGUUUUUGCAGGGUAUGCUAUGUGAUGUGAUAUGGCCAAGAAGAAUGUGAUGAAUGAUAUGUGAUGUAUGAGAUUGAUCAUGUUCUUGUAAUAGGAAUCACGACUUGCAUGUCGAUGAGUAUGACAACCGGCAGGAGCCAUAGGAGUUGUCUUAAUUUAUUGUAUGACCUGCGUGUCAUUGAACAACGCCAUGUAAUUACUUUACUUUAUUGCUAACCGGUAGCCAAAGUAGUAGAAGUAAUAAGUUGGCGAGACGACUUCAUGGAGACACGAUGAUGGAGAUCAUGGUGUCAUGCCGGUGACGAUGAUGAUCAUGGAGCCCCGAAGAUGGAGAUCAAAAGGAGCAAAAUGAUAUUGGCCAUAUCAUGUCACUAUUUGAUUGCAUGUCAUGUUUAUCAUGUUUAUGCAUCUUGUUUACUUAGAACGAUGGUAGUAAAUAAGAUGAUCCCUUACAACAAUUUCAAGAAGUGUUCUCCCCUAACUGUGCACCGUUGCUACAGUUCGUCGCUUCUAAGCACCACGUGAUGAUCGGGUGUGAUGGAUUCUUACGUUCACAUACAACGGGUGUAAGACAGUUUUACACAGCGAAAACACUUAGGGUUAACUUGACGAGCCUAGCAUGUACAGACAUGGCCUCGGAACACGGAGACCGAAAGGUCGAGCAUGAGUCGUAUAGUAGAUACGAUCAACAUGAAGAUGUUCACCGAUGAUGACUAGUCCGUCUCACGUGAUGAUCGGACACGGCCUAGUUGACUCGGAUCAUGUAAUCACUUAGAUGACCAGAGGGAUGUCUAUCUGAGUGGGAGUUCAUAAGAUGAACUUAAUUAUCUUGAACAUGGUCAAAAGACCUUUUGCAAAUUAUGUCGUAAGCUCGCGCUUUAGUUCCACUGUUUAGAUAUGUUCCUAGAGAAAAUAUAGUUGAAAGUUGAUAGUAGCGAUUAUGCGAUCAGUAGAAAGCUUAUGUCCUUAAUGCACCGCUCAGUGUGCUGAACCCCAAACGUCGUUUGUGGAUGCUGCGAACAUCGGACAUACACGUUUUGAUAACUACGUGAUAGUUCAGUUAAAUGGUUUAAGUAAAGGCACCAAAGACGUUUUCGAAAUGUCGCGGAACAUAUGAGAUGUUUCGAGGGCUGAAAUUGGGAUUUCAGGCUCGUGCCCACGUCAAGAGGUAUAAGACCUCCGACGAUUUUUCUUAGCCUGCAAACUAAGGAAGAAAAGCUCAAUCGUUGAGCUUGUGCUCAGAUUGUCUGAGUGCAACAAUCACUUGAUAGUGAUGUUUCUCCAAAGUCAUCGCCACCAAGCUGCGAGAGCUUCGUGAUGAACUAUAACAUAUCAGGGAUAGAUAUGAUGAUCCUUGAAAUAUUCGCGAUGUUUGACACUGCGAAAGUAGAAAUCAAGAAGGAGCAUCAAUUGUUGAUGGUUGGUGAAACCACUAGUUUCAAGAAGGGCAAUGGAACAAAGGGAUACUUCACGAAACGGCAAUUCAGCUGCUGCUCUAGUGAAGAAACCCAAGGUUGAACCCAAACCCGAGACUAAGUGCUUCUGUAAUAAAGGGAACAGCCACUGGAGCAGAAUUACCCUAGAUACUUGGUAGAUGAGAAGGCUGGCAAGGUCGAUAGAAGUAUAUUGGAUAUACAUUAUGUUAAUGUGUACUUUACUAGUACUCCUAGUAGCACUAGGGUAUUAGAUACUGGUUCGGUUGCUAAGUGUUAGUAACUCAAAAUAAAAGAGCUACGGAAUAAACGGAGACUAGCUAAAGGUGAGCUGACGAUAUGUGUUGAAAGUGUUUCCAAGUUUGAUGUGAUCAAACAUCGCACGCUCCCUCUACCAUCAAGAUUAGUAUUAAACCUGAAUAAUUGUCAUUUGGUAUUUGCGUUGAACAUAGACAUAAUUGGAUUAUGUCUAUCGCAAUACGGUUAUUCAUUUAAAGAGAAUAAAGGUUACUCUAUUUAUUUGAAUAAUACCUUCAAUGGUCUUGCACCUAAAGGAAUGGUUUAUUGAAUCUCGAUCGUAGCGAUACACAUUUUCAUGCCAAAAGAUAUAAGAUAGUAAUGAUAGUACCACUUACUUGUGGCACUGCCAUGUAAGUCAUAAUGGUAUAAAACGCAUGAAGAAACUCCAUGUUGAUGGAUCUUUGGACUCACUCGUUUUUGAAAAGUUUGAGACAUGCGAACCAUGUCUAUUGGUGUAUACGCAUGAAGAAACUCCAUGCAGAUGGAUCGUUUGGACUCACUUGAUUUUGGAUCACUUGAGAUAUGCAAAUUGUACCACAUGGGCAAGAUGACUGAAAGCCUUGUUUUUAGUAAAAUGGAACAAGAAAGCAACUUGUUGGAAGUAAAACAUUUUGAUGUGUGCAGUCCAAUGAGUGCUGAGGCAUGCAGUGAAUAUCGUUAUGUUCUUACUUCACAGAUGAUUCGAGUAGAUGUUGAGAAUAUUUUCUUGAUGAAACACAAGUCUGAAUUAUUGAAUGGUUCAAGUAAUUUCAGAGUGAAGUAGAAGAUCAUUGUGACAAGACGAUAAAAUGUCUAUGAUAUGAUCAUAGAGAUGAAUAUCUGAGUUACGAGUUUUGGCACGCAAUUAAGACAUUGUGGAAAUUGUUUUACAAUUAAUACCGCCUGGAACACCAUAGUGUGAUGGUGUGUCCGAACAUCAUAGUUGCACCCUAUUGGAUAUGGUGCGUACCAUGAUGUCUCUUAUCAAAUUACCACUAUUGUUCAUGGGUUAGGCAUUAGAGACAACCACAUCCACUUUAAAUAGGGCACCACAUAAUUCCGUUGAGAUGACGCCGUAUGAAUUAUGGUUUAGAGAAACCUAAGUUGUCGUUUCUUAAAGGUUUGGGGCUGCGAUGCUUAUGUGAAAAAGUUUCAGGAUUGAUAAGCUCGAACCCAAAGCGGAUAAAAUGCAUCUUCAUAGGACACCCAAAACAGUUGGGUAUACCUCCUAAUUCAGAUCCGAAAGCAAUAUGGAUUGUUUCUUGAAUCGGGUCCUUUCUCGAGGAAAGGUUUCUCUCGAAAGAGUUGAGUGGGAGGAUGGUGGAGACUUGAUAUGGUUACUGAACCAUCACUUCAACCAGUGUGUAUCAGGGCACAGGAAGUUGUUCAUGUGGCACCUACACCAAUUGAAGUAGAAGCUUAUGACAGUGAUCAUGAAGUUUCGGAUCAAGUCACUGCAGUACCUCGUAGGGUGACAAGGAUACGUACUACUUCAGAGUGGUAUGGUAAUCCUGUCCUGAAGGUCUUGUUGCUAGACAACAAUGAACCUACGAGCUAUGGAGAAGCGAUAGUGGGCCCAUAUUCCGACAAAUGGUUAGAAGCCAUGAAAUCCGAGAUAGGAUCCAUGUAUCAGAACAAAGCAUGGACUUUGGUGGACUUGCCCGAUGAUCGGCAAGCCAUUAAGAUAAAUGGAUCUUUAAGAAGAAGACGUACGUGGACGGUAAUGUCACCGUCUAUGAAGCUCGACUUGCGGCGAAGAGUUUUUCACAAGUUCAAGGAGUUGACUACGAUGAGAUUUUCUCAUCUGUAGCGAUGCUUAAGUCCGUUGGAAUCAUGUUAGCAUUAGGUGCAUUUAUGAAAUCUGGCAGAUGGAUGUCAAGACGAGUUUCCUUACCAGUUUUCGUAAGGAAAGGUUGUAUGUGAUACAAUCAGAAAGUUUUGUCGAUCCUAAGGAUGCUAAAAGGUAUGCUGGCUCCAGCGAUCCUUCCAAGGACUGGAGUAAGCAUCUCGGAGUUGGAAUGUACGCUUUGAUGAGAUGAUCAAAGAUUUUGGGUUUAUAUAAAGUUUAUGAGAAACUUGUAUUUCCAAAGAAGUGAGUGGGAGCACUAUAGAAUUUCUGAUGAGUAUAUGUUGUUGACAUAUUGUUGAUCAGAAAUGAUGUAGAAUUUCUAGAAAGCAUAUAGGGUUAUUUGAAAGGUGUUUUUCAAUAGAAAACCUGGAUUAAGAUACUUAAACAUUGAGCAUCAAGACCUAUGAGGAUAGAUCAAAAUGCUUAAUAAUACUUUCAAAUGAGCACAUACCUUGACAUGAUCUUGAAGGUGUUCAAGAUGGAUCAGUCAAAGAAGGAGUUCUUGCCUGAGUUGUAAGGUAUGAAGUUAAGACUUAAAGCUCAACCUCGGCAGAAAAGAGAGAAAGGACGAAGGUCGUCCCCUAUGCUUUAGACGUAGGCUCUAUAGUAUGCUAUGCUGUGUACCGCACCUGAAGUGUGCCUUGCCAUGAGUCAGUCAAGGGGUACAAGAGUGAUCCAAGAAUAGAUCACAGUACAGCGGUCAAAGUUAUCCUUAGUAACUAGUGGACUAAGGAAUUUUCUCGGUUAUGGAGGUGAUAAAGAGUUCGACGUAAAGAGUUACGAUGAUGCAAGCUUAACACCUAUCCGGAUAGCUCUGAAUAGAGAUACCGGAUACGUAUAAUGGAGAAACAAUUUAGAAUAGCUCCAAGUAGAACAGUUAUUUGGAAUAGCUCCAAAUAGAGCGUGGUAGCUGCAUCUAGGAGAUGACAUAGAGAUUUGUAAAGCACACACGGAUCUGAAAGGUUCAGACCCGUUGACUAAAACCUCUCUCACAAGCAACAUGAUCAAACCCAAAACUCUUUGGAUGUUGGUCACAUGGUGAUGUGACCUGUCAGUGUUAAUCACAUGGUGAUGUGAACUAGAUUAUUGACUCUAGUGCAAGUGGGAGACUGUUGGAAAUAUGCCCUAGAGGCAAUAAUAAAUAAGUUAUUAUUAUAUUUCUUUGUUCAUGAUAAUAGUCUUUUAUUCAUGCUAUAACUGUAUUAUCCGGAAAUCGUAAUACACGUGUGAAUACAUAGACCACAAUAUGUCCCUAGUGAGCCUCUAGUUGACUAGCUCGUUGUGAUCAACAGAUAGUCAUGGUUUCCUGGCUAUGGACAUUGGAUGUCGUUGAUAACGGGAUCACAUCAUUACGAGAAUGAUGUGAUGGACAAGACCCAAUCCUAAGCAUAGCACUAAGAUCGUGUAGUUCGUUUGCUAGAGCUUUGCCAAUGUCAAGUAUCUCUUCCUUAGACCAUGAGAUCGUAUAACUCCCGGAUACCGUAGGAAUGCUUUGGGUGUAUCAAACAUCACAACGUAACUGGGUGAUUAUAAAGGUGCACUACAGGUAUCUCCGAAAGUGUCUGUUGGGUUGGCACGAAUCGAGACUGGGAUUUGUCACUCCGUGUAAACGGAGAGGUAUCUCUGGGCCCACUCGGUAGGACAUCAUCAUAAUGUGCACAAUGUGAUCAAGGAGUUGAUCAUGGGAUGAUGUGUUACGGAACGAGUAAAGAGACUUGCCGGUAACGAGAUUGAACAAGGUAUCGGUAUACCGACGAUCGAAUCUCGGGCAAGUAAAAUACCGCUAGACAAAGGGAAUUGCAUACGGGAUUGAUCAAGUCCUUGACAUCGUGGUUCAUCUGAUGAGAUCAUCGUGGAACAUGUGGGAGCCAACAUGGGUAUCCAGAUCCCGCUGUUGGUUAUUGACCGGAGAACGUCUCGGUCAUGUCUGCAUGUCUCCCGAACCCGUAGGGUCUACACACUUAAGGUUCGAUGACGCUAGGGUUAUAAAGGAAGUUUGUAUGUGGUUACCGAAUGUUGUUCGGAGUCCCGGAUGAGAUCCCGGACGUCACGAGGAGUUCCGGAAUGGUCCGGAGGUAAAGAUUUAUAUAUGGAAAGUUGUUGUUCGGGUUCCGGAAAAAGUUCGGGUUUUUUCGGUAUUGUACCGGGAAGUUUCCAGAAGGUUCCGGAGGAUUCCGGAGGGGUCCGGAGGUCUGGAAAUUGUUCCACCACGUCCAAUACAGUAGCAUGGGCUGUAAGGGGGCGCCCUAGCCUUUAUGGGCCAAGGGAACCAGCCCCCCAAGGCCCAUGCGCAUGGGAAAGGGGAAACCCUAAAGGGGAAGGCCUCCACUUGACUUGGGAGGCAAUCCUCCCCCCUUGGCCGCACCCCUUGGGGUGGGAAACCCUAAAGGGGGCGCAGCCCCCCCUUCCCCCUAUAUAUAGUUGAGGUUUGGGGCUGCUAAACACACGAGAACCUCUCCCUCUUGGUGCAGCCCUACCUCUCUCCCUACUCCUCCUCUCUCGUGGUGCUUGGCGAAGCCCUGCUGGAUUGCCACGCUCCUCCACCACCACCACGCCGUUGUGCUGCUGCUGGAUGGAGUCUUCCUCAACCUCUCCCUCUCUCCUUGCUGGAUCAAGGCAUGGGAGAUGUCACCGGGCUGUACGUGUGUUGAACGCGGAGGUGCCGUCCGUUCGGCACUUGGUCAUCGGUGAUUUGGAUCACGACGAGUACGACUCCAUCAACCCCGUUCACUUGAAUGCUUCCGCUUAGCGAUCUACAAGGGUAUGUAGAUGCACUCUCCUUCCCCUCGUUGCUGGUUUCUCCAUAGAUAGAUCUUGGUGACACGUAGGAAAAUUUUGAAUUUCUGCUACGUUCCCCAACAGGCGCGCAGCGGGUCGGACGGCACGGUCCGUGCCGCAGCGGCCCCGGCUUCUGCGACCCUCCUCGCCUUGCUCGACGAGGAAGAGGCGCGAUCGCCGGUGACGAAAACCUCCACAUGGACGUCCAUCGCCCCGGCGGCGAUACCGCUGCCGAGGGAGAGUGGAGAGUCAGAGUGUUGAGCAUCUCCCUGGGGUACUCGUCGACCGCGAACGCAUCAGGGAUGCGUAGCGCGGUGAAGGAGGCGGCGAGCGCGCCUAUGACGUCGUCCGCCAGAGCGACGGACUCGUCGGAGUAGGAGAAGGGCCCCGUCUGAAGCAUGCUCGCGGCCAGCUCCUCGAGCUACCCCAUGGUGAGCGCCAACUGUCGUGGUGGGCGCACGGCAGAUGCCAAGGGAUGGCUAAAGAGAGGAGGAGGCUCGAGGGCGCUGGUGGGCUCCAGAGGCGAGGUUGGCAUGCGCGGGCGCGGGACGCCGGACAUACCCAGGUUAGGGGCUCUCCGGAGACAUAACACCCCUAGUCCUGCCGAGUUUAGUUGGAUAGUCGAUUGCAACAAUGUUGCUCCUGGAGCUGCAUGGAGGAGGAAGGAAGCUGGCCAAGGCUUGGGCCGCUCCUUCUCUCCGGCGCUGCCAUUGGGUGGCUAGUCCGAUGCUUGCUUGUGUUUCUCUUGUGUCUCGUACAUAUGACUCUCUCUGUAGGCGCGGGUUCCUGGGGGAUUUUAUAGAUCAACCCACCCAGGGUUACAAUGGUAAUACGCCGAGUCGGUGGGUCCCUAUUGUCGGUGUCUGGGAUACCGGGCUGGGUCCCCACUUGAGGGCUUGUGGUUCGCCGGGUUACCCUAGGUGCGGGCCCCGCGUGCCUAGGGGAACUGUUCGCCGUCUUGUCGAUCGUCAGGGCGUGGCCGAGUCGAGUCGUGUACAGUGCUCUCCAUCAGGUUGCAGCUUGUUGCCGUCAUCGGUGAGGGCAGGAGCACUGUUCCCACGCCAGCCUCGGUCAGCGGGUAGGUCAAGGGCAUUGUUGCCAUGCUCCGGCUGACCAUAGGCAUGGGCGGAAGCACUGUAGUCUUGGUCAUCGGUGAUUAAAGUCUCAUCCCAUCGUACGGCCUGGAUGGGAUGGGAGCUGCGUGGCUGGGUUGCCGUGCACGCCACGGGUGAGGUCGGCUUGUUGGGGAAGCCUUGGUGGCGCCGGGUUGGGUUGUCUUGUGCCAGUUGCUGUGGCCGGGUCGACGUACCUUGCCGAGUCGAAGAGCUUGGCCGGGUUGCAGGCCUUGCCGGGUCGAGCGACCCGGCCAGGCGCGUGCCGGUUCGUGGGGCGAUGUGGGCCCUGCCAUUCUUGAAAAGGAUCCGGGUUCCAUUGCCUGCCCGGGGUUCAUCCCCCCGACAGGGGUGGUGCCCAGGCCACUUAGGGGCUGGUUCCCUUCGACAUACAGCCCAUAGGGCCCUUCUGGGCAGGUGGACCCUCCCGGUGGACCCCCGGAACCCCUCUGGUGGUCCCGGUACAAUACCGGUAAACCCCCGAAUACUUCCGAUGACCGUAUGAUGACUUCCGAUAUAUAAAUCUUCACCUCUGGACCAUUCCGGAACUCCUCGUGGUGACCGGGAUCUCAUUUGGGACUCCGAACAACAUUCGGUAAUCACGUACAAAUCUUCCCUUUAACCCUAGCGUCAUCGAACCUUAAGUGUGUAGACCGUACGGGUUCGGGAAUCAUGCAGACAUGACCGAGACAGCUCUCCGGCCAAUAACCAACAGUGGGAUCUAGAUACCCAUGUUGGCUCCCACAUGUUCCACGAUGAUCUCAUCAGAUGGACCACGAUGUCGAGGAUUCAAGCAAUCCCGUAUGCAAUUCCCUUUGUCAAUCGGUACGUUACUUGCCCGAGAUUCAAUCAUCGGUAUCCCAAUACCUCGUUCAAUCUCGUUACCGGCAAGUCACUUUACUCGUUGCGUAAUGCAUGAUCCCGUGACUAACUACUUAGUCAAAUUGAGCUCAUUAUGAUGAUGCAUUACCAAGUGGGCCCAGAGAUACCUCUCCGUCAUACGGAGUGACAAAUCCCAUUCUCGAUUAGUGCCAACCCAACAAACACUUUCGGAGAUACAUAUAGUGCACCUUUAUAGUCACCUAGUUACGUUGUGACGUUUGGUACACCCAAAGCACUCCUACGGUAUCCGGGAGUUACACAAUCUCAUGGUCUAAGGAAAUGACACUUGACAUUAGAAAAGAUUUAGCAAACGAACUACACGAUCUUGUGCUAUGCUUAGGAUUGGGUCUUGUCCAUCACAUCAUUCUCCUAAUGAUGUGAUCCCGUUAUCAAUGACAUCCAAUGUCCAUAGUCAGGAAACCAUGACCAUCUGUUGAUCAACGAGCUAGUCAACUAGAGGAUCACUAGGGACAUGUUGUGGUCUAUGUAUUCACACAUGUACUACGGUUUCCAGUUAAUACAAUUAUAGCACGAAUAAUAGACAAUUAUCAUGAACAAGGAAAUAUAAUAAUAACCAUUUUAUUAUUGCCUCUAGGGCAUAUUUCCAAUAGUCUCCCACUUGCACUAGAGUCAAUAAUCUAGUUCCAUUGUGAUGAAUCGAACACCCAUAGAGUUCUGGUAUUGAUCAUGUUUUGCUCGUGGAAGAGGUUUAGUCAACGGAUCUGCGACAUUCAGAUCCGUAUGUACUUUACAAAUCUCUAUGUCUCCAUCUUGAACAUUUUCACGAAUGGAGUUGAAGCAACGCUUGAUAUGCCUAGUCUUCUUGUGAAACCUGGGCUCCUUGGUAAGGGCAAUAGCUCCAGUGUUGUCACAGAAGAGAGUCAUCGGGCCCGACUUAUUGGGAAUAACUCCUAGGUCAGUAAUGAACUCCUUCCUUCAGAUUGCUUCAUGCGCUGCCUCCGAGGCUGCCAUGUACUCCGCUUCACAUGUAGAUCCCUCCACGACGCUUUGUUUGCAACUGCACCAGCUUACUGCCCCACCAUUCAAAAUAUACACGUAUCCUAUUUGUGACUUGGAGUCAUCCACAUCUGUGUCGAAGCUAGCAUCGACGUAACCCUUUACGACGAGCUCUUCGUCACCUCCAUAAAUGAGAAACAUAUCCUUAGUCCUUUUCAGGUACUUCAGGAUAUUCUUGACCGCUGUCCAGUGUUCCAUGCCGGGAUUACUUUGGUACCUCCCUACCAAACUUACGGCAAGGUUUACCUCAGGUCUGGUACACAACGUGGCAUACAUAAUAGACCCUAUGGACGAGGCAUAGGGGAUGACACUCGUCUUUUCUCUAUCUUCUGCCGAGGUCGGGCAUUGAGCUAUGCUCAAUUUCUCACCUUGCAAAACAGGCAAGAACCCUUUCUUGGACUGAUCCAUAUUGUACUUCUUCAAUAUCUUAUCAAGGUAUGUGCUUUGUGAAAGACCGAUGAGGCGUCUCGAUCUAUCUCUAUAGAUCUUGGUGCCUAAUAUGUAAGCAGCUUCUCCAAGGUCCUUCAUUGAAAAACACUUAUUCAAGUAGGCCUUUAUGCUAUCCAAAAGUUCUAUAUAAUUUCCCAUCAAUAGUAUGCCAUCCACAUAUAAUAUGAGAAAUGCUACAGAGCUCCCACUCACAAUCUUGUAAACGCAGGCUUCUCCAUAAGUCUGCACAAACCCAAACGCUUUGAUUAUUUCAUCAAAGCGAAUGUUCCAACUCCGAGAUGCUUGCGCCAGCCCAUAGACGGAGCGCUGGAGCUUGCACACCUUGUUAGCAUUUUUAGGAUCGACAAAACCUUCCGGCUGCAUCAUAUACAAAUCUUCCUUGAGGAAACCGUUAAGGAAUGCUAUUUUGACGUCCAUUUGUCAUAUCUCAUAAUCAUAGAAUGUGGCAAUUGCUAACAAGAUUCGGACGGACUUCAGCUUCGCUAAGGGUGAGAAGGUCUCAUCGUAGUCAACCCCUUGAACUUCUCGGUAACCCUUAGCGACAAGUCGAGCUUUAUAGAUGGUAACAUUACCAUCCGCGUCGGUCUUCUUCUUAAAGAUCCAUUUAUUUUCUAUUGCUCACCGAUCAUCGGGCAAGUCUAUCAAAGUCCAUACUUUGUUUUCAUACAUGGAUCCUAUCUCGGAUUGCAUGGCCUCAAGCCAUUUGUUGGAACCUGGGCCCGCCAUCGCUUCUUCAUAGUUCGAAGGUUCACCAUUGUCUAACAACAUGAUUUCCAGGACAGGGUUGCCAUACCAUUCUGGUGUGGAACGUGUCCUUGUGGACCUACGAAGUUCAGUAGCAACUUGAUCUGAAGUACCUUGAUCAUCAUCAUUAACUUCCCCUCUAGUCGGUCCAGCCACCACAGAAACAUCUUCCUAAGCUGCGCUACUUUCCGGUUCAAGAGGCGGUACUUCAUCAAGUUCUACUUUCCUCCCACUUACUUCUUUCGAGAGAAACUCUUUCUCCAGAAAGGACCCGUUCUUGGCAACAAAGAUCUUGCCUUCGGAUCUGGGGUAUAAGGUAUACCCAAUGGUUUCCUUAGGGUAUCCUAUGAAGACGCAUUUUUUCCGACUUGGGUUCGAUCUUUUCAGGUUGAAGUUUCUUGACAUAAGCAUCGCAUCCCCAAACCAUUAGAAAUGAUAGCUUAGGUUUCUUCCCAAACCAUAAUUCAUACGGUGUCGUCUCAAAGGAUUUAGACAGUGCCCUAUUUAAAGUGAAUGUAGCUGUCUCUAAAGCGUAUCCAAAAAAUGAUAGCGGUAAAUCGGUAACAAACAUCAUAGAUCGCACCAUAUCCAAUAGAGUGCAAUUACGAUGUUCGGACACACUGUUACGCUGAGGUGUUCCAGGCGGCGUGAGUUGUGAAACAAUUCCACAUUUCCUUAAGUGCGUACCAAAAUCGUGACUCAAAUAUUCUCCCCUACGAUCUGAUCGUAAGAACUUUAUUUUUCUGUCACGUUGAUUCUCUACCUCACUCUGAAAUUCCUUAGACUUUUCAAAGGUCAGACUUGUGUUUCAUUAAUUAGACAUACCCAUAUCUACUUAAGUCAUCAAUGAGGGUGAGAACAUAGCAUAGCCACCGCGAGCCUUAACGCUCAUUGAACCGCACACAUCAGUAUGUAUGGUUUCCAAUAAGUUGGUUGCUCGCUCCAUUGUUGCAGAGAACGGUAUCUUGGUCAUUUUGCCCAUGAGGCAUGGUUCGCACGUGUCAAAUGAUUCAUAAUCAAGAGACUCCAAAAGUCCAUCUGCAUGGAUCUUCUUCAUGCGUUUGACACCAAUGUGACCAAGGCGGCAGUGCCACAAGUAUGUGGGACUAUCAUUAUCAACCUUACAUCUUUUGGUAUUCACACUAUGAAUAUGUGUAACAUCACGUUCGAGAUUAAUUAAGAAUAAACCAUUGACCAGCGGGGCAUGAGCAUAAAACAUAUCUCUCAUAUAAAUAGAACAACCAUUAUUCUCGGAUUUAAAUGAGUAGCCAUCUCGCAUUAAACGAGAUCCAGAUACAAUGUUCAUGCUCAAAGCUGGCACUAAAUAACAAUUAUUGAGGUUUAAAACUAAUCCCGUAGGUAAAUGUAGAGGUAGUGUGCCAACGGCGAUCACAUCGACCUUGGAACCAUUCCCGACGCCCAUCGUCACCUCGUCCUUCGCCAGUCUCCACUUAUUCCGCAGCUCCUGUUUUUAGUUACAAAUACGAGCAACCACACCGGUAUCAAAUACCCAGGAGCUACUACGAGUACUGGUAAGGUACACAUCAAUAACAUGUAUAUCACAUAUACCUUUGGUGUUGCCGGCCUUCUUGUCCGCUAAGUACUUGGGGCAGUUCCGCUUCCAAUGACCGUCUCCCUUGCAAUAAAAGCACUCAGUCUUAGGUUUGGGUCCAUGCUUUGGCUUCUUCCGGGCAACUGGCUUACCGGGCACGGAAACUCCCUUGCCGUCCUUCUUGAAGUUCUUAUUUCCCUUGCCUUUCUUGAAACUUGUGGUUUUAUUGACCAUCAACACUUGAUGUUCCUUUUUGAUCUCCACCUCCACUGGUUUCAGCAUUGAAAAAAAACCAGGAAUGGUUUUCACCAUCCCCUGCAUAUUGUAAUUCAUCACAAAGCUCUUGUAGCUAGGUGGGAGCGGCUGAAGGAUUCUGUCAAUGACCGCGUCAUCCGGGAGAUUAACUCCCAGCUGAGACAAACGGUUAUGCAACCCAGACAUUUUGAGUAUGUGCUCGCUAACAGAACCAUUCUCCUCCAUUUUACAACUGUAGAACUUGUCGAAGACUUCAUAUGUCUCGACCCGGGCAUGAGCUUGGAAAACCAUUUUCAGCUCUUGGAACAUCUCAUAAGCUCCGUGCUGCUCAAAACGCUUUUGGAGCCCCGGUUCUAAGUUGUACAGCAUGCCGCACUGAACCAGGGAGUAAUCAUCACUACGCGACUACCAGGCGUUCAUAACGUCUUGAGUUGCUGGGAAAAUGGGUGCUUCACCUAGCGGCGCAUCUAGGACACAUGCUUUCUUGUCAGCUAUGAGCAUGAUCCUCAAGUUCCGGACCCAAUCCGUGUAGUUGCUACCAUCGUCUUUCAGCUUGGUUUUCUCUAGGAACACGUUGAAGUUCAGGGCAACAUUAGCAUGGGCCAUUUGAUCUACAAGACAUAUUGCAUAGAUUUUUAGACUAAGUUCAUGAUAAUUAAGUUCAUCUAAUCAAAUUAUCUAAUGAACUCCCACUCAGAUAGAAAUCCCUCUAGUCAUCUAAGUGCUACAUGAUCCGAGUCAACUAGGCCGUGUCCGAUCAUCACGUGAUACGGACUAGUCAUCAUCGGUGAACAUCUUCAUGUUGAUCGUAUCUACUAUACGACUCAUGUUCGACCUUUCGGUCUCUUGUGUUCCGAGGCCAUGUCUGUACAUGCUAGGCUCGUCAAUUCAACCUAAGUGUUUUUGCAUGUGUAAAUCUGGCUUACACCCGUUGUAUGUGAAUGUUAGAAUCUAUCACACCCGAUCAUCACGUGGUGCUUCGAAACAACGAACUUUCACAAUGGUGCACAGUUAGGGGGGACACUUUCUUGAAAUUUUAUGAGGGAUCAUCUUAUUUAUGCUACCGUCGUUCUAAGCAAAUAAGAUGCAAUAACAUGAUAAACAUCACAUGCAAUCAAAUAGUGACAUGAUAUGGCCAAUAUCAUUUUGCUCCUUUUGAUCUCCAUCUUUGGGGCGCCAUGAUCAUCAUCGUCACCUGCAUGACACCAUGAUCUCCAUCAUCGUGUCUUCAUGAAGUUGUCUCGCCAACUAUUACUUCUAUUAUUAUGGCUAAUGGCUUAGCAAUAAAGUAAAGUAAUUACAUGGCGUUAUUCAAUGACACGCGGGUCAUACAAUAAAUUAAGACAACUCCUAUGGCUCCUGCCGGUUGUCAUACUCAUCGACAUGCAAGUCGUGAUUCCUAUUACAAGAACAUGAUCAAUCUCAUACAUCACAUAUAUUUCAUUCAUCACAUCCUUUUGGCCAUAUCACAUCACACGGCAAAUGCUGCAAGAACAAGUUAGACGUCUUCUAAUUGUUGUUGCAAAUUUUUACGUGGCUGCUAUAGGUUUCUAACAAGAACAUUUCUUACCUAUGCCAAAACCACAACGUGAUAUGCCAAUUGCUAUUUACCCUUCAUAAGGACCCUUUUCAUCAAAUCCAAUCCGACUAAAGUGGGAGAGACAGACACCCGCUAGCCACCUUAUGCAACUAGUGCAUGUCAGUCGGUGGAACAUAUCUCACGUAAGCGUAUGUGUAAGAUCGGUCCGGGCCGCUUCAUCCCACGAUGCCGCCGAAUCAAGAUAAGACUAGUAGUGGCAAGUAAAUUGACAAAAUCGACGCCCACAACAACUUGUGUUCUACUCGUGCAUAGAAACUACGCAUAGACCUAGCUCAUGAUGCCACUAUUGGGGAUCGUUGCAGAAAUAAAAAAAUUCUACGCAUCACCAAGAUCAAUCUAUGGAGAAACUAGCAACGAGAGAGAGUGGAGUUCAUCUUCAUACCCUUGAAGAUCAUGAAACGGAAGCGUUGCAAGAACGCGGAUGAAGGAGUCGUACUCGUAGCAAUUCAGAUCGCGGUGGAUUCCGAUCUAAGCGCCGAACAACGGCACCUCCGCGUUCAACACACGUGCAGCCCGGUGACGUCUCCCGCGCCUUGAUCCAGCAAGGAGGAGGGAGAGGUUGAGGAAGACAGCUCCAGCAGCAGCACGACGGCGUGGUGGUGGUGGAGCAACAGUUCUCCGGCAGGGCUUCGCCAAGCUCAAACGGAGGAGGAGAGGUGUUGGAGAGGGGGAGGGCUGCGCCUUGGAUGUGGUGCGGCUUCCCUCCCUCCUCCCCUCUAUUUAUAGGCUGAAGGGGGAAGGGGGCCGUCCCCUCUAGAUGAGAUCUAGAGGGCGGGCAGCGGCCAAGGGGAGGGGGCUUGCCCCCCAAGCCAAGGGGGCGCCCCCUUUAGGGUCCCCCCCCAACCCUAUGCGCAUGGGCCCUUGGGGGUGGCGCUCAGCCCACUUAGGGUCAGGUUCCCUUCUACCUACAGCCCAUAGGGCCCUCCGGGGCAGGUGGACCUCCCGGUGGACUCCCGGAACCCCUCCGGUGGUCCCGGUACAAUACGGGUAAACCUCCGAAUACUUCCGGUGACCGUAUGAUGACUUCCCAUAUAUAAAUCUUCACCUCUGAACCAUUCCGGAACUCCUCAUGACGUUCUGGAUCUCAUCCGGGACUUCGAACAACAUUCGGUAAUCACGUACAAAUCUUCCCUAUAAACCUAGCGUCAUCGAACCUUAAGUGUGUAGACCCUACGGGUUUGGGAAUCAUGCAGACAUGACCGAGACAGCUCUCCGGCCAAUAACCAACAGCGGGAUCUGGAUACCCAUGUUGGCCCCCACAUGUUCCAUGAUGAUCUCAUCGGAUGAGCCACGAUGUCGAGGAUUCAAGCAAUCCCGUAUGCAAUUCCCUUUGUCAAUCGGUACGUUACUGACCCGAGAUUCGAUCAUCGGUAUCCCAAUACCUCGUUCAAUCUUGUUACCGGCAAGUCACUUUACUCGUUGCGUAAUGCAUGAUCCCGUGACUAACUACUUAGUAACAUUGAGCUCAUUAUGAUGAUGCAUUACCGAGUGGGCCCAAAGAUACCUCUCCGUCAUACGGAGUGACAAAUCCCAGUCUCGAUUCGUGCCAACCCAAGAAACACUUUCGGAGAUACCUAUAGUGCACCUUUAUAGUCACCCAGUUACGUUGUGACGUUUGGUACACCCAAAGCACUCCUACGGUAUCCGGGAGUUACACAAUCUCAUGCUCUAAGGAAAUGAUACUUGACAUUAGAAAAGCUUUAGCAAACGAACUACAUGAUCUUGUGCUAUGCUUAGGAUUCGGUCUUGUCCAUCACUUCAUUCUCCUAAUGAUGUGAUCCCGUUAUCAAUGACAUCCAAUGUCCAUAGUCAGGAAACCAUGACCAUCUGUUGAUCAACGAGCUAGUCAACUAGAGGCUCACUAGGGACAUGUUGUGGUCUAUGUAUUCACACAUGUAUUACGGUUUCCGGUUAAUACAAUUAUUGCAAGAACAGUAGACAAUUAUCAUGAACAAGGAAAUAUAAUAAUAACCAUUUUAUUAUUGCCUCUAGGGCAUAUUUCCAACAAGCACCAGGUUCGGGCCCUCUAUAUGGAGGUAAUGCCCUACUUCCUGCUUGAUUGAUCUUGAUGAAUAUGAGUAUUACAAGAGUUGAUGUACCACAAGAUCGUAAUGGCUAAACCCUAGAAGUCUAGCUUGUAUGAUUGUCAUGAUCCUUUAUCGACUAGCCUGGUCUUGGCCUAUAUAAUGCACCAGAGGCCUAGGGUAACAAGAGUCCUAGCCGAAUACGUUGGUCGAGAGGAGUCCUUGUCUUGAUCACCAAGUCUUGUGGAAUACUCCAUGUAUGCGGCAUGGGCUGCACAAAGUGGCCCAUGAGUAAACUGCCACGGGGUUCCUCGGCCCGAUCCACCUGGUCGGGAGACGAUGUGGUGAGUACCCCCUAGUCCAGGACACCAUCAGUAGCCCCCUGAACCGGUCUUCAAGUUGGGGAUGCUCCUUGAUCCUUCAGAACUGUUCUUCAUCUUCGGUCGUCGGUCUUGAAAACUGGUUCAACAAAUCUUCUCGUCUUUGAUCUUGAGGAUCGCCGAAAUGAAUCCGAAGGGUUUACACAUCGGGUAUCCAAGGAGCCCCUUUAAGUUCUCGACCUUUAUCAAUGCCUUAGGAUUAUUUUUUACGCCACACCUCGGGUUUGAAGUUGUUCCUGUGCGGCGGUGUCCUCUUGCAUCCGAGCUCCAACGCCGGACUGCAUUCGAGAUAUCUUUUGCAGCCGAGCACCAACACCGGACUAUAUCCGAGCUCCAAUGCCGGACUAUGUCCGAGGUGUCAUAGAUCACCUUGGCUUGAAAAAGUUUGAAGGAGGUUAUCCGAGUUUAACGCUAAAAAGUUCUCUAUGGAACGAGCCAUUUGAAUCCGGGCUUUAUGCCGGACCACUUCCGAGCUCCAACAAUGGUCAGCGCCCGAGGUGUCGUAAACUACCUCGGUCUUUUAAAAGAUGCCGAGUUAUUGUCAGAAAUGCCCUCCAUGGAGCCAGCCACUGGCGCCCAAACAUUAUGCUGGACUACUUCCGAGGUGGUGCACCACCCCGACCGCGGGCUGAUUUUUGUGAAUAUUUUUUAUUGGUGCAAUUUACUCUCUGCCUUGAUAUAUAGCUAGUAUAUGUAUAUCCAGUAGCCCUCAAGGUGUGUGUCAGCCUAAACCCGAGGUGCACCUGAAGGAAAACAUAAAACUGCUGAUCCUGGUAGGCCCUGACACUCAGGUCGAUUUGCAAAAUCGGCCUGAGGAUCAACUCCUAGCUCGGCAGGAUACAUAGAAAUAGAAACACAGUGUAAUAUAUUAGAGAUAAUAGUGAUCGGCGAACGGGCCCUUGAGAGAGGGUCUUGAGAAGUUGCCGCAAUAUAUUAGCUUUACGCCAUAUAGGUCCAGAUGGUACCUAUUGUUGUCUGAAGACGUGUUUGCCCAUAGUUCAGUCAAGCUGGACACUAAGCACUUUGAAGUUUCUGCAUUGAAUAGGCAACGAAGUAACCCCCGAGACACUGGUCAGGUGGCAACACCAGAUCAGGGAAACGAUGUGCCCCUUUAAUAUUUAUAAAUAAUGAGCGUGAAGCCCAGUAGCCCCAGAGCCUUAAUGUGGGCACGGGAGGCCGAAUUAAGGAUCGAUAUCCGUGUGACAAAAAAUUUUGUUCUGUUUAACACAAACUUCUCGAAAAGUGAAUAAAGAUCUCUUAAAGGAGCUAGAGCUAGCGUGCUCGCCAAGGUUGGUCCCAAGGUCCUUUGCAUUGAACACAUAAACAUUGUUAAGAUCUUUGGGUUUUAUAUUUCUGUUGUGAUCGAACAAAGAUUAAACUUUUCCAGGAGAAUCAUGGGAGCCUUCCACAAAUCAAACUGUUGAGUUGGUCACGCGGAAUAUCAUAUUGACAUUUAAUAAUCAAACACCAGCAUGUUUAUAUUUUUGGUUGGGCCUAUCGAUCCAAACCUGUGAUACAUAUGUACGAGCAAUCAAAAUGAUCAAAAUUAAGCUAGCAUAUUGAGAGUAUAUAGAAAUGUCCACAAGCAGUUUUGUACCCUACUGUGACAUGUGAAGAUUACACGAGGCAUCAAGAUCCAAAUACACCAUAAUAGUAUAUGUUAUUUCUUCAACAACUACUACUUUGCUAUAAUUGUAUUUUUCAAAUUAGUGUAAAAAGGGACACGACAUGUCACAAUGUGACAUGGUGAUUGCCAUAAAUAGUUAGAUCACUAUUUUGCGUGAUACAAAGCUAUGGUUGUAUGCACGGAACGACAUUAUUUGUUUCCGCCGACACAAUGAACAUAUAACGAGGAUUAUAUAUUUGCGCCAAUAAUAAUUGUGUUUUCGCAUAAUUUGGUGACAAAAAUAUUAGUAGUGAAUCAGAACUCCCUGUGAAUGCCUUUAGCCCUCCUGUAGUUUCCAUCAAUUUCAUUACUCUCCUGUUCUUGUUACUAUUAUUUUAGCACACCUUAAUUCUUGUUCACAAACUCUUGCAAUAUUUUCACUUUCACACCUCUUUGAUCAGGAGUUAAAAUAUUUGCAUGCACUUUCUGAUAAACCUCUAGUAGAGGCAAAAGACUAUUUCUUAAUUUUUCUUUUGGGUCAAGACUAUUACUUCAAAAUGGCUACAACUAUAUUGUGUGCACUUGCAUGAGAUCAGAAAAAACAUAUUGAUUGGAAUGCACUAAUUUAAGAAUAAAUUUUUGGAGCAUGUUUACCAAAAGCUUGGUUAUCAUCUUGAUGGAGCAAUUCAGAAAGGAAAUAGGUCUGAAAUCAUUAUCCUAAAUUGCGGAGCCAUUUUUGGAAUUAGAGUAAUUAAAGAAGAGUCAAUGCUCUAAAUAUUGAUUGAACCAUGGUAAAACUCCUCAAACAAUGCAUAGAAAUCAGGGGCAAUAGUCUCCCAACAAACUUUAACAAAAUCUGAAUUAAGACCAUCUAGGCCUGGGGAUUCGUGAGAGGGCAAAUUCCUGACUGCUUUAACAAUUUCCUCUUUAGUGAAAGAUUUCUCUGAAAAAAGUAGACCAUCAUUUCUCGUAAGCAAAGAAUCCAAAUUCAUAAGGUUGAAAGUUGGGACAAUAUAGCCAAGUCUUUGCUUGAAAGAUCUACCAAAGAAAGCAGCCUUGGCAUGAUGUUCGGAGUGCCCAUGCCUCUGCUUAUCUCUUAAUAUAGCAAUGUGAUUAUUUCUGAAUAAUUGAUGCCUCUGCAUGAUUUUGUUUUACUUUGCUUCCCCCAAAGGUACCCAUAUAAUAGUGUCUCUUUGUUUCGAGUAGAUUUGCCGGUGUGGGAGAAGCUGAAGGAGAUGAUUUUCGAGGAUUUGUCUGAUUGUUCCAGUUAUGAAUUGCAAGAUUUCUAAAUUCUUCAAUACUGUCAUAGAAUUAAUCACUGAGUUUGGUAGCUUUGAUAGUGGUAGAGAGAUUAGAAAUUAUUUUGGAACACAGUUUUAAACCUUUUCUUGGUCUUUUGAAAUUUGCAUUUACUCUUUUGGAACUAUCAUGUUUGUGAAUUUGUUGGUCCCAAAUUGUAUUAAAAGUAUCUUUAAAGUCUGGGUGUUGCAACCAGUAAAUUUCAAACCAGAAAAUAGAGGACUCAAGAAUAGAUGUACCAAUCCAAAUGAAACAAGGGAUGUGGUAAAAAAAUAGGUCUGCCCUAAGGAAUAGCCAUAGUGUUUGGAUAAUUAAUAGUCUAGGAUUUAGAGGAGAAUACCCGAUCAAGCUUUUCCAAGAGAGGAGCACUCUGCAUAUUGCUCAAAGUAAACAUUCUGCCUCCAAGGGGAAUUUCAAUAAGAGCAAGGGAAGUGAUGGCUUCAUUUAAAGAAAACAUGGCAUGUGCACUACCGUCUUCUCUAUUUUUUGUUCUUAGGGCAGAUGACAUAAUUGAAAUCUCCAACCACCAACUGUAAGUGCAUCUAGUUCCCCUUAGUGAUUUUGGUGUAUUGAAGACUUAUAGGUUAAGGGACUAAUGUGUUUAUGAGUGUACACAGGUCUAUAAGUCUAUGAGGAGUUUGAUAUUUACAGAGAAAGUCGACCCCUAAAAAUGAAGUUCUUCAACAGAAGACUUUGGUAUUCUGAAGACUUUGAAAGUGAAGAAAUUGGUGUGACCUUGAAGACUUGGUAUUCAUUUGAGGAACAUGAAGCGCGAAGACUUUUGUUUUCAUAGUUUCGUUUUUCUCUUUCUUGAGUCAUAGGAAACACCGUACUGUUAAAGGGGGUCGAGGAAAUACUAAGGAAAAAUUUCCAUGUGAUGCUCAACUCAAAAUCCUACACCUACCAAUUCCUUCGAGUGAAGCCUUUGGAAAUCUCAUACAGUUCAGUCAAUUUCAUCAGUGACAGAGACAAAGUUCUUCUGGUCGCUGAGGAAUUUGUUCUGACUGAGGAGUUAGGAAUUCGCCAGUGCGAAUUGCCUACACAGUGAGGAACAUGAUAGCCCUAAGGAAUUUGAGAGUCAAAUUUCUGACCGUUGCUGUGCUGCGCGCCAGCUGUCCCAAAAUAUCUUAUCCACCUAACGGUCAUAUCAUUGAAGGGCAUUUAUGUCUUAUCAUGUCAGGCUGCUCCCUAGGCUAUAAAUAGCCGCCCCCUACAACCACUAGCUGGUUGGCUGCUCCACGAGAACUUGACACUUGUCAUUUGAGAGCAACCCAACCUCCGAGGACUUUGAGCGAAAAUCAUCGAGUGAGGAAAACCCAAAAACCAAACCCCUACAAACCCAAAGUGAUUGAGCAUCACUGAAGAGAUUGAUCCUGCGUGGAUCCGAUGCUUGUUACCUUUGAAGACUGUGCUUCUUCCAGACGGUUAGGCAUCAUGGUCUAGAGCAUCCAAGAGGAAUUGUGGAUCGCCGAGUGACCAAGUCUGUGAAGGUUUGGAAGUCGCCUGAAGACUUACCACGAGUGAUUGGACGAGGUCUGUGUGACCUUAGUUCAAGGAGAUUACGGUGAGGACUGGGUGUCCUGAGCUGCGUGCUCAGAGACUGGGUGUCCGGGACUGUGUCCUCGAGUUUAAAUACUCAGCCGCUCCAACCAGACGUACAACUGAGACAGCAGUUGGAACUGGUAUACCAAAUCAUUCUCUUCACCAACCUAACUGGUUCCAUUUCCUCAACCCAUUCAUUUCCUCAUUACUGUGUUAACUUUUUGUUCAUAUCUGUGUUUGAACACUUUGACUGAAGACUUUCUCAAUUUCCUCAGUUCAAUUUCUUCAGUCUGUUUGUCUUCAUCUUGUGCUAUCCUGUGUUUACGCUUUCUAUACUCUUUGAUUGUCUUCAUUUCAUCAUGAUGACCAUGCAUGUAUUCUGCUAUGCUUACUUCUGAGUGCUUAUUCCGGUGCAAGUAGUUCUUCGCUAAGGAAUUUCCUCACCGGCAAAUUCCUCAGUGAAGAAUUCAUAAAAAUCGCCUAUUCACCCCCCUCUAGUCGAUAUAACGCACUUUCAAUUGGUAUCAGAGCAAGGUACUCCCUUGUUCUGUGUGAUUUUGGUUUAACCACCUGGAGUUUUAGUUAUGUCGACCGCAGGUAUGAAGAAAGUGACUUGCCCUAUCUUUGACGGUCAUGAUUAUCCCAAGUGGAAGGCCAUGAUGAGGAAGCCCCUCAUGGCAAUGGACAGCGAGGUGUGGACCGUCACUGAAAUCGGUCUUACUGAUCUGUGCAAGUCGGCGAACGCAGAUGAUAUUCGCAAGUACACUCGACUUGACAUCAUGGCGAAGGAUAUCAUCUGUUCCUGCCUAUCUACAGAUGAAUUCAAGCGCAUUAUGCAUCUUUGCAAUGUGAAGCUUAUCUGGGACCGAAUCUCUGAUGUCUAUGAAGGUCAUUGAACCCGUCAUGAUCCUUGGUUUGAGGACUUCAAGGAAUCUCUCAAAACGAUGACUUUCGAACCAGAAUCAUCAUCUUCUGCAUCAUGUCUCAUGGCAAAGGGUGACAAGGUAACCGAAUGUUCCUCAUCCGAGUAUAGUGACAAUGAAUCUGAUGAUGAUGGAUCUGAUGAUGAUAUUGAACCAAACUAUACCAAGCUUGUUUGUAUUGCCACCAAACAACAACAUGCCUUGGAAAAGGUUCAAAACAUGUUAGGUAAAAGUGAUGAUAUGUUAGGUGAAGAAAUGAAUCGCACUAAAGCCCUGACUGAAAAUCUUCAGAGACUUCAGUCUAGGUUUGAUAACCUUCAAGGUCAUCAUAAGACUCUUUUGUCAGAUCAUGAGAAACUUUCUUAUGAAUUUCUUCAAAGAAAGCAAGAUCUUGAGAAGCUAAGAGUGAGUUAUGAAGAUCUUCAGAAGGAGCGUGAUUCAUUGCUAGCUCAACAAAUCAGCGCUUCUCAGGAAGAAUUUGUUCCUCCAUGCUUAAAGUGCAUUAAACGUGAAUCUGCUAAUUCUUCACCAGAAUGUUCAAAUGCUUCAACUGUUAUAAAUUCUUCACCUGCAUCUGCUAUCACUAAUUCCUCAUCUGAGGACAUUGCUAGUAAAACUGACAAUGCAGGGCUGAAGGAAUUGUACAUGACAGGCAUGUACAAAAGCCUCAAAGGGCAUCAGACUCUUUAUGAUGUGCUUAAAAAGAAGAUCCUCAACAGAAACCCUAGAAAAGAGGGUAUUGCCUUUGAGAGGAAACUCAAUGCUGAUGGAACAUAUUGGAAGCCUAAGCAGUACCCCAAAACCUCACGGGUUGCUGCAAAGGGACCUCCAGUUGAUCCAUCUAACUUAUCUGGCUUUACAUGUGAAUCUCCUCAUUCUUCUGAUGAGUCAUUUGACUCCAACUAUAAACUGUUCAAAAAUUAGAAUGGUGAAGUAUUUGCUAGAUAUGUUGGCACUAACUGCAGGAAUGGUUCUCCUAUGAAGAAAAUCUGGGUUCCCAAGAAGUGCCUUGAAAGCCUUCAGGUGAAUGUCCUCAUGACACCACCUGUGAAGAAUAGGAACCCCAGAUCAAAUUCUUCAUAUGUACCAAAUUCUUCAUAUGGAUCCAAGUCCUCAUACGGACAUAAUUCCUCACGUGGAUCAAAUUCCUCAAAAGGAUCAAAGUCCUCAUAUGAUUAUCAUUGUGCUAACAACUCUGUUUUGCAGGGUAGAGCUAAGGGCUAUGAAUAUGUGCAUUAUUCUUCAAACCAUUAUGUUCAUAAGUCCUCGAAGAAUUUCUCUCCUUAUUCAUAUGCUUACCCUAACCCCUCUUAUGUGAAACGCAAUGGUUUGGCCUCUAUGCCACCAUUCUCUUAUGGUGCUCGCAGAGUGAUGAACUCUUUGCCACCCCUUCAGAUGUGGGUGAUGAAGAAAAAGAACUAAUCUCUUCUGCAGGGUCAGGUCUCCAUACGUGCUUUAACGUCUGAAGAAUUUGCUGGGGACCUGACAAACUUGCCUGAUAGGACGCAGGCUAAUCAUGAUGAAAUGAACUUUCAUUUCACACGUCCUCAUACUGCUUAUCUGUUAAUACUAACUGAUGAAAUUCAUCUGAUGAACUUGAUAUCAUAUUGUUCACUGAUGAAGUAUAUGAGAUCGUAAGUUGCACUAAUUCAUCUGCAGGAUGAUCAACCCAAAGCCACUGAGUGGGUCCUCGAUAGUGGAUGUACAAAUCACAUGACUGGUGACAAGAAUCUAUUGAUGGAUGCCCCCUUAUCACCGUCACAUCUGAAGCAUAUCAUCUUCGCUGACAAAGGCAAAAGUCAGGUAUUGGGUCUUGGUAAGGUUGCGAUCUCUAAGGACAUACACAUGGACAAAGUCAUGCUUGUUGAGUCCUUAGGAUACAACCUCAUGUCAGUCUCAAUGCUUUGUGAUCUUGAUAUGGUUGUUGUCUUUGGCAAGUAUCACUGUGUUGUGAUUAUGGAUGCUGACAAUUCCAAAGUCUUCGAAGGCUUUAAGAGAGGAGACUUCUAUAUUGUUGAUUUCUCUACAGGACCACAACCAGCCGUGUGUCUACUUGCAAAAGCUUCAGAAGGCUGGCUAUGGCAUCGACGACUUGGUCACGCAGGCAUGAGGAAUUUGCACACGCUUGUGAAAAAGAAGCAUGUUAUUGGCAUUGAGAAUGUCAAAUUCCUCAAGGAUCACUUAUGUGGUGCCUGUGAAGCUGGAAAAAUGACCAAGGCCAAGCAUCCAGCGAAGACUAUCAUGACCACUACUCGUCCAUUCGAAUUGCUUCACAUGGACCUCUUUGGACCUAAUCAUUACUCAGCAAUCUCUAAUGAUGCAUCUCUAUAUGGCUUUGUUAUUGUUGAUGAUUAAUCUCGUUACACAUGGGUACACAUUGCUACUUACAAACAUGAAGUGCAGGAAGUCUUCAAACGAUUUUCCUCGAGGGCUUCAACCAACUCUUGUGUGAAGAUCAAGCACAUCAGGAGUGACAAUGGAACUGAGUUCAAGAAUUCCGGUCUUGAUGACUAUCUUGAUGAACUUAUCUGCUCCUUAUACUCCUCAGCAGAAUGGCGUCGUGGAGCGCAAGAACAGAACUCUCGUUGAGAUGGCUCGCACUAUGCUUGAUGAAUACAAAACGCCUUAUCGUUUUUGGAUUGAUGCAAUUGAUACUGCGUGCCACAUCAUCAACAGAGUAUAUCUUCACAAAUUCUUCAAGAAGACUGCCUAUGAACUCCUCACUGACAAGAAACCCAAUGUGAGUUAUUUCAAAGUCUUUGGUGCUAAAUGUUGGAUUAGAAAUCCUCAUCACAAUGCUAAAUUUGCACCGAAAGCACAUGAAGGUUUUAUGCUUGGUUACGGAAAGGACUCGCACACCUACAGAGUCUUCAACAUCGCCCUUCACAAGGUUGUUGAAACUGUAGAUGUGCGGUUCGAUGAAACUAAUGGCUCGCAAAGAGAGCACCUACCUUCUGUGAUAGAUGAACCAGCACCUGAGGAGUCCAUCAAGUUCAAGGCAACUGAGGAUGUCAUUCCUACUGAAGAAUCUGCUAAAGAAUUCAUUCCAGUACGCGAAGAACGUCGAGCUGAUGCACCUGAAGAUAAUGCUGAAGACAAUGGUGCUAAGGAAAAUGAUCAAAUACCUCGACGACAACCAGCUCAUCCUCGCAUUGCAAAAGAAGUACAAGUUGACAAGAUCAUCGAUGACAUUGAAGCGCCAGGUCCUCUCACACGCUCAAAAGCUUCACACUUAUCUAACUUUUGUGGGCACUAUGCUUUUGUCUCUAUCACAGAGCCCACUAAGGUAGAUGAAGCAUUUCUGGAGCCGGAGUGGAUCCAGGCAAUGCAAGAAGAAUUACAUCAGUUCGAGCUCAACAAUGUCUGGGAACUGGUCAAACAUCCAAAUCCUCGCAAGCAUAAUAUCAUUGGCACAAAGUGGAUCUACCGCAACAAGCAAGAUGAAAAUGGCCUUGUGGUGAGGAAUAAGGCACGACUUGUAGCUCAAGGCUACACACAGGUUGAAGGAAUUGAUUUCGAUGAAACUUUUGCACCUGUUGCUAGACUUGAGGCUAUUCGCAUAUUACUUGCUUAUGCUAACCAUCAUGAUAUCAUCUUAUAUCAAAUGGAUGUGAAAAGUGCAUUCCUCAAUGGUAAGCUUGAGGAAUAAGUAUAUGUUGCUCAACCCCCAUGUUUUGAAGAUCCAAAGAAUCCUGAAAAAGUCUUCAAACUCAACAAGGCUCUCUAUGGUCUCAAGCAAGCCCCUCGGGCGUGGUAUGAUACAUUGAAGGAAUUCUUCGUGAAGAAUGGCUUCACACCCGGUUCACUCGACCCUACUCUUUUUACUAAAUCUUAUAAUGGUGAACUGUUUGUGUGCCAAAUAUACGUUGAUGAUAUUAUCUUUGGCCGUACUGACCAACGUUAUAGUGAUGAAUUUGCCUAUAUGAUGAGUGAAGAAUAUCAAAUGUCCAUGAUGGGAGAGUUGAAAUUCUUCUUAGGUCUUCAAAUUCGUCAACGGCGCAAUGGCAUAUUCAUAUCUCAGGAGAAAUACCUCAAAGAUGUACUGAGGAAAUUCGGCAUGCAAGAUUGCAAAGGCGUCAAAAUUCCUAUGCCCACAAAUGGCCAUCUAUGCACUGAUGAAAAUGGUAUUGACUUUGAUCACAAGGUAUACCGCUCCAUGAUUGGUUCUUUAUUGUACUUAUGUGCAUCUAGGCCAGAUAUAAUGCUUAGUGUUUGCAUGUGUGCCCGAUUUCAAGCUGCACUGAAGGAAUCACACCAUAAGGUUGUGAAACAUAUUCUUCGAUAUCUAGCUCACACACCAACACUAGGAUUAUGGUAUCCCAAGGGCUCUGCUUUUGAUCUCAUUGGAUAUUCUGACUCUGACUAUGCUGGUGAUCGUGUGGACCGCAAGUCAACAUCUGGCACUUGUCAUUUCCUCGGACGUUCUUUGGUCUGUUGGUCCUCGAAGAAACAGAACUGCGUAUCACUGUCUACUGUGGAAGCUGAAUACAUUGCUGCUGGCUCUUGCUGUGCUCAACUACUAUGGAUGAAGCAAACUCUCAAGGACUACGGCGUCAACGUGAAGAAUGUGCCUCUCUACUGUGACAAUGAGAGUGCCAUCAAGAUUGCUCACAACCCAGUUCAGCACUCGAAGACAAAGCACAUUUAGAUUCGUCAUCAUUUUCUUCGUGAUCAUGUGUUGAAGGGCAACAUCUCCAUCGAUCACGUGAAGACUGAAGAACAGCUAGUUGAUAUCUUCACUAAGCCCUUGGAUGAAAAUAGAUUUAGCAAGUUGCGGUGUGAGCUAAAUAUCUUAGAAUCUUCUAAUGUUCUUUGAAAAGGACACACAUCCUGACCCUUAUGCAAAAUUGAUGACUUAGAUGUGCAACACAUGAAGAAAAGUUUUUCUUCAAUCAAUGAAGAAUAACACUCUAAGUGUGAAGGAAUUAAUGAAGAAUUUGAUUCUCAGAACCCUACGACAAUUGUACACGGUGUCUGAAAUCAUCAUUCUUAUACGGUGGGUCACGCCACCACCAAAGUUGAAAAUCUUCGAAUUUGAGCUUUUCCUCAGUUUUGGAAUUCUUCAGUUUUUCAAAUUCUUCAACUUUGCAAAAUCUUCACUGUUUCCAUCAUUUUUCUUCAUUGGUCAUAUAUAUAUAUGAGUUUAUGUCCUCUACAGCAUUCACUUAUGGCUAUUUCUUCAUGUUGCGUUUUCUGCUAAGUGAAUGUGAUCGGACCCUUCCCCCUCUAUGCUAUACUCAACUCAAUAUAUUCACAAAUUCUUCAUGUGCGUUCUAUUUGAAACUCGUUCAAAAUCUUCACUGUGUCCUUGUCAGCUGAAGAAAUUGCGAACGGAACUUUAAAACUGAUCUUAUCCAAACUUUCGGUUUUGCCGCUCAAACCGUUCCGCAUCCCACGAUGCAUUAUCCUAUUCACCCACGAUCGUACACGAUCUCCACUACAUAGUACGUGGGUGACACAUGUCGUGAGAAGGAGAAUGGUCAGGGGCAUGUUCGUCCUAAAUCUUCGGGCGACCAGUUUUUCACUGCCUCUAUAAAUACCCCUCUCUCCAUCCUCACUUCUUUUACUCCACUCGACCGUUCUCUCUCCCGCUCGAGCUCCUCAAACCCUAGCGCCGCCGCUACUCCAUCGUCGCCGGUGAGGAAGAGCUUCGCUGCCUCGACCUCGUCGCCGUCGUACUCGCGCCGGUUGCGGAAAUCUUCACUCCGCCGCCGCCGUAGCUGUCUUCCUCUGCCAAGUUAGGGCAAGGAAGAUCUAACUUGACGAACUUCCCAUCUGUUCUUCUCAGUUCGUCGUCUUCUUCACUUCGGAUAAUUAAAAGUUACUUUUAUUACUCGCUUUGAUUCUCAAGCUUUCCUGAAAAUCUUCAAAGGUGUUUAUUCUUCAAAUCUUCACACAUAUGAACACCUGACACAUAAUAUGCUCUUGAUUCGUUUCUCUAAGCAAUGAUUUUUCUUCAAGAUUCCUCAAUUGUGUGGAUCCUCGAUCUAUACAACUCUGGAACCUAAGACAAAGAACGCUUAGUGAAAUUCUUGAAGGCACAUCUGGUCAAAAUCCUCAAAACUUGUUUUCUUUUUGAAAAACCUUCUGAAAACGCAUAUGACCUCUCCAAAUUCCUCGAAACUAUACUCUGUUCACAGGUACAAAUGUCCGCUGCUGAAUCACUAGGUUCUCAUCAACUUAACUCAUUUGCAGCGUUCCUCGAAGAAAAGUUGCACACUUCUUCAGAGAAUUCGAUUGUUCAAAUUCCUCAUCUGAAGACUAUGGCUGACGGUAAGAAGCCCUAGAAAGGUGGAAAGAAGCCUGAGGUUAUGACUGCGUUUGAAAUCCCUGAGGAAAUAUAUGCUGAUUAUUGCACACCUGAUGAAGCCAAAUAUGGCAAAGAAAACAAAAGUCAACGCAAGGUGCGCAUUCAGAGGAUUGAACGGAGAUGGGCACGGGAAUGGAGGGAGUACAGAUAUGUAACUCCAAAGUACAUGAAGAAAUUCGCACUCAAUCCUCCAUGCCCAAGAGCUCCAUUGGCACCUGGCCAAGUAGCUGAUCCCACCAGCAUCGAGCGUGGUGAGGACUUUCCUGAAGAAUGGGCCAAGCGCCAAGCUAAAUUGUCAAGACAAGCCAAGGAGGCAGUGAAGAAAUUCAAUGAGGAUUCUGCCACUGCUGCUGCUACUGAGGCCUCUGUCAAACUGAGGAAAUCUAUGCCAAAGAAGCCUGCUCGUAAGCCAAGUGCUUCACCAACAGCGCCCUCACGGCCAAGUUCCUCAACAAUGCCCUCACGGCAAAUUCCUCAUGCUGCUCCUGCUCCUUCAAAGUCCUCAGCACCUGUGCAUCUGGCCACGUGUCAAAGGACUGCUGGUUUCUCUAUUGCCUCUGGUGUCUCGGCAAGUUCCUCAGCUGCACCAAUUUCCUCAUCUGGUCCCACACUGUUGAAGACCAAAGCUACUGCUGGACGAGGUCCUCGGCCAAGUCCGAAGAAGAAACAGGUCGCAUUCCAUGUGCCAUCUGAUGAUGAAGCUUCUGAUGAUGAACUUGCAGAAAUCAUCAGAGACAGACAGGUGAAGGCCGCUAGUGCCAAAGGCACAUCUGUGCCACUGCUUUUGGAUCCGAAGAAGAUCCUCGACUACAUUGAUCUCUGGCACAAGGACCCUAACACUCCUAUGCCCGAUUUUCAUCUGACUCCUGGUCAAAGUCACAUGCUGACGCAUUUCAUCGCUGAAGAGAAAUGGAAAUUUGAGAAGGCCAGGCAGAUCAAGAAAGCUCAAUACAGAAAGGAGAAGCUCCUGAAGAAAAACAUUGUCAAAAUGACACCUGAGGAACUUCUCCAGGUUCAAACUGAAAUUCAAGACCUCAGCAAACACUUCGAUGCUUAUUAUGCUGAUUGGCAAGGAGCCAAGGUCAGAUUCGUCAAUCUGACGAAGAAUUUCACAAAUGUUGCAACCCCAACGCAACAGGAAAUUCCUCAGGCUGCAGCUUCUGCUCAGCCUGCUGAAGAACAUGCCAGCACGGCUGAUGAUUUUCAGCCUGCUGAUGACAAUGCUAGUUCCAGGGCUGAUGACUCAAUUCCAGCCGCUGAAGAAAUUGCCAGGGAAUCCACUAGUGGUGCGCCUGAAGAAACUGAAGAGAUCAGGGCAACUGCAUCAGUUGCGCCUGAGGAAAUUCAUCCUUACUCCUCAGCUCCUCCUACGCCAACAACAACUCCAAUUCUUCCAUCUGCCUCUGAUGUGAAGAAGACUAAAGCUGAAGAGCGAGCUGCUGUGAAGAAAAGGAAGGCAUCAGCUGCGUCAAAUUCUUCGGCUGCGAAGAAAAUGAAGCCAAUGACCAGCUCCUUUGAAAAUCCAAUUGAUGAUGUUCCUAUUUCCUCAAUUCCAUCAAAGGACCUUGUUCCUUUUGGUGAAGACUAUGUGAUCCCAAGCGGAUCUGAUGAAGAAAAUCAUUCUGCUGCUUCGUUAGAGCAGAUUGAUGAAUAAAUUGAGGUGGAUGCUAUCCCCUCAACGCCAAUCAUUUCCUCACCUAUGCCUCAGUUCACAGCUGAAGAGGCUGGUGUUGAGGAAAUUGAAGAUGAAGAUGUGGAUAUUGGAAGCACAACGCCCGUGAUGGAUGAUGACUUCUGGGAUAGUCAGCAUCCAAAUUCACCACUCUUCACCCCAAUCCAACAAAUUCCUCAGUCCCCUGCACCAACAGUUCAACUGGGCUCUGUGCAUGAAGAAAUUCCAGCCGCUAGUGCUGAAGAACCUGCUGUUGUUGUUGAUCCUCAGACUGCACAUGAAGAGGAACCAGAAAUUCCUCAGCCUGAAGAACCUGAGCUCGUGAUUCCUGAGGUGGUGAUGCAACUCACUGACACCCCUCUGCCAAAGCCAAAGAAUCCGUUCUCAAGUAAACAGAAGUUCAAGGCUGAAGACUUCUAUGGCGAGCAUGUUUUCUUCACUGAUUACAAUCCUUAUGACUCUGCUCGCAUAAGGAAGAGGCGGUUCUGGACUGCCAGCCAAGCAAAUUUCUAUUCCUCUAUGCUAUUCAACAAGGACAAAAUCUUAGAUCAUGCACAUAUUCCUCAUGUGGACAUGGAAUCUCUACCGUGCUUCGAGCCAGUCCUCAAUGUUCUUCACGAUGCAGGACUACUGAAUUUCUGCACUGACAUCUGUGAUUGGAAUGAAGAACUUAUUCUUCAGUUCUACACGACACUGCAUAUCACUGUAGAUGCUGAAGACGUGAACUCAUGGGUGUUGGACUGGAUGUCUGGAAACACUCACUACAAGGUACCAGCAACUGAAUUGCUUCGUGUCCUUCCUCUCAGUCCUCCCCUUGAUAGUGCACGUUGCAUCUACAAUGACCCUGAACUGACAAAUCACUAUAUGCAAGUGCUAAUGAAGCCUUUGAAGCCAAGGCAGGCCCCAAGAACCAAAUUCCUCGUCAAGGAAUUAUUGUAUGUGCCUCGGACUGUCUAUCGGAUUCUGACGAAGACAAUGAGUCCUAUCAAAGGCCACGACUCAAAUGAUGAAGAAGCCGUUGGCAUCAUGAAGAAUAUGCUUUUCAACAUCAUUCAUGGCGUUCCCAUAAACUUCUAUGAUUUCUUCAUGAGGACUCUGGCCAACAUUGCUAUGUCACCAUUUGAGCUGAAGCCUUAUGCGCCUUGGAUAAUCAGAUUCAUCAGGACAAGGUCUUCACUCAAUUACAAAGUUGAUACUCUGAACCACUACAGCUACUUGCCUCCAAUUGAAGUCCUCAAACGGACAGUUUCCUCAGCUGAUGACAAAGGCAAGGCCGCUGCUGUGAUAGAUGAAGGCAUUCGUCCAUUGGAUGGUCAAUUCCGUAAAGCAGCAUCUUACUCUACCAAUGACGACUCUGCCACUCAUGACUCUGCCGCAAAUACCUCAGCCAAGCAAAAUCCUCAAGCUACAACACCCAGGGUGAUGACUGAUCGUGAGUUACUCCUCAGUCUUCAUCAGAAGGUUGAUCGCAAUCAUAAAUGGGUCAAACGUCAGCUUGGUUCAAUUCUUCACAACAUGACCUCAACACACAAUGCAGUGAAGAAGAACCAGUACUACCUUCAUGAAACAUUCAACCGCACCUGGGCUGUUCUUUCUCAUGUCUAUAGCGCUGAAGAACUGAAGACGAUGGGUCUCAAGGAAGAAUUUGACUGGUCUGCACCUCCGCCGAAGAAAUUCAAGAGGGUCAAGGUUCCUCCAGUGGUGGCCAGCUCAUAUUCUUCAUCGCGCGACACUGAUGAAAAUGAAGAUUUGGACGACACUGCGGCAGGCCCUACUACAACAACCGACCCCGACAACGCUGGCGCUCCUCCAUCAACUUGAUAUUCUUCAGGGGCGUUAGUCCUCAGUUUCGAUCCUUUUGGUCAUUUGAUGACAAAGGGGGAGAAAUUUGAGUUAGUCUUCAAGCGGGUCUAUCAUAUGGGCAUAUAUCGCAUUUUUUUGCUAAGUUACAACUCUCGUUCUUCUGAAACUAUAUCGGAUCGAGUUGUAAUCUUAAACCCGAUGGUGCGCUGAUACUUUUGUUGCACUAGCUCUGAUACUUUGGAUGCAUUUUUCCGCAUGCUUAUUCCUCAUUAAUAUUAUUGCACGCAUGCUGAAUUUCAUCAGGCACCAUAUUUCAUCAUGCAUUUCAAAUUCUUCAUAUUAUAUAUCAAAUGCGUGUAUGAAUUACAAGAUAUAGGGGGAGAUCUCCAUGAUUCAACUCUUCAAGUGUGCAUUGCCUCAAAAGAAAAUUCCUCACUAUGCACAUCUUCAGGGGGAGUUCUUCUAUAUCUUGCAAUCAAAUUCCUCAAAAUCAGUAUUUACACUUCAUAUGUUUAUCCCCGUUGAAAACUUAACCUAUAUUGUCAUCAAUCACCAAAAAGGGGGAGAUUGUAAGUGCAUCUAGUGCCCCUUAGUGAUUUUGGUGUAUUGAAGACUUAUAGGUUAAGGGACUAAUGUGUUUAUGAGUGUACACAGGUCUUUAAGUCUAUGAGGAGUUUGAUAUUUACAGAGAAAGUCGACCCCUAAAAAUGAAGUUCUUCAAUUGAAGACUUUGGUAUUCUGAAGACUUUCUGAAGACUUUGAAAGUGAAGAAAUUGGUGUGACCUUGAAGACUUGGUAUUCAUUUGAGGAACAUGAAGCGCGAAGACUUUUGUUUUCAUAGUUUCGUUUUUCUCUUUCUUGAGUCAUAGGAAACACCGUACUGUUAAAGGGGGUCGAGGAAAUACUAAGGAAAAAUUUCUAUGUGAUGCUCAACUCAAAAUCCUACACCUACCAAUUCCUUCGAGUGAAGCCUUUGGAAAUCUCAUACAGUUUAGUCAAUUUCAUCAGUGACAGAGACGAAGUUCUUCUGGUCGCUGAGGAAUUUGUUCUGACUGAGGAGUUAGGAAUUCGCCAGUGCGAAUUGCCUACACAGUGAGGAACAUGAUAGCCCUGAGGAAUUUGAGAGUCAAAUUUCCGACCGUUGUUGUGCUGCGCGCCAGUUGUCCCAAAAUAUCUUAUCCACCUAACGGUCAUAUCAUUGAAGGGCAUUUAUGUCUUAUCAUGUCGGGCUGCUCCCUAGGCUAUAAAUAGCUGCCCCCUACAACCACUAGCUGGUUGGCUGCUCCGCGAGAACUUAACACUUGUCAUUUGAGAGCAACCCAUCCUCCGAGGACUUUGAUUGAAAAUCAUCGAGUGAGGAAAAACCCAAAAACCAAACCCCUACAAACCCAAAGUGAUUGAGCAUCACUGAAGAGAUUGAUCCUGCGUGGAUCCGACGCUUGUUACCUUUGAAGACUGUGCUUCUUCCAGACGGUUAGGCGUCAUGGUCUAGAGCAUCCAAGAGGAAUUGUGGAUCGCCGAGUGACCAAAUCUGUGAAGGUUUGGAAGUCGCCUGAAGACUUAGCACGAGUGAUUGGACGAGGUCUGUGUGACCUUAGUUCAAGGAGAUUACGGUGAGGACUGGGUGUCCUGAGCUGCGUGCUCAGAGACUGGGUGUUCGGGACUGUGUGUCCUCGAGUUUAAAUACUCAGCCGCUCCAACCAGACGUACAACUGAGACAACAGUUGGAACUGGUCUACCAAAUUAUUGUCUUCACCAACCUAACUGGUUCCAUUUCCUCAACCCAUUCAUUUCCUCAUUACUGUGUUAACUGUUUGUUCAUAUCUGUGUUUGAAGACUUUGACUGAAGACUUUCUCUAUUUUCUCAGUUCAAUUUCUUCAGUCUGUUUGUCUUCAUCUUGUGCUAUCCUGUGUUUACGCUUUCUGUACUCUUUGAUUGUCUUCAUUUCAUCAUGAUGACCAUGCAUGUAUUCUGCUAUGCUUACUUCUGAGUGCUUAUUCCGCUGCAAGUAGUUCUUCGCUAAGGAAUUUCCUCACCGGCAAAUUCCUCAGUGAAGAAUUCAUAAAAAUCGCCUAUUCACCCCCCCCCCCUCUAGUCGAUAUAACGCACUUUCACCAACUAAGCCUGAUAAACUGGCAUGCACAUUUUGGAAUCAGUCAAUGAAAGUAGUUAAGGUUUUGACUUGAUAGGGUCCAUAUGUAUUGGUUAGAAUCCAAGACUCACCUAAGUGUAUUGAGGUGAACCUGUUGGAUAUAGGAAAUUCAUUAUGAACGCAACUUCAUUCUGAGCUACAAAGAAACCACUAGAGGCCCUAGAGAGGGCAUAAUUAAAAUUUGCUAAAUAUUUUUGGACCAUAUAGAAGACAAGGUUUCGAUAACAAAUACACGACUUGAUCUUAUGGUAUAUGAUAUUGUACACAAAGCAUAUAUGAUAAGCACUCUGUCUGCAUACUAUUUCUUCCAAAAGAAAGUUCCACAGGUAUCAUAAGGUAACAAGACAUAACCGCCUUGCUAUUCUAUGAUCUACCUAGGACUUCUCUUUGGAAAAUGACAAGGCGCUCCUUUAUUUUUGCAUCCUUAGAGCGAGCACACAACAAUCCAUAACAUAUGUAAACAUCUUACUUUGGGAGCACAACCUUAUGGAUAGACCUCAAUGACAGCUCGAGCUCCCAGCUUCUUCACAAUCUUAUAGCCACUGAACCCCGCCUUGACGAAGAUCUCACUCCAGUCCUUCUCAUCGCGCUGUCGGCCUCUUGUCACCACUAGCAUGACCAUAUCCAUGAGGUGUUGGGUUUCCAGCAUUGGCCCUGAAACAGAUCCAAGCACAAUGUCUAUGACGAUGACUUUUCCUCCUGCAUCCCGGGGAGGAACAGCCUUCUUGCAUUGUGCCAGGAUCUUGACGCAAUCCUCGUCGCUCCAGAAGUGCAGUACAAGCUACAUUACCAUGCAUGGAUAAACUUGUAGUUUAAGGUUAAUCAAGCCUGACUAGGAUGAAAUAUGAAGGGAUUUUAUUAUUUUAAGCUGUUAUUAUUUCAGAAAUGAAAACUAAUUAAGCAUUGCUUGAAUAUUUCAAUUUUGCUAAGUCUUAGUGGACUAAGACUUUGUUAUGUAUCGAUCGAUGUUAUAUUCAUUUGAUCUUGCAUGGAGAUUCAUAUAAAAAAAUUAUUUUCAGUUUUUUUUACUUCUAUAUACUCCAUCCGUUCGGAAAUACUUGUCAUGAAAUGAAUAAAAGGGGAUGUAUCUAGACGUAUGUCUAGAUACAUUCCUUUUAUGUAUUUCCGGACGGAGGGAGUACUAUAUUACUUGACUCAGACUUUAAGUCUCAAUCGACCAAGACCUAACCACACCCUUAAUAUUUCACUUGGAAUAAAAAUUAUGGAAUGUGCAACAUUCAUAUCAUAUAUACCUUGAGCAACACGGCUUGAGCAGGUGGGACAACGUGGAACAGGUCACCGGAAACAUACUUAACUGCUCCUUCUUCAGCGGGAAGAACUUUGUCCAUGACCUUUGGAAGGUCCAGCACAGUGCACGUGAUGUGAGGGUAGGCCUCGACGAUGGACCUCGCGGUAGUCCCAUCGCCACCGCCGCAGUCAGUGAGAGACUCAAGCCCAUCGAACAGCUCAUGGCACUGCCGGAGCACGGGGCCGAUCCCCAUGUGGUCGUGGGCAGCGAGGGCGUCGUGGAGCAGCUGAUCCAUCUCCGGGUCGAGGAGCACCAUGCUCUCCUCGAAGAUGGCCGCGCCAUGCACGUCCUCGAACGGCGAGGGAACGGCUCCAUCGAAGUCCUUCCUGAACCAGUCCGCCAGCCCCAUAGCCGCCUCCACGUAGUAGCGCGAGGCCGCGGCGCGCACGAGGGCCGUCUGGCUAGCGUCGCCGUCGAUGCGGACGCCGUCUACCAGGAGGUACGAGAGCGGGUUGAGGCGGUACGUUCCGGCGUCGGUUGCACUGAAGACGCCCGCCGUGGCGAGUUGGCGCAGCAGGCGGGCGAGGAAGGGCAGCUUGGACGUGGGGAGGGAUAGGGCGGCGACGAGUUCGGAUGGGGACGCGGCGCCGCCGAGGCGGUGAAUGGCAGUGGGGACGCCAAGGUCGACGGCGCACCGGAGCGCCAUAGGCGUGAGGUAGCAGAGGGUGUGGCGCCACAGGUCCGACUGCGCCUGGAGCAGCUCCGUGUCGGUGGGGACAAACACCUUCUCUGCCUGGCCUGCCAUUGCCGAUGAUCUCUAUCUC